Molecule: long non-coding RNA, 89654 nt
Filed under: Prunus persica (peach)
Lineage: Eukaryota; Viridiplantae; Streptophyta; Magnoliopsida; Rosales; Rosaceae
Description: long non-coding RNA (PPER_LNC002899)
Source: RNAcentral
AAAAGCCUAAUGAACUCAGGAUUGCCAUAAUACGUGACCCCAGUAACUAUAUUAUCAUCAACAACGCCCACUGACAAUGUAUCGGGUUCUACCCAGUGAGCACCAGCAGCAACCAAUCCAGGUUUCACAGUUGGAAACGCUGUGCACUUGCGACCUUUAACAGCGCCUGCAGCUGCUAAGACCAACUGCCCAUGGCAAAUAGCAGCAAUUGGCUUUCUGGAGUCAGAAAAUUUUCUCACCAAUUCUACAACCGAUGCAUUCAUAGCAAGAUGUUCAGGAGAUCGUCCUCCUGGUAUAAGUAGACCAUCAUAUUCGUCAAAUUCAAUCUCAUCAAAUGUUGCAUUCAGUGUGAAAUUGUGACCACGAGAUUCGGUAUAAGCCUGUAACCCAAAAAGGUACGUACGUCCGUACAGAAAACCAAACCAAACACACACAUUAAAACAGGAGUAAGGGGAUACAAAAUAAAUAAAUGAACAGGAAAGACAGAGUUUGACCCGGUCAGUGGACUCCACUUUAAUGGUUAUGGCUGUGGCGCAGAUAUCACCCGCUUUCUUGCCAGGAGAAACUGCAUCAACAGAGACUCCAAAUGCCUGCAGUGCUUGAAAUGGGACCAUUGCCUCGUAAUCUUCCAUGUAGUCCCCGCACAGUAACAACACCCUCCUCUGCUCCUCGCCUUUCGGAUUUCCCAUUUCUUUUCUUAUUUCCUUCUUUAGUUUCUUUCUUGCUUUUUCUUUCUUCUUUCUUCUUUCUUCUUUUUCAGAGAGAGAGAUGGUCUAAUAAAGGAAGGAAGGCCUGCUUUAAAUACUAAUACUCACACAAGCGUUUUUGGAGGUUUGUGGAGUCAGCUAGACACGUCGCAGUUAGUUAUCGUGGCAUCUCUUUCUAUUCCUCUCUUCUUUUCAGUUCGGAUAACUAUUCAAUGAGUUUCGAGCCAAGUUUGAUAUUCUCUGUUGUCUUAUAAUUAUUCGAGGAAGAUUCAAACUUGUAAUGUUUAUCUCUAACAGGCAUGGACAAUAAAUGUAAUGUUUAUCUCUAACAGGUAUGGAUAGUUUCGAAUAGCGUGCGCGUUGAUUGUACCUCGACUGCCAUGUUGAUUUUCACCAACGCAGCAAAGCUGCUUGCUUGGUGUUAUGAGGUCUGGUUUUGUCAACAAACUAUAUUAAUUGACCCAAAAGAAAAUGCAAUAUAAUGUGGAUCCUCAUUUCGCAGUGACAGGAUGGUUGUGAAAUACAGGCUAACUUUGGGCAACAUGAUAUUCAAAAGAAAAUUCAAUAUCUUGUCGAUCCUCAUUUUGCAGUUACAGGAUGGUUGUGAAAGUAUAAGCUAACUCUGGACAACACGAUAUUCAAAAGAAAAUGCAAUAUCUUGUCGAUCCUCAUUUCCCAGUUGCAGGAUGGUUGUGAAAGUAUAAGCUAAUUCUAGACAACUGAUAUUCAUUCAGGUAAAACUUCGAGGUGUACGAUGAGAGAGAGAGAAACCAAGGGGGCCGAUGACUAAUAAAGCAUAAGUAGUAUAAUACAAGCUUCAUCCACAACCAAACUUGCAUGGAACAUGGCAUAUACAUAUCGAGACCAGAAUCAUUUGUUCCCUCAUAUAUACAAACGUCACCUUAACAUAACACAACAUACAUGCCUUAUUCUUUCAUGAAUUACAUAUAGUACAUGCAAGCAGCUGACCCAAUAAACAGCAAAUGAUACUCGAAUAUCAAGCAAUGUCAUCAACUGAGAAAUGAACUCUGGGUUGCCCAGUCCAAAUUUCCAUCUGUGAAGCAAUGAUCUAUUGGAUCAGGUUCCAGCCAUGUUGCUCUUGACAAAACCGCAUUAAGCUUCACCGCUGGAUACGCAGUACAUUUCUUUCCCUAAAAUGAAGCAUACCACCAAAACAUUGAAAAUACACAUAGGAAUGAAUGAUGGAACCCUAUCACACCAGAAUUGUGGCAAAUCUGGUGAAGCCUAUUCAGGUUAUUUUCACUAUAUAUCUUUCAGAAGUAUCUGUAAUGGGGCAAAUCUCCAUCAAUUCUCUUCUUUUCACUUUAUCUUUAUGCCCAUUCAUGCAUGUACAUAUUAUAGGAAGAAGUUUUUGACAUAUGGCAUGUAUUGUGUGUCAAAUGUAUACCGAUUCAUGAAGACAGGUUCAACAGCACAUACACCAUUUUGACCUUAUUCAUUUAUUUUUGUUUAUUCUGGGUUACUGCAAUUUGAAUCACAUUAAAAAACAAAUACUGAACAGUGAUAUAUUCAAUAUUGAUUGGCAUCACAACUUCAUAUUUCUCAUUGCACUACGAAGGAAAAUAAAAAUUACCCCACAGAGAAACAGGAUCCUCCUAUCUGAACCAGUUAUGUUACUUCCUAUAGUGCCUUCAAAAAAGACUAAUGAACUCAGGAAGGCCUUCAUAUGUAGCCCCAGUUAUUAUAUUACCAUCAACAACACACGCCACCAUGGUCACGGGCUCCACCCAAUAAGCACCUGCAGGCUGCAGCAACAAGUACAGGUCUGACAGCUGGGAAGGCCGUUAUAUUUUAAAGGCAUCGCGGCGGAGCUAUACUCUAUAAUCAAAAUAGAAAAUCUAAAACGUAUAGCCGUUCGGCUAUACUCUAUAAAUAUAACUCCAUAAAUAGAAUAUCAUAAACAUAUAGCCGCGCGGCUAUAUGCGAUAAAUAGAAUAUUUCAAACGUAUAGCCGAUUGGCUGUACCCUAAAAUAGAACAUUUUAAAAGUAUAGCCGAUCGGCUGUACUCUAUUAGAAGAUCUUCAAAAAAUACAGAAAACCCAAAAACAUUUUAAAACAAAGGGGGACCAGAAAGACAUAUAUAGCAUUUGAAGAUUUGUAAAUUAAACACAGAUAAGAUUAUUUUCACUUAGAGACGAAGGCACUAAUGCAAUUUUGUUUAUUGAAUAUGGUGUACGCAGUGACGUUGGAGCCAAGAAUUUGUUCACGCUGUCUUUUCCCCAGAACUCAAAGCUCAAUACAGGUCGGUUCUCUAGCUCAUAAUGAAUGAGCAAAGCACUCUAACAAAACUCCUAACAUGUGUUCUUGUUUGAGCUUACUUUAGUCUCGCUGUCCACACAACCUAGAAACUAUGACCUACGGAUUGCUAUUUGUCAAUCUAAUAGAGUGGCUCUAAUCAACAGUAAAACUUAAUUCAUUUUGUCUAUUAUUAACGCUACCAACCACUGGCUGAUGCAAAAACCUAAACUUGUAAACUUGACAAACUUAUUUCCAGUCCCAACAUAUUCCAAAUUUUAGAGGAGGCAGCAUAAUCCCAUAUGUGAGAAUUGUAAGCACUUCAAUCUUUGAGACAAAUUUCUUGUUUUGGGUUUACAAAUUCAAGUGAAGUAAGCAUUCAAUCUUCAAUCCAAUUGAGUGUGCUUGAUUACAGAGCAUGGAAAGACCAAUUGACAGUGCUCAAAUGAUGUAAUGAGGCUAAAGAAUAAAUUUUUAUCAUAUAAUCAUUAAAUAUGUUCACUAAAAGAUGUGUCAUCGUUAUAUGUAAAAUUUUUAGAAAUAUAUAAACUAGCUAGGAUUUACGUGAAUUCGAAUUUGAAUACAUGAAAUAUUAUUACCUACUACAUCAUUUGAUGAACAGAUUUGAUGUUCCUAACAAUUCUAUGCGUACUAGUAAAGUACUUUGUCUUUAAUUUGGAAGUACCCGAAAGCAUAAUGUUUUUCAUAUAUUAUCUGGCAGGAGGCAAUUCAAGAAAAAAAGCCAUCAUUAUUGGAGUCGUAGUUGGAGGUGUAGGUCUUUUUAUUCUCAUUGUUGGAGUUUUUCUCUAUUUUAAACUUUCAAGAAAGCCCGAGGCUGCAACAACCACAGAAUUCGAAGUUGCACUUCCUCUUGCAUAUAUACUAUUACAGUCAUGAUUUCUUGGAUUACAAGUACAAGGGUUUAAGAGAUUUGUGAUCACUCACCGUUGGAUGUAAAUUCAACGGUUCACUCACUCUUGCACUUCUUUUAAGAAAUUUUUUUGAACCAUUGGAUUAAUAUCUAACGGUGGGUGACCACAAUCUCUUGGACUCCUGUAUUCCAAGAGAUCGGAUUGUAUACUAUAAGUCCUGAUCUCUUAGACUACAAGAGUACAAGAGAUUUGUGGUCACUCACCGUUGGAUAUAAAUUCAACGGUUCACUCAUUAUUGCACUCCUUUUAAGAAACUUUUUUGAACCAUUGGGAUUAAUAUCCAACCGUAAGUGACCACAAUCUCUUGGACUCCUGUAGUCCAAGAAAUUUGUGGUCACUCACCGUUGGGAUGUAAAUUCAACGGUUCACUCACUCUUGCACUCCUUUUAAGAAACGUUUUUGAACCAUUGGAUUAAUAUCCAACAGUGGGUGACCACAAUCUCUUGGACUCCUGUAGUCCAAGAGAUCGGGACUGUAUACUAUUAGUCCUGAUCUCUUGGACUACAAGGGUCCAAGAGAUUUGUGGUCACUCACCGUUGGAUGUAAUUCAAUUAGCUCAUGCUCUAACCAUGUAUAUAUAUAAACAUAAAAAAUUUAAAAAAAUUUGGUAUUAGACAUAAUUAUCUUUACUAAUUAGUAUUCGAGAUAAACAAUAUUUAUGUUUUAGUUUUAAUACAUAGGAAUUGAAUUUUGUUUUGGAUUUGGACAAAGAGGAGGCCCAGAUUCAUUAGCCCACCUUAUAUUAAUCACUAAUUUUAAUUUAAAAACCUGACUCAAAUUCAUUGGUUUACCUUUUUUUUAAGAGUGCUACUAAACGAACCCUAACAUUAACUGAGUACACCCUAUGAUCUAAGUACACCCUGAUAUUUUAAUUUAAAUGUAAAAUUAACUAAGCACACCCUAUAGAACUACCAAAAAUAUCUCUGGUACACCAUAAUAUUUGUAGCAUUAUUUUAUAGUUGAUUUUUAGCUUGAUUUUUUUAAUAGUGUUUAUAAAUCUUUGACUUUUCAUAUGGAUUUAUGCUUCUACUAAAAUUGUUGACACUUUUUUUGCAAUUUCAAGUUCUUGCAAUCACCACCUCUUUCGUUAAUAAUGAUUUUUUUAUGCAUGUUUCAGUUAUAUACUACUAUGCUACUGUGAAAUUUAUUUGUUCUCAACGAAGUUAAAAACAAGCUAAACAAAUAGAGACACUUUCGCAAAAGACACCUCGUUUGUGAUAAAUUCGUUUUUGUAGUCUAAAACACAUUGUUUAUUGAUGUCGGUGUCUUGCUUAGAUACAUCUUCUAGAUGCUGUAAAAAAAAAAACCUCAUAUUUGUCAUUUUUCGGUACACAUGCUUUAGCCUAAACCAAAAAAAAAAAUCAAAGUUAAUACCUCUUUUGAUGACUUCCUCAAAAUAUAUGAAGCAUCCAUUCCAAAAUUUCAAAAGUAACCCAACUUGCAAAUCUGCAUAAAAACAUAAGAGAAAAACAAUAAGAAAGGUGCAUGAGUGGCAAACGAAAGUCACUGCAAACUUCAUCAAAUUGGCCCUAGUAGUACUAAUUAAGAUAUUUUUAAUCAUACACGCUCACAAGCCAGAAAAACUAAGUCCUAAAAGAGGGAUGAAGAUGCUGCCACCACAAUUUUCAUUCAUGUUGUUAGUGAACUAGGCAAAAGUAAUAUGCAUAAAUUCUAUUUUUACAGUAUAUAAGUCAAUUCACCAUAAUAUUUUUUUGACAACUUAUUGGAUUGUCAGGAAUUCAAUGAUCAAUCAGGCCUUCACAUAAUCUCCACCGCUGCACUUCCUUUUGGACCUUGAGAAGAAGCAGAUUUGAGCCCAAGUCUUCUUCUGCUUAGCAGGUUGUGCUUUAACUUCUCUUUUCACGACAAGCUCAAUCAUGUAUUGAACAACAGCCUAAGAUUAUAUUUGCUCCAAACCAUUCUGACUCGCAGAUCACAAAGAUGAGAACCAAAUAAUCUCUUGAGUAGGGUUGAAUACGAUUAGUAGGGUGUACUUAUUAAAAUUAUAUUUGUUUCACAAUUUCAUAUAUCAUUUUUGGUCAUUUUAUAUUAGAGUAAAUCAGUAAUUCAAUAUAUGCUUUUGUAGUAGGGUGUACUCAGUUAAUUUUAGGGUUCGUUUAGCAGCACUCUUUUUUAAUCAUAUCAGAUCUGCUAUCAUCAAUCCAAGAUCAAGAGACCGAUCUGCGAUGCAAUUCUCAACCAUCUCCCUCCUCUACCCAACCCCCCCCCCCCAACCCCCCAAAAAAAAGGUUUGGGAAAGUCCCAAAAACUAAAAAACAGAUUUCUUCAGAUACAAAAAAAUUUAAAAAAAGAGGAGAGGAUAUGAAAGACGCAGAAAAUCGNNNNNNNNNNNNNNNNNNNNNNNNNNNNNNNNNNNNNNNNNNNNNNNNNNNNNNNNNNNNNNNNNNNNNNNNNNNNNNNNNNNNNNNNNNNNNNNNNNNNNNNNNNNNNNNNNNNNNNNNNNNNNNNNNNNNNNNNNNNNNNNNNNNNNNNNNNNNNNNNNNNNNNNNNNNNNNNNNNNNNNNNNNNNNNNNNNNNNNNNNNNNNNNNNNNNNNNNNNNNNNNNNNNNNNNNNNNNNNNNNNNNNNNNNNNNNNNNNNNNNNNNNNNNNNNNNNNNNNNNNNNNNNNNNNNNNNNNNNNNNNNNNNNNNNNNNNNNNNNNNNNNNNNNNNNNNNNNNNNNNNNNNNNNNNNNNNNNNNNNNNNNNNNNNNNNNNNNNNNNNNNNNNNNNNNNNNNNNNNNNNNNNNNNNNNNNNNNNNNNNNNNNNNNNNNNNNNNNNNNNNNNNNNNNNNNNNNNNNNNNNNNNNNNNNNNNNNNNNNNNNNNNNNNNNNNNNNNNNNNNNNNNNNNNNNNNNNNNNNNNNNNNNNNNNNNNNNNNNNNNNNNNNNNNNNNNNNNNNNNNNNNNNNNNNNNNNNNNNNNNNNNNNNNNNNNNNNNNNNNNNNNNNNNNNNNNNNNNNNNNNNNNNNNNNNNNNNNNNNNNNNNNNNNNNNNNNNNNNNNNNNNNNNNNNNNNNNNNNNNNNNNNNNNNNNNNNNNNNNNNNNNNNNNNNNNNNNNNNNNNNNNNNNNNNNNNNNNNNNNNNNNNNNNNNNNNNNNNNNNNNNNNNNNNNNNNNNNNNNNNNNNNNNNNNNNNNNNNNNNNNNNNNNNNNNNNNNNNNNNNNNNNNNNNNNNNNNNNNNNNNNNNNNNNNNNNNNNNNNNNNNNNNNNNNNNNNNNNNNNNNNNNNNNNNNNNNNNNNNNNNNNNNNNNNNNNNNNNNNNNNNNNNNNNNNNNNNNNNNNNNNNNNNNNNNNNNNNNNNNNNNNNNNNNNNNNNNNNNNNNNNNNNNNNNNNNNNNNNNNNNNNNNNNNNNNNNNNNNNNNNNNNNNNNNNNNNNNNNNNNNNNNNNNNNNNNNNNNNNNNNNNNNNNNNNNNNNNNNNNNNNNNNNNNNNNNNNNNNNNNNNNNNNNNNNNNNNNNNNNNNNNNNNNNNNNNNNNNNNNNNNNNNNNNNNNNNNNNNNNNNNNNNNNNNNNNNNNNNNNNNNNNNNNNNNNNNNNNNNNNNNNNNNNNNNNNNNNNNNNNNNNNNNNNNNNNNNNNNNNNNNNNNNNNNNNNNNNNNNNNNNNNNCCCCCCCCCCCCCCCCCCCAAAUAACACUGUUCGGACCAUCCUCAACACCCCAACACACGUCGCCCUCAAGUCCGAAGAACUUAUAAGAAUGGAGCAGGAAUUGAUAGUCCGCGAAAUCGAAAUGCGGAAAGCCAAAGAGGAUCUCAACCGUCGGAUUCACAAUGAUCAGGUCGCGAGGGAGAUCAUGAAGAUUCCAUAGGACGAGUGGCAAGAGUCUGGCCAACUCUUCGCCAAACCCUUCGGUGUAGGCUCCUCCUCAUCGUCGUCGACGAAGAGGGUCAAGAGUGAAAGAGUGUUCUAUCAGAUUGGUCAAAAAAUAAUACUUCAUUUAUCUUAAUAUAUAACAAAUAGGAAGGUUAUAUAUACAAAGCCUAGGAAACUAUUCUAGGAAAGUAAUUAUGUUCCUAUAAUCUUGCAUAAUCAAAUAGUUGACUUAGACUAAUUAGGAAUGUACAGCUCAUUGACACUCCCCCUCAAGUUGGAGCAUAUAUGUCGUCAAUGCCCAACUUGCUAAAUGAGCUGUGAAAUACCCUGCCUGUGACUGCUUUGGUAAGGACAUCUGCAAGUUGAUCUUCGGAUUUAACAAAUGAUACCUUAAUGAUCUUUGCCUCGAGCUUCUCCUUGAUGAAAUGUCUGUCAACUUCAACAUGCUUGGUUCUAUCAUGUUGCACUGGAUUAUGUGCAAUGUCUAUUGCAGCUUUGUUGUCACAAUUCAGUUGCAUGGCAUGUUUGGGUUUGAACCCCAAUUCCUCCAACAAAUUCCUUAUCCAGAGUAGCUCACAUACUCCGUGCGCCAUACCUCGAUAUUCUACUUCAGCACUUGAUCUUGACACUACUUUCUGUUUUUUACUUCGCCAAGAUACUAGAUUGCCUCCUACAAAGGUAAAGUAUCCAGAUGUAGAUCGCAUGUCAGUAACAGAGCCCGCCCAGUCUGCAUCAGUGUGACCCUCAACAUCUAGAUGACCAUGUCGUGCGAACAUCAAUCCUCUUCCAGUAGAUGACUUCAAGUAUCUCAAAAUUCGGUUUACCGCAUCCAUGUGGGCUUCACUUGGUGCAUGCAUGAACUGACUCACCAUACUUACAGCAUAUGCUAUAUCAGAUCUAGUGUGUCCUAGAUAGAUUAACUUACCCACAAGGCGUUGAUAUCUUUCUUUGUUGGUGGGUACUUGAUCAGGAUAUUCACCAAGCUGAUGAUUCAACUCCAUUGGCGUAUCUGCUGGUUUGCUGGCUAACAUUCCAGUGUCAGUCAAAAUGUCAAGGAUAUAUUUCCGUUGUGAUAGAAAUAUUCCUUGUUCUGAACGAGCCACUUUGAUGCCUAGGAAAUACUUCAGAGCACCAAGAUCUUUCAUUUCAAACUCACUUGCCAAGUGGUGCUGCAAUGCUGCCUUUUUCACUAGGUCAUUCCCGGUAACUACCAUGUCAUCAACAUAUACAAUAAGGGCAGUGACAUUACCUUUCUUAUGUUUCAAGAAAAGAGUAUGAUCUGAGUUACUUUGCUUGUAUCCAAAAUCCUUCAUUGAUUUGCUGAACUUGUCAAACCAUGCUCUGGGUGACUGCUUCAAGCCAUAAAGAGACUUUCUCAGUUUACACACCAUGUUGCUAGUAUUGGGCCCCAUCUUGCAUCCUGGAGGGGAAUCCAUAUAGACUUUUUCUUCUAGGUCGCCGUGCAGGAAGGCAUUUUUGACAUCAAACUGGUGUAAUGGCCAGUUUAGGUUUGCUGCCAGAGAAAAAAGUACUUGAAUUGUGUUUAUCUUGGCUACAGGGGCAAAUGUUUCCCUAUAGUCAAUCCCAUAAGUCUGAGUAUAACCUUUCGCCACCAAUCUUGCUUUGUAUCGUUCAAUGGUGCCAUCUGCCUUGAAUUUUAAUGUAUAUAUCCAUCUACAACCCACUGUUCUCUUUCCUUUGGGAAGGAUAGUCAUCUUCCAAGUGGAAUUCUUCUGGAGGGCCUCCAUUUCAUCAUUCAUCGCUUGAGUCCACUUGGGAUCUUUCAGAGCUUCCUACACAUUACUUGGAAUAGAUACAGUGGAUAAUUGACAUACAAAUGAUGCACAUGACGGAGACAACCUAUGUAGGGACACAUGAUUAGCAAUAGGGUAUUUAACUUUUGUUUUUGGGUCCGGGUCAUACUGUUGUCUAGGAAUCCCUCUAGUGGUACGAAUAGGUAACUGAUAACCUGUGUUUCCUGUAUGACUCGACUCAUGUAAAGUACUUAAGUUGGAGUUUAAAUGCUCAGUUACCUGCGGGGAAUCUUCAGGACCUGAUUGGAUGAUUGGUGAUGGUACUGUAGUUGGAGGGAAAUUAUCUGAACCAUCAUCUGGAGUUUCUAGUAACUCUUGAUCUUGUUGCACUACUGUAGCUGGUUGCUCGGAUACUGACUGCUCUAAAAUAGUUUGUUGAAUUUGGAUGCUCUGAGUAUCUUCUGCAAAGAUAGAGCUCUCCCCCUGCAGAGGAUGCUCAGAAACUCCCCCUGAGUAAUAGAACUCACUCUCGUGGAAAGUCGCAUCUGCGGUAACAUGCAUGGUCUGAGUGGGAUGAUGGAAACACUUAUAGCCCUUCUGAGUGUCAGCAUAACCCACAAAGACACAACGCAGUGCACACGGAUCAAGCUUGCCACGCUGAUGUGGAUACACCUGAACAUAAGCAACACAACCAAAGAGACGUGGUUCGAGAUUUGGUGUGGAUGGCAUGGUGAGGAGAGUGGUCAAUGUCUGAAAUGGAGUUUGAUACUGAAGAGUGCUGGAUGGGGUUUUAUUAAUGAGGUAAGCAGCAAAACAAAGAACCUCCCCCCAAAAAUGAUGAGGCAUACGGGCCUCAAAUAAAGAGGCACGAACAACCUCCAAGAGAUGACAAUUCUUACGCUCUGCGACGCCAUUCUGUUGUGGUGUAUAGGCACAUGUGGUUGAUGAACAAUUCCAUGUUGACUUAAAAAAAUUAUAUAGGUCUUGGUUGACAUACUCUCCUCCAUUGUCAGAUCGAAGCAUGGUGAUUUUCUUGUCAAACUGAGUAGCAACAUAUUGAUAAAAUAACUUGAAUUUGGCGGUGACUUUACUUUUCUGCUUUAAGGGAAAAACCCAGGUCAUCCGGGUGCAAUCAUCAAUAAACGUCACAAACCACUUAAAACCGCUAAUAGUAGGAACUCGUGAUGGUCCCCAAACAUCAGAAUGGACAAUCAUGAAAGGCAAAGAACUUUUAUUCAAUCUUAAUGGGUAAGAAAUACGAUGACUUUUGGCCAAAAUGCAAGUUUCACAAUGAAAGUCUGAUUCAGCAAACUGGGAAAAUAAAUCUGGAAAUAAAAGUUUCAGAUGACCAAAAGAAGCAUGCCCUAAUCGUCUAUGCCAUAGCCAAAUUUUCUUCAUCCUGAUAGACUCAUCUCCUCUCACAUGAUGUGUCUGACUCAAUCUUGUACUGCUGUCUUCUGUCAAGUCCAGAUAAUACAACUUUCCCCUCCUAGUACCACAUCCAAUCACGGUCCUGGUGAGAAGAUCCUGAAAUAGACAAUACAAUGGCCAAAAACACAUAGUACAAUUAAGGGAAUCAAUGAUUUGAGGAACAUAUAACAAGUCAUAGUCGAGUGAAGGGACAACUAAGACAUGAUCAAGACUUAAUGAAGAUGUAAGAGAUAAAGACCCUUCUCCCAUAACUUGGGAGGUGGUUCCAUUGGCACUGGUAAUAUGUGUUUGGCUUGAUGGUUUGGUAGAGUGCAACCCAGUAAAACUAGAUGUCAUGUGAUCAGUAGCGCCAGUGUCAAUAAUUCAUGAUCUAUUACAAAUAAGUGAAGAUGUGCAAGAGGUACCUGAGGUGGCCAAGGCCUUGGAGCCAGAUGUACCUGAUGGAGGUUCUGAUGCAGUCUCCUUGGAUGACUGAGCGGAUGCAAAUGAGGCUCUGGUAGAAUCCUUUUUUCGCCCUUUGUGGACCCAUCCUUCUGGAUAACCAAUGAUCUCAUAACAGCCCUUAAUUGUGUGGUUAUCUAAACCACAUUUGGUACACUUCAUUGGAGGCCAGUUACAAGUAGGGUCGACACUAUAGUUGUUCGGCCGAGAUUGUUUGGACCUCGCAGUAGCCAAGGCCGUGGCUUCAGAGGUUACACCAACUUCAGACAUGGUUCCCUGUCGGUUACUUUCUCUUUUAAUAUGUGCAUAUGCGGCCUCCAAUUCGGGUUUUGGCUCCAUCCGCAAAAUCUCUCCUCGGAUUUGAUCGAAAUUAUUGUCCAAACCUGCAAGAAAUAUAUAAACUCGGAGACGAUCAACCUCUUUGCGUCUAGUCUCAAUGUCUUUCGGAUGCUCCAUGGUGCUUGGACUUAAUUGAUCAAGCUCCUGAAAAAUCUCAGUGAGCUCACUGUAAUAUUUGGCAACUGAUGCGCCAGCUUGCUUCAUUAUUAAUGACCAUCUGUGAAGGUCAUAAAUCUUGGCUUCAUCAGCACCAUUUGAAUAGGUUUGCUUGAUUGCGGCCCAAACUUGCUUUGCUGUGUCAUAACGAAUAAAUCGUUUAAUCUGAUUAGGUUGCAUGGCGUCGAACAACCAACUCUUGACUUGGCAAUCCGAUGCAUGCCAUUUAUUAAAUGUGGGAUCUGUGUCUGUAGGUUGGGCAAUAUCACCGGUCAAGUGGCCAUGUUUUUCUCGCCCAGCUAUCUUCAUCUCUAUGAUUUGAUGCCAUAGAGAAUAAUUAUUCUCAUCCGAUUUGAUUCCUGCGGAGAAGUUGGAGGUGUCACUCUGUAAAGUGACGAUUUGUGUGGUAGUUUUGGAGCCUCCCGACACCAAGGAUUGAUUGGUGUUUGCUGACCCGUCAUCGUUGGCCAUGAUAUUGGCUGACAACCAAUGAAAAAAGGACAAAAAAGAAAUAUCAAGUUGAGGAAAAGCAAGUGAACGGUGGACAAAGGCAAUAAGAAAUAUUGGGUUGAAAGGGAAAAAAAGAACAAGGGGAACGGUUUGAAUGGGUCUGUGAGUGGAUCUGUGAGUGGAAAGUGAUUUGCAAUAUUGCAAAACGUGAUUUGACUAGAGGAAAGGUUUGAAUGGGUUUGUAAGAUGGAAUAUGGGUGGUAUUGGUGCUGGGUUUGUGAGAUGGAAUAUUGCUUUUGGUGCUGGUGCUGGUGCUGCGUACUAGAUGGAAUAUUGCAAAACAGUGAUUUGAGAUGGAAUAUGUGACAGGACCCACCCCGGAAUUUCCACAAAACCGGGGCGAAUCCAGUCUUUGUUCCGACAUCACCCCGAUGUCGGGCCCACUUACUAGAAACCGAGACUUCCUGCCGAAAUUUCGGCAGAGUCUCCCUUAUGAAUUGGACAAACCAACAAAAUUCAACCUGCAUAAAAAUAUAGAAUAAUCCCAACCAGCAGCAUGCUUUACAGCGAAUAAACAGUUUACAACAAAAUGGCCUCCGGCCUCACAAUUCAGACCCUAACAGGGCGAUAACAGAGCAUGUCUAAGAACUUCAAUUUCAACAAAACAGAGUACAAAGGAAAUAACAGGAAGAAAGAGUCCUACGAUGACUCAAGGCUCAAAAGCUCACGAUCCGGCUCUGCUGCGGAGCUCAGUCAACUACUGGCUGGGGGGCGCAAAACAGAAAAUUGUGAGUGGACAAAAAUAAAUUCAGUUCGGUGCAAACCAACGUAAUAUAACCCCACCGUUUAGAAAACCAUGCAAGAAAUACCAUGCAUCUCAAAACCGUCAUACACAAGUAUAUAUAUAUAUAUAUAUAUCAAAACAAAUCAAUACCAAAUGCCAAGUCCAAAAUUCAUAAAGAACACUUUACAAAACCCACCAUCCAAAAACUUAUAAAUCCCGCAACCAAACUCUCGAAAGCGUACCCAUUGGCACGACCGGCAAGGAAGUAUCCACACCGAGAAACAAGAAUGAAUGAAUAGAUAUAUAAUUAUAUAAUAUAAGAGAUAUAUGUAUAUAUAGUAUAAAUAUAACCAUCACCUAGUUGUACCGGGGAAACAAUCCAACCGGGGGAUUGUUUGACUAGUCACCCUGGCAGAGUCCUCGUGAUGAGUCCUCAAUCCACCAUGUGACUAGGGAACGAGCCGUUUAACUGAGGGACCAACUCUCAGCCAGAACGUACAGUCGAUAACCUCAAAACCCGUACGUCUGUGAACAGUCCUACGCGUGCAGACUACCCAAUUAAGGGUCUACAGCAACAUCCCGUCAAGGAUGCCCCGGGUCCCGACAAUUCCAAGUAUCUCAAGUCUCCGUAUCCAAGUUCCACAUCCGGGGAGGUACAUAGGGUAGUGCUUACCGCACACCAAACUGACAUUCUAUACUCACCACUUUCCACAAUCUCAUCUCAACAACCCAAGUACCUCACACAUAACCAAAUAUAUAUAUAUAAAUCCCCAAAAUCCAUAUAUUCAUACUCAAGAUACUCAAAUACGUCAAAACCCAAAAUAUAUUUUCAGUGCCUCAUAAAAAUAUCACUUUCAACAAUUUCAUAAAUAAUAUAUUCAAAAUACCAUUUAAAACAUCAUGCAUAAUAUUUCCCAAAAUCCAUAUAUAAAAUAUACUUUCAAUACCCAAUUAUACCAAACCCACAAUAUUUUACCAAAGCGCUUAUAAAAACAUCAAGCUCAACUCAUGAAUAUAAUAUAUUCAAUAAAUCAUUAAAAACAUUAUGCACAAAUGUUUCAUCAAUAAAACCAUGCAUAAGAUUUGAAAACAAGAUCCACUCACAAGUAGUCCCACGCUGCUUGACCCUGAGAGGGUCCCGCCUGCUGCGUAUGCGUGGUCGGAGUACCUCACCCGUCUGAAAUAGUGAUCGGAGGAGAGAGAACGGGCGACUGGAAGUUCAGACGAGAAUCGGCCUGAAAUCUGUGUUUUUCGGCGACGAGGAGGCGGCUGGCGGCUGGAGAUGGGUCGGGGAACGUCGGCGAGGUCUGGCCGGUUGUUUUGGGUCCGGUCUCGGGGCUGGCCGUGGCCUGUGGCGGCGGCUCCGCGUCUGCAAAUCGGAGAAGGAGGAAGAGGGACGCGGGAGAGAGAGAGAAUCGGGAGAAAGAGAGAGAAAGAGAGAUAAAACUGAAAAAUCUGAUUUUUACUCUAUCCCUUUUCGAAAUAUUUACAAGUUUGCCACUGACACUAUUUUGCCCGUAACUUUUUCGUUACAACUCCGAUUCAAGCCUACCGCGUGUCUACGAAUUCGUCUCAGUACCACCUACCCAGAAAUACCAGUUACUGCCCCAAACACUUUUUGGGCAAGAAAAUGACCAAUUUACCCCUACCCUGAGGGUAAAUUCGUAAAUUCACUUAAAUAAUUUAAAAUAGGAAUUAAAUUUAGAGUCGGGGUGUUGCAAUAUGGGCUGGUGCUGGGUCUGUAUGACGGCUGUUGCUGCGGAAGCGAUUAGGGUUAGGGCAAGAGACAGUCAAGAUUGACUGCUCUGAUACCAUAUCAGAUUGGUCAAAAAAUAAUACUUCAUUUAUCUUAAUAUAUAACAAAUAGGAAGGUUAUAUAUACAGAGCCUAGAAAACUAUUCUAGGAAAGUAAUUAUGUUCCUAUAAUCUUGCAUAAUUAAAUAGUUGACUUACACUAAUUAGGAAUGUACAGCUCAUUGACAUGUUCAGGCUCUACUUCAAGGGUUUGGUGAGCGACGCAAUGGUUGGAAAUGAGAGAAUGGUGCUGGCUGGGGUUGGGGUUGCUCUAUGCGACUCCAGGGAUAAUUUGGUGUUCGAGGUUUGGAAACCCCUGAUUGGGAAUGGGAUGAGCAAGAAUGGUGCCCUGUUGAAAGCCUUGAUUGAAGGACUUAAUGCUGCUCUUGCUCUGGACUUGAAGCGCAUCACCUUUUUCUGUGAGAAUUUUCCCAUUUUUUUAGUUUGUGAGUUGCUAUCUCUUCUCUGUCUCGUUUCAGUCUAUUGAUGAAAAUUAAUUAGGCUAAUUGUGGGUUUUGCAUUUUAAUAUAACGACAUAUAUGGUUAUGGACGCUGUGGUUUACACUGACCAUGAAAGAGACUCUUGUGAAAGAGGUCUAAAGGAAUGGAACUUAUUAUUAUAUUAGUGUAUACGAUGUUGUAGGUUUUGUUAAUUAAUAUUUUUUUUCUUGGAACAAUAAUGAACUUUCAAUUUUCAGAUAUACUUCAUGAAAUUUGAUAGGGCAAAUCGUAUAUCAUCCAUUGUGGACAAAGAGAUGCAUUCGCUUUGAGAAAUUUUACUUGUGUCUUCUCAACAUUUGCUAAAUUAGUUUGCUAUCUUGUAUUUAAAUUGACCAUUAGAGAAAGUCUUGUGAACAAGGUCUAAAAUAAUGGAGUUUAUUAUGACAUUUAUGUGUGCAAUGUUGUAGUAUUUGUGUUGAAACCAAGAAUAUUGGAUGUACUAGUCACUGUGCUACGGUCUAUUUACACCCAUGAAUAGAGCUUGUUGAAUUUCUGACAUUAUAUUUUAUGUAUGAAGGUUAAUGGUAAAUGGCAAGCAAAGAACUACCCAAGAGCAAGAGAACUCAAAAUUGGACUUUCGAAAACUGCAUUGCAGUUCAGAAAUUGCAUUGCAGUUUUUAUUUAAUUACAAUUGAAUUUUUGCUCUUUCUUUGGUCUUCAACCUCACGAAUUUGAAGAGUAGAGGCUACCCAAAUGAGGAAUUGGGGAAAGAGAAAAGUAGAACUACCCAAGAGCAAGAUAACUCAAAAUUAGACUUUUGGAAACUGCAUUGUGGAUUUAGAAACUGCAUUGCAGUUUUAGAAACAGCAUUACAGUUUUCUUUUAAUUACAAUUUGAUUUUUAUUCUUUUCUUGGCCUUCAACCUCAUCAAUUUGAAGAGUAGAGGCUACCCAAAUGAGGAAUUGAGUGGGCAAGAGAAGAUUAGAACUACCCAAGAGCAAGGGAACUCAAAAUUGGUCUUUUGGAAACUGCAUUGCAGUUUUCAUUUAAUUACAAUUUGAUUUUUUGUUCUUUCCUUGGCCUUCAACCUCACCAAUUUAAUUACAAUUUGAUUUGUGUUCUUUCCUUGUUUUUUUUAAACAUAAUUGAUAUCUACCUUGUAUUUUUAUUGCAGUUUCUGUUUUUAUUUUCAGUUUUUGUGUGAAUAUGUGUUGAAAUGAUUUUUUUUUUUUUUUUUAAACUGUUGAUUGUUGUUAUAAAUAUUGUAUAACUGAAUAAAUAUUACAAAAUCAAGUUUGGUGUAGUGGUUUGUGAGUGAGCCUUCCUCCUUUGAGGGUCAAGGUUCAAGUCCCUUCAAUGACACAAAAUAUUUUUUUUAAAGGUGAAUAAAGGGCAAUGGAGUUGGUCCCCUACAGACGGUGGCAGGUGGUGGCCCGCAACGGUGGCUUGCAGCGGGAGUCCGGUGGUGGUGGCCGGCGAAGGGUGGCUGGAGGCGGGAGUCCGGUGGUGGGAGCCCGGCGGUGGUGGCCAACGAAGGGUUGCCGGAGGCGGUAGUCUGACGGUGGCCUAAGGCGGUGACGGCUGCGGUGGCCGGCGGUGGUGGCUAUAUAUGGACAUGUGGCAUAGUAUGCUUGCCUUAGAAGGAGUGGCAUUGUGUGCAAUUGCAAUUUUUUUUAAGGGAGCUUUAGGUGAUAUAUUGGGUGCAACCGAGUUGCAAGGCCAAGGACCAUUGAAUUACAAAAAUAAAGAUUUGACGGCGGCAACAAAAAACUUCAGUGAAGAAAAAAAACUUGGAGGAGGAGGAUUCGAGGGCAUCUACAGGGUAAAUUAUGUGCUAAAGAGCUCUAAAAUAAUUUAUGUCAGUUCAGUUUAGCACGGUCGAAUAUGGUGUACUCUUUUUUUACAUAAAUAAAGUUUUAAAAAACUGGGAAAAUUGCAUUGUCAAGCUUUUGAUUAUCCAUGCAUAAUGUUCAUUUACAAUUACAUGGUUGGUCAGGGUACUCUAAACAAUGGAAAAGUACGUAGUUGCAGUUAAAAAACUAGCAAUUCUCCAAUCUGACAGGGCAAAGGCGAAUUUCGUAAACGAGGUGAAGCUGAUAUGUAACGUUCAUCACCGGAAUCUCAUUCUUCUUGGAUGUUGUAGCAAAGGACCGUAAUUGCUUCUCAUAUAUGAAUACAUGGCAAACAACAGCCUCUACAGAUUCAUAUUUGGUAAUAAUUUUCGGCUUUUCAGCUCAGCUACCUCUAAAUGCAUGCCUCUCAACUGGAAACAACUAAAUGACAUAAUCCUGGGUACAGCGGGGUCUGGCCUAUUUACAUGAGAAGUUUCAUGAGAUGUAAAAACCAGCAAUGUUAUUUUGGAUGAUAAUUUCCAGCCACCAGAUCUGCCGGAACAUUGUAAGUUAAAGUACUUUCCCACAGGCAUAACCCCUGAUUGAGAUCUAUAUGAUCAUUACUCUUCUACAAUAUUUAUACCGAUAUUGUGUUUUGCCCUACUUAUCUUUCUAUCCGCACACAAAAAGUGUUAUGAAUCUACUACAUACAUCUUGUGUAGCUUCUCACAUUCCAGGAUCGACUCUGCCGUAGCACGAUAUUGUCCGUUUUGGGCCCCCUUCUCUGCCCUCACGGUUUUAUUUCUGAAAACUCACGAGCAACUUUUCAGUGGACCUCCUAUCCUGGGAUUGCUCUAACCCCCAACUCGCUUAACUUCGAAGUUCCCAUGACUCCGAAGCCAGUGAACUCCCAAAAAACCUCGUACUAGAUAGAAGCAGGCAUGUAUAUAUAAGGCACAUCAUCCUCUCUCCGUUGAUCGAUAUGGGAUAUUACAUAGCCGAAGAGGAGUACAUCACCAUCAUGGUGAUGCUCUAUAGUGUUUCUCUCUGUGGAAGUGUUUCUCACUUCUGUUUUAGCCUAUCUGAGCAAUGGUGCUCACGGCACCUCCUACCAAGCCUUCUUUAAAUAACCAAAGAAUUUGGUCCAACAGACACAAAACAUUAAUGCACUGAAAAAGCACAACCACCAGCAUUGGAAAAGAAGCCAGCCGCUCCUCUUUCUCAUGUCCUUGGUGCAGCACAGUGGGGCACACCUGCCCACACAUCUCCUGCUGCCAACGAAGUCCCUCUUUAUGCAUAGCUCAAGUUUGGCUUCUCAAAGAACCCAAGAGCCAAAAGUAAUAGCAAUAAUACAAAGCCUAUUCUACCUCUCUUUUUCUCUCUCUCUCUCAUGAAAAACAUCUCUCAUGAAAAACAAAUGUUAGCUUGUUUGAUGCAUUCAUUUCAUUGUUUUAAGUUUUAGAAAAGUGACACAUACCAUGAGAAAGUGAAAGAAUGUCCAAAAGAUAAAGUUAGAGAGAAAUUGCUAUCAAAGCUUUUUCACAAAGUUAGGACACACAUGCCCACCAAGUUGGAUUCCAAUUGCCUUAGGUGUAGAUCACCCAAGUGCUGGAACCCACUCCAUCUGUGUCUCCAGCCUUUUAACAAAGAUGGCAUGUGCCGUCGUUUCCCCAUUUGAAAAACCCAAGGCAUGACAAAUAAAUGAAGAAAGCUAGCAAACAAACAAUGAUAAAGUAGCCCUUACACAAUUAACAAUACAAUUUGGGCCAAUUUUCAACAGUGAAGGCAUCUUAUUACGGUGGGAUCAUUUGCAUCCUCGGAGCCUUUCUUUUUCGAAAUAAGGAUAGAUUUUAAUCAUUAAACUAGGAAUGUAAACGCUAGAUCUGAAAGCAGAUUCAAGGAUUUCCGUAAAAAUCAUAAUCAACAUUACGUAGUUACAAACAUACAAAAUCCAUCCACAAUUCGUACAGAUACAGCAGAAUUACACGGAGUUUCUGGCUAUGCUUCUUUUUCUUUUAUUCUCUUAUUCGUUUAUGGAAUUCCAUAUAUUACUUGGAAGCAGCUGACCUGGUAAAGGGUGCCUAGAAUGAUACUCGAAUAUCAAGCAAUGUCAUCAACUGAGAAAUAAGCUCUGGUUGGCCAUGCCACGCUGCUGCGGUAACCAGAUUUCCAUCAGUGACACAACGAUCUAUUGGAUCCGCUUCCACAAACGUCCCCCCUGACGAAACCACACGAGCCUUAAUCCCUGGGUAUCCAGUACAUUUCUUCCCCUGAAAUAUAGCCAAUUGAACCAAUUAUAUGACAUGCUAAAAAGUGCCUAAUCCGUUAAUAAGUACAUUAACCACUAAUCAAAAGAAACAGAAAAAAUAUCAUCUCCUUUGCGAUUUUAAAGAGUACUCACCUCCCUCUUCCCCAUAGUUAUUUACAAUUGAGAGGUUAAUAGGUCACAGCAGAUCAGCUCAACAGAACCAAAAUACAAAGCACUACCACUAACUAUGUUUUUUUCUUUAAGAACCAUACCUGCAGAACACCAGCAGCAACUAAAAUUUCCAGGCCAUGGCAGAUGGAUGCAACUGGUUUCCUGGCUUCCAUAAAUUUUUUCACUAGUACAAUAACAUCCUCCUUUAGUGCCAAAAACUCUGGAGCUUUACCUCCAGGGAGUACAAGAGCGUCAUAACUUGAGGCAUCUAUGGAUUCAAAGUCAGCUGUUAAAACAAAAUUAUGUCCCCGGAUCUCACUGUAGGUUUGGCCCCCUUCAAGAUCACGGAUAGCAGUUGGGCAGGUAUCACCGGCUUUCUUCUUGGGGCAAACCACAUCAACAUGGCAUCCUAGAACUUUGAGGGUCUGAUAAGGCACAGUUACCUCAUAAUCUUCCGCGUAGUUCUACAAAUAUUGGGAAGGGGAGCAAUUAAAUGAUGAUGAUUAGUAACUAACAGUUUAAUCAUUGGCUAUAUUUUGUCCCAUAUUUGUCAUUGCAAUAUAAAAGAAACAGAAAAGAAAGCUUACUCCAAUGAUGAUGAGGACCCUUCUCUCUGAAGCACAUAUUUUGCCUCCCAGUGCCUUGAGAAAAAGCCCAAUGAACUCAGGAUUGCCAUAAUAUGUGACCCCAGUAAUUAAAUUAUCAUCAGCAACACACACUGACAAUGUAUCGGGUUCUACCCAGUGAGCACCAGCAGCAACCAAUCCAGGUUUCAUAGUUGAAACCGCUGUGCACUUGCGACCUUUAACAGCGGCUGCAGCUGCUAAGACCAACUGCCCAUGGCAAAUAGCAGCAAUUGGCUUUCUGGAGUCGGAAAAUUUUCUCACCAAUUCUACAACCGAUGCAUUCAUAGCAAGAUGUUCAGGAGAUCGUCCUCCUGGUAUAACUAGACCAUCAUAUUCCUCAAAUUCAAUCUCAUCAAAUGUUGCAUUCAGUGUGAAAUUGUGACCACGAGAUUCGCUAUUAGCCUGUAACCAAAAAGGUACAGAAAACCAAACACAACACACACAUCAAAACAAGAGUAAGGGUUAGGUGAAUUCAAGCUUCUUUCUUUGUCCUGAUCAGAGGAGGUUCAAAAUAAAUUAAUUAACAGGAAAGACAGGGUGUCACCUCAUCAGUGGUCUCUACUUGAAUGGUUAUGGCAGUGGCGCAGAUAUCACCAGCUUUCUUGCCAGGAGAAACUGCAUCAACAGCGACUCCAAAUGCCUGCAGUGCUUGAAAUGGGACCAUUGCCUCGUAAUCUUCCAUGUAGUCCCCGCACAGUAACAACACCCUCCUCCUCCGCUCCUCGCCUUUUGGAUUCCCCAUUUCUUUUCUUAUUUCCUUCUUUAGUUUCUUGCUUUUACUCUCUUCUUUUUCACAGAGAGAGAGAGAGACAGAGAGAGAGAAAGAGACUGAAAGUUUGAGAGUCUGAAGACAAGGUAGGUGAUAGCUAGCGCUGCUCUGCUUUGCUUGCUUAAUAGUAAUAUAUUAAUACUCACGAAAGCGUUUCUGGAGGUUUCUGGAGUCAGCUAGACACGUCGCACUCAAUUUGAGCGACACGUCGCACUCAAUUAUUGUAGCAUCUCCCUAUUCCUCUCUUCGUUUCUGGAGGUUUCGCGCCAUUACCAACAAUAUCCAAGUUUGAUUAUUUGAGGAAGUGACAAGUCUAAAUUAUUUGAGGAAAGAUUCACCAACACCGACCAAGUGAUAAGUCUAAAUUAUUUAAGGAAAGAUUCAACCUGAGUGCAAAGUCAAUGCUUCCAAGCUAAUGUCCCGAAAGAGAGAUGGAUAAUGUAAUGUUCAUCUCUAACAGGUCCUAAAAUCAUAGAGUUUGAUAUCUUGCUUCUCCCAAAAAGACGGUUGAUUUCGUUUUGAGUAGCGCUCGCGUUGAUUUUAUCUUGACUGCCAGAUUUUUCACCAGAGCAGCAAAGCUGCUUGCUUUCUGUUAUGAGGUCUGGUUUUGUCAACAAACUAUAUUGCUUGACCCAAAAGAAAAUGCAAUAUCAUGUCAAUCCUCAUUUUGCAGUUGCAAGAGGACGGUUGUGAAAAUACAAGCUAACUCUGGACAACAUGAUAUUCAUUCAGGUAAACCUUCAAGGUGUACGGUGAGAGAGAUUGCGACCAAAAAUCACUGUGUCCUGCUAAAGCAUAAGUAGUAUAAUACAAGCUUCAUCCACAACCAAACUUGCAAGGAACAUGGCAUAUACAUAUCAAAACCAUGUCACUUAUUCCCUCAUAUAUACAAACGUCACCUUAACAUAACACAACAUACAUGCCUUAUUCUUUCAUGAAUUACAUAUAGUACAUGCAAGCAGCAGACCCAGUAAACAGCAACUAGAAUGAUACUCGAAUAUCAAGCAAUGUCAUCAACUGAGAAAUGAACUCUGGGUGGCCCAGCCACGCUGCUCCAGUAACCAAAUUUCCAUCCGUGAAGCAACGAAAUAUUGGAUCAGGUUCCAGCCAUGUUGCUCCUGACAAAACCACAUUAAGCUUCACUGCUGGAUACGCAGUACAUUUCUUUCCCUAAAAUUUAGCCAGUUAACAACAAUUAGGACAUGAUUAAAAAAAGUUCAUAAUGUGAAAAUAUGUAAAUCAACCCUCAAUCAGAAGAAUCAGCAAAAGGCAAACAGAUUACAACUUCAAGUGGGUUUCUUUUUUACCUUGUCGUAAAAUACUCACUCAGUAAAUCAACCCUCUUACAAAAUUGAUGAUACUCCCAACUCCUCCUAACACCUUCUGAAAAACUGAAACUGCCUAGCUCAGCCAAGCCUUUUGGUUUUCCUUACUAGGUAAUUUCUUGUUUUAUCCCAUUCUUAAACCAUUCCAUCUAGCAUAGAUUUUUACUGCUUCAUAUAUUCCUUCAGAGAAUUUUGCAUUACAGUACACACCUUCCGACUUUUAUAUUACAGCACAAAUGUUCAUGCACCAACUGGCAAGCUUGCUCAUCAACACCCACAACAGAACAAACAUCUAAAUUUACAAUCAACUACAUAGAUAGUGAGUAAAAGAACAAAUAAAUCCACAGAUUAUUUGUAUUGUCUUUUUGGUUAAACAUGUUUAACUUCCCACACAAAAAAUUAAUUUUACUCUAGCAUUUUAGUUGAUGUUAAAAAGCGUAAGAAGUUAAAAUUUUAUGUAAUCUACAUUAUAUCUACCACGGAAAUGCUAUAAUGAGGGGUUGUGGGUGAGGGGUUCAAUACCACUAUCCAAUAAUAUAAAGGAAAUUUUGAACUUGAAACUUUUUUAAUGGUUGGAUGGUUGGAUUGAACCCCUCACUCAAACCCCCCACGCAGAUCCCUCUCAUUGUAGCAUCUCCCAUAUCUACCAUAUCAUGCUUGGACUUUAAAAUUCCAAAAUUUAUAAUCUCGAUUUUGUGAUAUGAUUUUGGAUUGUUGAUGAGGAUUUUGCUUCCUUGUUUGUGUGCCUAACAAAUUAACUUUAUAUUAUUGUUUCUGCAUUUUGUACAUUUCAACUCAUUUAGUUUCAGAAAUCAACUUGGACUUUAGAUUGAACUUCUGGACAGCAUGGGACUGAUCCCAACAACAUGGGACCCAUCCCUAUUAAAAGAUGAGCUAUAUAUACAAUAAAACUACACUGCCACAUAAACAGGGAUUACAGCUUCACUUCGUUUCAGUUGAACCACAUGGAAUUAUAGAAAGUCAGCAAUAUUUUUAACAAUAUCAAUACUAUGUUUGACGACGCAACGAAUUGAAACAAUAUGAAAAUAGUCGGAUGUGAUUGAGAAACUUAAAGAAUAUGGACCAAAUUGAAAUUCAGAUCAAAUUUCUGGAAACAAAAGAGUAGCCUGGCUGAAAGGGAGUAACCUUACCUGUAGAACACCAGCAGCAGCUAAAAUCUGCUGACCGUGGCAGAUGGAUGCAAUUGGUUUCCUGGCUUCCACAAUUUGCUUCACUAAUGCAAUAACAUUCUCAUCCAAUGCCAAAUAUUAUGGGGCUCGACCUCCAGGGAUUACAAGAGCAUCAUAACUUGAGACAUCUAGAGCUUCAAAGUCAGCUGUUAAAGUGAAAUUAUGGCCCGGCUUCUCACUGUAGGUUUGGUCACCUUCAAAAUCAUGGACAGCAGUUGCACAGAUUUCACCAGCUUUCUUCUUGGGACAAACUGAAUCAGCAUGGCAUCCUAGAGCUUGAAGAGACUGAAAAGGCACAAUUACCUCAUAAUCUUCCAUGAAGUCCUACAAAUGUUGAGGGAGAGAAAGUGAAUGAUGCUUAGUAACUGUGAGAAGUAUAAAAUUUUGAUCAUUGACUAGAAUAAUACGUAGAUAACAAUUAGUUCAUAAACAAAAGACACGCAGCUUUAACGUUCUUGUCAAGGGGUUUACUAGAUUUACAGUGGAUUAAAACACGUAGCCAAACUUGAUUUAUGGACCAUCUUAUCACUAUUGAUAUUGACAAGUAAAAUAAUAUUUUGAAUUUGGUGGGCUUUAAAGGUUUGUCAAGUAGCCAAUCUUGAUUUAUGGACCAUCUUAUCACUGUUAAAUAACCAGCUUACAAAACGUGGUGGGCUUCAAGGUUUGUCAAGUUGUAUAACUUUUGGCAUUGCAGGUAGAGAAGUUUAGGUAUGCUUCAAAGGAUUUGGUUUUAAAGAGAAAACAAACAACUGGUUUCAAGAAAUAGGUUCUUAUGAAAUCUGACAGCAACUAAUUUAUGAGUCUAAGGCAGUAGUAGCAUUUCGAAUUUGGAGACCUAAUUGGCUUGGGUAUUGGAGGUAUUCAGUUUUGGGGGAAGGGGGAAAUUGAAAUUCUUCAGUAGUCAACUUUCCGGAAAAUUAAAGUAAAGGAGUCUUUUAAAAUUCAUAAAGGAUGUAGUUGUCUAUGUAUCAUGUUUAGAAUCCAUAAUUCAAACAACUUGAAAAAUGACCAGUAUUCAUGUUUGGAUUUACUUUCACAAGUUCACAACUUACACAAAUGACCUAACAAACAAGUAUUCCAAUGGGCAACGGACCCAGGUAGGCAGACCAAUGAAGCAUACCACCAAAACCUUGAAAAAACACACAUAGGAAUGAAUGAAUGAACCCUAUCACACCAGAAAUGUGGCAAAUCUGGUAAAGCCUAUUCAGGUUACUUUCACUAUCUUUCAGAAGUAUCUGUAAAAGGGCAAAUCUCCAUCAAUUCUCUACAGUUUAUCUUUAUGCCCAUUCAUGCAUGUAUAUAUUAUACGAAGAAGUUUUUGACAUAUGGGCAUGUAUUGUGUGUCAAAUGUAUACGCUUCAUGAAGACAGGUUCAAGAGCACAUACACCAUUUUCACCUUAUUCAUUCAUUUUUGUUUAUUCUGGGUUACUGCAAUUUGAAUCAUAAUGCACAUUAACUUCAGCAGAAUAUUUUGCCAUGAACAAUGCACAUUAAAAAAAAAAAAAUACUGGACAGUGAUAAUCACGAUAAUAUAUAUACUCAAUAUUGAUCGGCAUCACAAUUUCAUAUUUCUCAUUGCACUACGAAGGAAAAUAAAACUUACCCCACAGAGAAACAGGAUCCUCCUAUCUGAACCAGUUAUGUUACCUCCUAGUGCCUUCACAAAAAGCCUAAUGAACUCAGGAUGGCCUUCAUAUGUAGCCCCAGUAAUUAUAUUACCAUCAACAACACACGCCAACAUGGUCUCGGGUUCCACCCAAUAAGCACCUGCAGCAACAAGUACAGGUCUGACAGCUGGGAAGGCCGUACACUUCCUACCUUUAACCGAGCCUGCAGCUGCUAGGACAAGUUGCCCAUGGCAAAUCGAAGCAAUUGGCUUUCCGGAAUCAGAAAACUUUCUCACCAAUUCUAAAACCGAUGCAUCCAAAGCAAGAUAUUCAGGUGCCCGUCCUCCUGGUAUUAUUAAUCCAUCAUAUUUGUUAAAUUCAAUGUCAUCAAAUGUUGCAUUCAGUGCGAAAUUGUGACCACGUGAUUCAGAAUAAGUCUGCAACCAAAGAAAAAAAAUACAGAAAACCAAAAAACAUAUUAAAACAAAGGGGGACCAGAAAGACAUAUAUAUAGCAUUUGAAGAUUUGUAAAUUAACCACAGAUCACGAUUCAGCAAACCUAGGUAGCGCAUUAUCAGAGUAUUUUCACUUAGAGACGAGGGCACUAAUGCAAUUUUGUUUAUUGAAUAUGGUGUACGCGGUGACGUUGGAGCCAAAAAUUUGUUCACGCUGUCUUGUCCCCCAGAACUCAAGCUCAAUACAGGUCGGUUCUCUAGCUAGCUCAUAAUGAAUGAGCAAGCACUCUAACAGAACUCCUAACAUGUGUUCUUGUUUGAGCUUACUUUAGUCUCGCUGUCCACACAACCCAGAACUAUAACCUACGGAUUGCUAUUUGUCAAUCUAAUAGAGUGGCUCUAAUCAACAAUAAAGCUUAUUCAUUUUGUCUUUAAUUAAGGCUACCAACGAUUGGCUGAUGCAAAAAACUAAACUUGAAAGCGUGAUGUUCGUUCGUAAACUUGACAAACUAAUUUCCAGUCCCAACAGAUUCCAAAUUUUAGAGGAGGCAACAUAAUCCCAUAUGUGAGAAUUGUAAGCACUUCAAUCUUUGAGACAAAUUUCUUGUUUUGGGUUUACAAAUUCAAGUGAAGUAAGCAUUCAGUCUUCAAUAUAAUUGAGUGUGCUUAAUGAGGCUAAAGAAAACGUUUUUCAUUAAAAAUAAACAAAGGAAAAGGCAAAAGAAGCAGAGGUGGGUAACCUGGUGAGCAGGAGAAAGUUGAUGAAUGGCUGUGCGGCAGAUAUCACCAGCUUUCUUGCCAGGACAGACAGCAUCAACGGACACUCCAUAUGCCUGCAGUGCUUGAAAUGGAACCAUCGCCUCGUAGUCUUCCACGUAGUCCCCCAAUACCAACAACACCCUGCGUUCGCCUUUCGCCAUUUUCUUGUGUUUAAUUUCUUGGAAUUUCAGAGAGAGAGAGAGAGAGAGAGGAAGGGGUGACAGAGAAUUUCGGCGGACUAAACUCUCGGAUAAAGAAACAGAAUCUCAUGGCUUUCGGCUCUACUCAAUAAAUAGAAUAUGUUGAGAGUAUAGCCGAGCGGCUAUACGUGGCUAUAUACUGUAUAAGUAAAAUAUGUUAAUAGUAGAAUAACAGUACAGCCGAGCGGCUAUAUUAUGUAAAUAGAUUAUUCUACACGUAUGGGCGCCGGGCUGUACUAUAUAAAUAGGAUAUAUGUAACAGUAUAGCCGGGCUGCUAUACUAUAUGAAUAGAAUAUCUAAACGUAUAGCCGCCCGGCUAUACGCUAUAAAUGGAAUAUUUUAAAACUUAUAGCCGAUCGACUAUACUAUAUACAUAGAAUAUUUUAAACCGUACCACGGUCCCGGCCACCACCCUCUACCUAGAUCCAUCAUCGCAAUCACCAUCUUCUUCGUCAUUGUCAUCAUCGUCGUAAAAUUCCGAAGACUUAUCGUCUGAUCCCAAAACUGGAUGAAAUUUCAAAGAGUUGUGGGAGAAAUUCAUAGCUGGGUUUGUUGUUGUUGUUUUGCUGAUAGUAAAACUCGAGUCUCCAAAUUGGCUGUGGCCUCCUAUUUUCCCUUCCAUUACACCGUGUCUCAAGUUUUUCACCAUUGAUGAUCGUUCUUGCUUUUUUCUUUCACUUACCACACCCUUCUCUUUUCUUUCCAUAUCUCUCUCUCUCUCUGAAUUUCUAAACGCACACAGACCGUAAUACAAUAAAGUAACAGCAAUAAUACAACGCCUAUUCUACCUCUCUCUCUCUCUCUCUCUCUCUCUCUCUCUCAUGAAAAACAAAUGUUAGUUUGUUUGAUGCAUUAAUUGCAUUGUUUUAAGUUUUAGAAAAGUGACACAUAUCAUGAGAAAAAGAGAGAAUGUCCAAAAGAGAAAGUUAGAGAAAAAAUUGCUAUCAAAGCUUUUUCACAAAGUUAGACACACACGCCCACCAAGUUGGAUUGCAAUUGCUUUAGGUGUAGAUCACUCUAAUGCUGGAACCCACUCCAUGUGUGUAUCCAGCCUUUUAGAGCAUCUCCACCUAUAAGGGCUAAGGCAAGGGCAAGUAAGGGCUGCCACUAUUCAUGUGAAUAGUGGCAGCCUUGCCUUUUUUGGUUCCACCCCAAAAGGCUAUGGCAAGGGCAAGAAAAAAAAAAAAGGAUAUGCAACAAAAUAUAAAUUUGUUAUGUAUUUUAUAGGGAAAGUGAAUAAAAUUGUUAUGUAUUUAUAGGGAAAACAUCCAUAAUUUUUUGGUAUUUUUUUAAAAAAAAUUUUGAUUUUGAUUUUUUCAUUUUUUUCAAUUUUUUUGACUCGCUGACGUCAGCGUGACAUCACCACUGACAUCAGCGCCCUAGGGCUGAAGCCCAGGCAAAAUCUGCCCUUGGGCUUGCCCAGGCUGGUGGACCCAGGGCUUGCCCGGGCUGCAGGUCGUGCGCUGGAGGGUCUUUUGGGCUGGCAGUGGGCCUUUUGCCCAGGUCGUGCGCUGGAGGGUCUAUAUGAUCAUUACUCUUCUACAAUAUUUAUACCGGUAUUCUGUUUUGCUCUACUUACCGUUCUAUCCGCACACAAAAAUUGUUAUGAAUCUACUACAUACAUCUUGUGUAGCCGAAGAGGACUAGUAUAUCUCCACCACCAUGGUGAUGCUCUCUAGUGUUUCUCUCUAUGGUGAAGUGUCUCUCACUUCUGUUUUAGCCUAUCUGGGCAAUGGUGCUCACGGCACCUCCUACUAAGCCUUCUUUAAAUAACCAAAGAAUUUGGUCCAGCAGCUGCAUGCAUGAAAAAACCGUGCAAGUUGUCUGAGCACCUUCAAAGUCCUCCACAAGACACAGAACAUUAAUGCACCGAAAAAGCACAACCACCAGCAUUCGCAAAGAAGCCAGCCGCUCCUCUUUCUCAUGUCCUUGGUGCAGCACAGUGGGGCACACCUGCACACACAUCUCCUGCUGUCAACCGAAGUCCCUCUUUAUGCAUAGCCCAAGUUGGCUUCUCAAAGAACCCAAGCCAAAAGUAAUAGCAAUAAUACAAAGCCUACUCUCUCUCUCUCUCUCUCUCUCACGGGUACACAGACCAACAAUGUGGCCAAUAAACGAAGGAAAAUGCUGGCAACCUUAUCUCCGACCUUAUUUUUGGACAUUUUCCCUUUUCCUCAUGACAUAUGUCACAUCCCAUACACUUGUAAACAAUGACAUUAAUACAUUAAACAAACUACCUUUUGUUUUCGAAGUUUACCCUUAUUAAAUGUAUUGUCUUUCAAUUUAUCCAAAUUUUUUUACAACUCUCUUACUAUAUUUAAAAAAUUAAAAAAAUUCAGUUAAAAAAAAAAAAAACAUGUCUAUUUUUUUAGAUUGGAAAACGUUUUUUUUUUUUUUAACACAAGAAUGACCUCAAAAAAAAAAAAUCAACGAAAGAAAGAUUGUUUUUUUAUACGGACAAAAGACAUCCUUCUAAAGAAGUCUGUAGUCAAAGGAAGUUCAUUGAUUGGAUUUUCAAACCAUUAAUUCGGUAAGUUUGAUUAUUGAUUUUUUUUUCAAGACCAUUAAUUAGGUAAGUCUUAUUUGGAGUCUUUCAGAAAAGGAAAAAAAAAACAAACGUUUUUUCUUAUUUAAUUUUUUAAGUCUUAUUUGAAUGUCUCCUUAUUCCCUUUGGAGUCUUAAAAAAAAGACUUUUUCUCAAUUAAUUUUUGAACAAGGCGAUAAGAAAAUUGUAAAAAAUUUAGAUAAGAAAUUUAAAGAAAUAUUAAAAUCAAUACGUUUAAUAAGGGCUGAUUUGAAAAACAAAUGUUAGCUUGUUUGAUGCAUUAAUUGCAUUGUUUUAAGUUUUAAAAAAGUGACACAUAUCAUGAGAAAGAGAGAGAAUGUCCAAAAGAGAAGGUUAGAGAAAAAGUAGCUAUCAAAGCUUUUUCACAAAGUUAGACACACACGCCCACCAAGUUGGAUUCCAAUUGCUUUAGGUGUAGAUCACUCUAGUGCUGGAACCCACUCCAUGUGUGUCUCCAGCCUUUUAACAAAGAUGGCACGUGCCGUCAUUUCCCCAUUUGAAAACCCACGGUAUGACAAAUGAAGAAAGCUAGCAAACAAACAAGGAUAAAGUAGCCUUUACACAAUUAACAAUACAAUUUGGGCCAAUUUUCAACAGUGAAGGCAUCUUAUUGCAUUCUCCGGAGCCUUUCUUUUUCGAAAUAAGGAUAGAUUUUAAUUUAAACGCUAGAUCUGAAAGCAGAUUCAAUGAUUUCCAUAAAAAUCAUAAUCAACAUUACGUAGUUACAAACAUACAAGAUCCAUCCACAAUUGGUACAUAUAGAGCAGAAUCCGAGCAUCAUUGUUCCCUCACAGAUACACACAACACCUUCACAUAUGCUCUUAUUCUUUUAUUGAAUUACACGGAGUUUCUGGCUAUGCUUCUUUUUCUUUUAUUCUCUUAUUCGUUUAUGGAAUUCCAUAUAUUACUUGGAAGCAGCAGACCCGGUAAAGGGUGCCUAGAAUGAUACUCGAAUAUCAAGCAAUGUCAUCAACUGAGAAAUAAGCUCUGGUUGGCCAUGCCACGCUGCUGCGGUAACCAGAUUUCCAUCAGUGACACAACGAUCUAUUGGAUCCGCUUCCACAAACGUCCCUCCUGACGAAACCACACGAGCCUUAAUCCCUGGGUAUCCAGUACAUUUCUUCCCCUGAAAUAUAGCCAAUUGAACCAAUUAUAUGACAUGCUAAAAAGUGCCUAAUCAGUUAAUAAGUACAUUAACCACUAAUCAAAAGAAACAGAAAAAAUAUCAUCUCCUUUGCGAUUUUAAAGAGUACUCACCUCCCUCUUCCCCAUAGUUAUUUACAAUUGAGAGGUUAAUAGGUCACAACAGAUCAGCUCAACAGAACCAAAAUACAAAGCACUACCACUAACUAUGUUUUUUUCUUUAAGAACCAUACCUGCAGAACACCAGCAGCAACUAAAAUUUCCAGGCCAUGGCAGAUGGAUGCAACUGGUUUCCCGGCUUCCAUAAAUUGUUUCACUAGUACAAUAACAUCCUCCUUUAGUGCCAAAAACUCUGGAGCUUUACCUCCAGGGAGUACAAGAGCGUCAUAACUUGAGGCAUCUAUGGAUUCAAAGUCAGCUGUUAAAACAAAAUUAUGUCCCCGGAUCUCACUGUAGGUUUGGCCCCCUUCAAGAUCACGGAUAGCAGUUGGGCAGGUAUCACCGGCUUUCUUCUUGGGGCAAACCACAUCAACAUGGCAUCCUAGAACUUUGAGGGUCUGAUAAGGCACAGUUACCUCAUAAUCUUCCGCGUAGUUCUACAAAUAUUGGGGAGGGGAGCAAUUACAUGAUGAUGAUUAGUAACUAACAGUUUAAUCAUUGGCUAUAUUUUGUCCCAUAUUUGUCAUUGCAAUAUAAAAGAAACAGAAAAGAAAGCUUACUCCAAUGAUGAUGAGGACCCUUCUCUCUGAAGCACAUAUGUUGCCUCCUAGUGCCUUGAGAAAAAGCCUAAUGAACUCAGGAUUGCCAUAAUAUGUGACCCCAGUAAUUAAAUUAUCAUCAGCAACACACACUGACAAUGUAUCGGGUUCUACCCAGUGAGCACCAGCAGCAACCAAUCCAGGUUUCAUAGUUGAAACCGCGGUGCAUUUGCGACCUUUAACAGCGCCUGCAGGUGCUAAGACCAACAGCCCAUGGCAAAUAGCAGCAAUUGGCUUUCUGCAGUCAGAAAAUUUUCUCGCCAAUUCUACAACGGAUGCCUUCAUAGCAAGAUGUUCAGGAGAUCGUCCUCCUGGUAUAACUAGACCAUCAUAUUUGUCAAUUUCGAUGUCAUCAAAUGUUGCAUUCAGUGUGAAAUUGUGACCACGAGAUUCUUUAUUAGCCUGUAACCAAAAAGGUACACGAAAGAAAACCAAACACAACACACACAUUAAAACAAGAGUAAUGGUUAGGUGAAUUCAAGCUUCUUUGUCUUGCUUGUCUCUCAAACUCAAACUCAAACUCAAACUCAUCAGAGGUUGUUUUCCAACAACUGUGUUCAAUAUUAAACAUAUAAAAUAUAUUCCUCUUGUUUACAAAUAAAAAAGAACAGGAAAGACAGGAAAGACAGAGUUUGACCUGGUCAGUGGACUCUACUUGAAUGGUUAUGGCAGUGGCGCAGAUAUCACCAGCUUUCUUGACAGGAGAAACUGCAUCAACAGAGACUCCAAAUGCCUGCAGUGCUUGAAAUGGGACCAUUGCCUCGUAAUCUUCCAUGUAGUCCCCGCACAGUAACAACACCCUCCUCUGCACCUCGCCUUUCGGAUUCCCCAUUUCUUUUCUUAUUUCCUUCUUUAGUUUCUUUCUUCUUUUUCAGAGAGAGAGAGUUUUCAGAGAGAUUUUUCACACAGAGAGAGAGAGAGAGAGAGAGGGAGAGAGUCUGAAUACAAGAAGGUAGGUUAUAGUUUGAGCUGCUCCGCUUUGCUUACUUAAAUACUCACAAAAGCGUUUUUGGAGGUUUGUGGAGUCAGCUCGAUACGGUCGCACGCAACUUGAGCAACACAUCGCAGUCAGUUAUCGUGGCAUCUCUCUAUUCGCCGCUUCUUUUCAGUUCGGAUAACUAUUCUAUUAGUUUCGAGCCUAUCACCGUCUCCAUGUUUGAUACGUUUUUUUGUUGUCUUCUUUACCGACCAAGUGAGUCUAAAUUAUUGAAACUUGAGUUCGUUCUCUUCACGGACCAAGUGGGUCUAAAUUAUUGGAGGAAGAUUGAAACUUGAGUUUGUUCUCUUCACGGACCAAGUGAGUCUAAAUUAUUGGAGGAUAAUUAAAACUUGAGUGCAAAGAGGCGAAUUUAUUCCCUUAUUGUGAAUACAAGUAAUGGUCUAAAUUAUUAGAGAAGUAUUCUAACUUGAGUGCAAAGAGCACAAAUUUAAGUGCAAAUGAGUGUACUUACUGUCUUAUUACGAAUGCAAAUGAUAGUCUAAAUUAUUAGAGAAAUAUUCAAAUUAUAGUGAAAAGAAGCGUACUCACUGUCUUAUUGUGAAUAUUCGAAUAUUCGAGCUCAAUGCUUCCUUUUCGAUUGAAAAAAAGAAGCUCAAUGCUUCCAAGCUAAUGUCCCUAUACUAUACAAAAGCUCUUUAGAGUCGUCAUCAUCUUCUUCUUGCCUUCAUUGUAGCACGUGUGUGGCCUAAUAGAAAAGUUCUUUAGAGUCCUCAUCUUCCUCUUGCCUUCAUUGUAGCACGUGUGUGGCCCAAUAGAAAAGCUAAUGUCCCUAUACUAUAAGUAGGGGUGGGCAUCAAUCCGGCCGAUCCGACCAAACCGGCCGAACUAAACCGUAUUUUCCAGUUUGGUUUGGUUUUGACUUUAAAAAGUCAACAGUUUUAAAAUCCGAACCAAACAGGAGUAAUUUGGUUCAGCUGCAGUUUUAAGUUUUAAAAAACUGUGUUAAUCCGAACCGAACCGUUUAAAUAUUAAUUAAUUAUAUAUAUAUUAAUUUACAUGUGUCAAUGGUUGAGUGGCUACUUAGAAGUGUUAGUGUACACCCAGCCACAUUGAAUUGGACUCCAACCCAUCUAUUUUCAGACUCAACGCAUUCCAGAGUUGUCUUCCUUACGCAGCCUCCCUCACUCAACCACUUCAACCCUAGAAAAGCCACCAUUGAUUUGAACCACCACAACCUCCACUGCUUCAAUCAAACCCAUUCUCACAUAGCAAAAAUCUCUUUGGCGUCGCACCUCCAUCGUCAUCGGUGCACAGCCAUCGUCAUCGUCGCACGGCCAGAGUCAUCGUCGCACAGCCAUCGUCAUCCCUGCACAGCAGCGUCAUCGUCGAACACCAGCGUCAUCGUCACACACCAGCAUCAUCGUCGCACAGUUGAUUGAUGUUCGAGAAGCCCAAGAAGUGUAUGUUCUAAUAUUUAAUUUCUAAUUAUCUACAUAUUUUUCUUUUGAUGGAUGUUCUGAUUUCAAUUUCUUGGAAUGAACUUUUAGUUGUGGGUUUAUCUAUAUAUAUGAUCAUAUUAUAUUGAGAAGUUCAAAUUUGAAAGUUAGCAAUUAACUUCUGAGUCUCAAUUCCAAAUAACACAGCAGCAGAGGAUUUAAUUAAUUACCUUCCACCAUAACCUCUUUCCAUAACAACCACGCCUCCAUUGCCAAAGUUAUUCAGCCUCUCAAAUUGCUCCACUGUCCAUAACCUCAAAUUGCCUCUAUAAGGACCAUGCGGAUAAAUAAAUGUAAUGUUUAUCUCUAACAGGUCAUGCUUUUUGAGCCGUGAUAGUUUUGGAAUAGCGUUCGAGUGCAUUUUACCUGGACUGCCAUGUUGAUUUUCACCAGAGCAGCAAAGCUGCUUGCUUUGUGUUAUGAGGUCUAGUUUUGUCAACAAACUAUAUUGCUUGACCUAGAAGAAAAUGCAAUAUCAUGUGGAUCCUUAUUUCGCAGUUGCAGGAGGAUGGUUGUGAAAAUACUAGAGCUAAUUCUGGACAACAUGAUAUUUGUGGGGGCGAUUUCUUCCCACGAGAAUAUUCAAUUGAAAGAUUCCUCUUUCAUCUUCGUCGCCCCUUUCUCCUUGCAAAAUAGAUCGAAACAACAGGACCACACUCGUGAGGUGUUGGCCAAAAGCCAUGAGAUGCCCAAGUUAGUUCAAUUGAUUCGUAGAGAAAACAAUAGCUAAAUAGGGUAUAGAGAUAUAUAUGUAAGGUGUAAACCGGGUGGCCGGAGCCGUGAGUGUUGGUCGGAGCCUUGUGUAAAAGGGAGAGAGGGUAUGGCGGCUAGGGUUUGUGAGGGAUAGGCAGUGUCCCUCUUACAAAAUUGAUGACACUCCUAACUCUUCCUAACAAAUUCUGAAAAACUGAAACUGCCUAGCUCCACCAAGCCUUUUGGUUUUCCUUACUAGGUAAUUUCUUCUUUUACCCCAUUCCCGGGAACUUGUCCUCCUUGGCUCAUUGAAUGUUCGUUAUGUCUCCACCCAUACUCAGCCAAACAUUUGAUGUACUUUAAAUCUUUAGUAUUCAAUAAUACAGCAUAACUGUUGAUAUUUACAUGAAUGGUUCAUAAAACUGAAGUGGAGAAGAAACUAUCUUAAGAGUUGAGAAUGAGUUUGGGUGGCUUGAGUGAAAAAACUUUAUCCAUCAACACAAGGAGAUGGUGAAGGCAUCUUAUUAUGGUGGGAUCAUUUGCAUCCUCCGGAGCCUUUUUUUUUCAAAAUACGGCCAGAUUUUAAUCAUUAAACUAAGAAUGUAAACGCUAGAUCCGAAAGCAGAUUCAAGGAUUUCCAUAAAAAGCAUAAUCAACAUUACGUAGUUAAAAACAUACAAGAUCCAUCCACAAUUGUUACAUAUACAGCAGAAUCAGAGCAUCAUUGUUCCCUCACAGAUGCACACAUCACCUUAACAUAUGCUUUUAUUCUUUUAUUGAAUUACACGGAGUUUCUGACUAUGUUUCUUUUUCUUUUUUUACUCUUAUUCGUUUAUGGAAUAACAUAUAUUACUUGGAAGCAGCUGAACUGGUUACGUUUGCUUAAAAUGAUACUCGAAUAUCAAGCAAUGUCAUCAACUGAGAAAUAAGCUCUGGUUGGCCAUGCCACGCUGCUGCGGUAACCAGAUUUACAUCAGUGACACAACGAUCUAUUGGAUUCGCUUCCGCAAACGUCCCCCCUGACACAACCACAUGAGCCUUAAUCCCUGGGUAUCCAGUAAAUUUCUUCCCCUGAAAUAUAGCCAAUUAAACCAAUUAUGUCAUGUUAAAAAGUGCCUAAUCAAGAAAUAAGUACAUUAACCACUAAUCAAAAGAAACAGAAAAAAUAUUAUCUCGUUUGCGAUUUUAAAGAGUACUCACCUCCUUCUUCCCAAUAGUUAUUUACAAUUGAGAGGUUAAUAGGUCACAACAGAUCAGCUCAACAGAACCGAAAUACAAAGCACUAGAUGUAACCUUUUUUACUUCCUUUUCAAGUUCAAUCGAUAAAGUAUUUCAAUCUGUUUUACUUUAUCUUUAAUAAGUAGCAUUAAAACUGGAAGCAUNNNNNNNNNNNNNNNNNNNNNNNNNNNNNNNNNNNNNNNNNNNNNNNNNNNNNNNNNNNNNNNNNNNNNNNNNNNNNNNNNNNNNNNNNNNNNNNNNNNNNNNNNNNNNNNNNNNNNAGAUGGAUGCAAUUGGUUUCCUGGCUUCCAUAAAUUGUUUCGCUAGUACAAUAACAUCCUCAUUUAGUGCCAAAACCUCUGGAUCUUUUCCUCCAGGGAGUACAAGAGCGUCGUAACUUGAGGCAUCUACGGAUUCAAAGUCAGCUGUUAAAACAAAAUUUUGUCCCUGCGUUUCACUGCAGGUUUGGGCCCCUUCAAGAUCACGGAUAGCAGUUGGGCAGGGAUCACCGGCUUUCUUCUUGGGGCAAACCACAUCAACAUGGCAUCCUAGAACUUUAAGGGUCUGAUAAGGCACAGUUACCUCAUAAUCUUCCACGUAGUCCUACAAAUAUUACAAAUAUUGGGGAGGGGAGCAAUUAAAUGAUAAUGAUUAGUAUCUAACAGUUUGAUCAUUGGCUAGAAGCCUAAAACCAUGAACUUGUCGUGGCGAAACUGGUAAAGCCGACUCGGGCUUUCUCCCCUUUCUCUUUUAAUAAUAUUAAGGUUGGUUGUCACUUGAACUUGAGCAUACUAUUUUGUCCUAUAUAUGUCAUUGCAAUAUUAAAGAAAAAGAAAAGAAACCUUACUCCACAGAUGAUGAGGACCCUUCUCCCAGAACCAGAUAUGUUGCCUCCUAGUGCCUUGAGAAAAAGCCUAAUGAACUCAGGAUUGCCAUAAUACGUGACCCCAGUAACUAUAUUAUCAUCAACAACGCCCACUGACAAUGUAUCGGGUUCUACCCAGUGAGCACCAGCAGCAACCAAUCCAGGUUUUACAGUUGGAAACGCUGUGCACUUGCGACCUUUAACAGACUGCCCAUGACAAAUAGCAGCAAUUGGCUUUCUGGAGUCAGAAAAUUUUCUCACCAAUUCUACAACCGAUGCAUUCAUAGCAAGAUGUUCAGGAGAUCGUCCUCCUGGUAUAAGUAGACCAUCAUAUUCGUCAAAUUCAAUCUCAUCAAAUGUUGCAUUCAGUGUUGUUUGUGCAAAUAAUCUCACGGGAGAAUAUUCGCCCAAGAUUCCUUCGUCUUCUCCGCCUCUCUUUCUCCUUGCAAAACAGAUUGGAGUAAAAGGACCACACCCGGGGGGUGUUGGCCAAAGGCCCUCCGAUGCCUAAGUUAGGUAAGGGAAUUGAAGGAAAACCGGGUGGCCGGAGCCGUGUGUGGUGGCCGGAGCCUUGUGUGAGAGAGAGAAAGAGAGGAGGUGCCUAGGGUUUUUGAGAAAUAAUUUAUGCAGAGUUUCAGUAGGAAUUUAGACGUACCUCAUCCUUGUGUGUAACCAGGUAUUUAUAGUGGCCUUUGGAGAGGUAGGUGGGGUUGGUGUAGUUGGUGUGGUUGGUGGGGUUGGUGCAUUUAGGGAUUAUGGAUGAACCGAAUCCCUAAUUAAAUUGGGGAUCAAGUAACCCCCAAUUUGAUUAGGUAAUUCCCAAUUAGGUUAGGUAACUCCUAAUUAGGUCAAAUAAUUCCCAAAUUGAUUGGCCUAAUUAAUUGACCUAGGGUUUUGGUUUAAUUAGGUUCCCACAAAUGCCCCCCAGCUUCUGCAUGGCGCGUGGUGGCAUGUAAGAGAUGUAAAUUAUCCGUUGGGCUGUCCAGCUGUAACUGGGCUUCCUUCGUGGACAUGGGCUCCCGCGUAGAGGAGGUGUUUGACUUGCCAAUUUUAUGAACUCCCAGGUUGGAAAGAAUUUGUGAUUCCUUGUAGGUCAAGGAAUUUUCAUUCUUAUAAAUGUAGGGCUCCUCCAAUUUAUUCUUCACAUCCAAAAUCCAUUCUGAUUUUAUUAGUGAGAGAGAGUAAACUUUGGAGAAUUUUUUCCUUCUUCUUGAGCUCUUGUCUUCAUCGCACACCCAAGGUAAUUUAGACUUGAGUUAUAUAUAUAUAUAUAUAUUUUGUUCCAAUUUCCCGCAGCUUGGCUCAUGCUUCUAGCUGAUGUGGGGAGCUGAAAGGGAGGUCAGCAGGCUUGGGACUGUACAUUUUGGGCUCGAGCAUGGAGGUCCAAGGGCUAUGGGUUCUUGCUGGAGCAAACUGGCUGCAGCUGAGGCAAGGAAGGGUUAGGCCUGGCUCACGGUUGGGCUGCGCGCGGAAAGCCCAAGGCGCUGGGCUUCGAGCAAUGGCCUGAAGGCGCUGCUGGGCAGAGGCGACGGGCCACCUACGCUGGGCUUCGUCUGAUUGGGCUAAGGUGAGAGCUGGAGCUGGCCUGCGCGAUCUGGGCUGGAGACGAUGGGUCACGCGUGCUGGGCUGCGAGCUGGAGCUGGUCAUCUGGGCUGAAGGUGAUGGGCCACGCGUGCUGGGCUGCGAGCUGGAGCUAGUCAUCUGGGCCUCCGUGCUGGGUUGCGAGCUGGGCUGCCUUCUGUUUUUUUUUUUUUUUUUUUUUGGCAUUCUAACAUGUAAAAUUAUUUUAUUAUUAUUUUUUUUUUCAGCUGCUCAACGACCAUGUCUUCUGAAGGAAAGAGCCGAUCACCAAACUCAAGAGUGCCUUUGUACCUGUGGGGCGGUUCUCAAGUUCCCAAAGAGAAGUUUGUGGCCAAUUUGCACCGUGUCACCAACGAGGCCCAGUUCAAAACGUGGCGUGCCCUUUUCGACUCUGCUAUACCCAAGGAUGUACAUGUCAAGUUGGCAGAGCCCUCAUCUGACAGUAUACCUCGUGUGGACCCGAACAAUCCAGGCGCCAGGAUUAUCACGUUCCGCCCCUUCUAUUUCUCGCUGGGUUUCACGUUUCCGUUGUCGAAAUUUUUCAGGGAGGUGUUCUGCGCCAUGGAAUGUGCCCCGAGCCAGUGUACUCCGAAUGUUUAUCGGGCGGUCAUCUGCUUUGAAAAUUUGAGCCGCUUCUUCAAGUUGGAUUUGACCGUGAAGGAGUUCUUCUACUUCUUUGAGGUGAGACACUUCGAGAAAUAUGCCCAACUCCGCGCAUGCGAACCCAAGUUGUUUGAUAGUCUGAGUCAGGGCGAUCAUGUGUGGAGCAAGGAUGUGCUAGAGGUUAGUGGCAGAUGGGAAGGAGAGGUUGGCGACGGUCCGCUCGUUCCUCUCACCUACUGUGAUGGUAAGUUGCAUCCCUCUGAUCUGCUACUAUUUUCCAUGGGAUUCCUUAGUGUGUCUGACUAACUUUUGUCUUAUGCUUGCAGAUGAUGCCAUUCGAAAGAAGCUUGUUCUCGACCCGGACAUGACGAAGGUUCGACAAGCUUUGAGCAUCCCUGCUAAGUUUCGUGAAUGGCGCUGGUUGCUGAGCGAACACCGGAAGAAAGUCAGUGGCCUGCCCCCUGCUGAAGAUAUUGAAAGGUGGAAGUCGCGCUGCUUGAAACUAAGUGACUUGCCAGUUGAGCAGGAGUCAUCGACUGAGUCCCCCGAGGGUGGGAAAACGUGCAGCAGCUCUGCUCGGGAUAAAGUUGCAGUUUCCCGAUCAGUAGAUACAUCUCCACAGCGACAGCAGCCGAGAUUUUCUCUUGCCACGAACAAGUCUUCCACAAGGGAGGUCUCGCCUGCUCAGAAAGCCCAUAUGGGAAUUGUUCCUACUCCAUCUGCCGGGAUCAGCAAGAAGGCCAAUGGCAUGCAGGAGGUUCGGGAAAUUCUGCUCAAGUCCUUGCCCGUACCGCCUAAGACCCGUGAUCUGCCAUGCAAGGAAACUGCUGGGAAGCAAGGUUUGGGUCGUCCGUGCCGAUCUGGGAAUCAAGCUGAGAGGACCGUACCUCUGCCUUGCAACCAUGACUCAUCUGUGGGGCCACGAGCAGUCAAGCGCGGGGCUGACUCAAUGUUACAAGCUGCAGUCAAAAGAGCUAAAGAGUCGUCUGCUCGAGCGAAGAGUCCUCCAAUCGCGCGAACUGCUGGUCCGGGAAUUGGUGAUGGCUCUGCUGGGGGGAGCCCGUGUCUGAUCUGCUGAAAACAGGCUUUCUGUCAAGUCCGUCUGCUUGCGCUCAGCUGGCUGAUCACGUGUAUCGAGCCUGCGACCUUUGUGCUUUUUCGAACCUUCCUUUGGAUAAGCAAGAAGAAGCUGCUAUGUAUCAUCUUCAAAAAGGAAUGGUUUUUGCUGUUGGGGCCAUGCGGAACUCGCGUGAUGUUACCCCCUCUUCUGCCCUGCUUGACGAGCUGGUGAAGAAGAAUGCCGACUUGACUGGCAAGCUCUCGAGCGAGCGGAUUCGCCAUGAUGCGAUGAUUUCCGAGAUGAAGGAGAGUUUGUCCGUGCUCAAGAGUUCUGUUGGCCAAAAGGAUGGUGAACUCAAGUCUCUUGCUGCUACCCUGCUCGAACGUAAAGAAGCCUACUUCUGCCUCGAACACAAGCAUGCUGCUUUGGCCCAGGAUCGUGACAAACUGCUGGUCAAGUUUGACACCCUUGUGGAAGCCACGGAGGCAUCCAAACUGGAGAUUGCUGCUAACGCGUACAAGCUGGGAUACCUGGAUUGCCAGAAUGGUGUUUCUCCUUGCUGCUCUCUCGAAGAUGAUGAUGGUGAGCAGACUGGUCUUGACCUGCCCCCCGCUCAGAGUGAGCAGGUGGAUGUUGUGGAUGCAGAAGCAGCGGUAAUUGAGGAAGAUAAAUGCCAAGGUGGGUCAACUGAUGAGGCUAAGGCGGAUGCGAAGGAGCAGGCAGCCGAGGCGGUUGAGCCAGUUGUGCCCGUUGGGUAGAAUGAGGCUGUUGCCAGCGCAGUUGAGGAUGUGAUCGGCUGAGGGUCACCUGCUGAAGUUCCUUAGCAGUUGUAGUCCAUUUUUGCUAUUUUUGAACUUUGUUAUUUUUCUUUCAAUAAGUGGUCUUUGGUUGACCAUCUUACUUCUUGUUGAACUUGGCUGAUUGGCCGCUUUGUUAUUGAAUUUUCAAUUGUUUUUCAAACUUCAAUUCUCUUUGUAUCUUGUAAGUGUGCGUCUGGAGACAUAGCACUUGAAAGACAUAGCACUUGAAAAAAGACUCCAUUGAGUUUGUGCUCCGGGGAGCAGCUCGUCUGCAAUGGAGGUAAGGCUUGUCGCCUGUGAGCGUAUGUCGGGGACAUAGCUCUUAAAAAAGACUCCAUUGAGUUCGUGCUCCGGGGAGCAGCUCGUCUGCAAUGGAGGUAAGGCUUGUCGCCUGUGAGCAUAUGUCAGGGACAUAGCUCUUAAAAAAGACUCCAUUGAGUUCGUGCUCCGGGGAGCAGCUUGUCUGUGAUGGAGGUAAGGCUUGUCGCCUGUGAGCGUAUGUCGGGGACAUAGCUCUUAAAAAGGACUCCAUUGAGUUCGUGCUCCGGAGAGCAGCUUGUCUGCAAUGGAGGUAAGGCUUGUCGCCUUUGUGUAUAUGUUUGUGGGACAUAAAGCUCGAAAAAAGUACUUCAUUGAAAAGCUUGCUUUUGUAUUGAUGUUGAUGUGAAUACAUCGCUUUAUUGAAUAAAGGAAAUUAAUAACAUAGGUAACAUCAAAAGCAGUUUGCCUUUAAUAGAAGUAUGAGAGGCUCGUUGUCUGCUAGGAGUCGAGCUGGUAAGCGAAGAGCUUCAUGGAUAGUAUCUCCGAAGGUGGUGGGCAUUCCACUGUCUUGGAAUUUCCUUCCCUUCUAGAGUGUCGAGGGUGUAACUUCCUCUGCCCCCAGACGGCUGAUCAUGUAGGGGCCUUCCCAAUUUGGCUUCAUCUUCUUUGAUCCUUGCCUUGGUGAUGUGAUAAAAGUCUUUCUGAGCACAAGGUGCCUUUUCUCGUUCUUCUUCGAGCAGGUCAAGGUUAAUUCUCAUCUGCCUGCAGUUUUGAUCAAGACUGCCCACUUCAAUGCUCAUGGAAGGGACUGUGAUGUGUGGGGGAAUGAUUGCCUCCGUCCCAUAAGCCAAGGAAAACGGUGUUUCUCCGGUCGAUCUCCUUUUGGUUGUGCGAUAAGCCCAUAGAACUCCUGGCAGCUCGUCGACCCAUUUUCCUUCUGUGCCUUCCAGUCUUUUCUUUAGGCAGUCCAGCACGAUUUUGUUGGAUGCCUCUGCUUGACCAUUGCCUUGCGGGUAUCUGGGAGUUGACAGGUGCUGCUUGAUGCCAUACUUCGCAAAAAAUGCAGUGAUCUGCCUGCCCACGAACUGUGUACCAUUGUCAGUAACUAUCGAUUGCGGGCAACCAAAUCUGCAGAUGAUGUUCUUCCAGAUGAAACGUUCAACGUCAGCUUCCUUGGUAGAAGACAAAGCCUCGGCCUCGAUCCAUUUAGUGAAGUAAUCAGUGGCAACGAUCAUCAUCUCUUUAUUGGCAGGUGCUGUCGGCAUAGGUCCCACCAAGUCAAUGGCCCACUGCAUGAACGGCCAUGGGCUGUUCUGCGGAUGGUAUUCCUCAGCUGGCAAGCCAGGGACUGGCUUGUACCGUUGGCAUCGAUCACAUCUUCGAGCAUACUCCGUGGAAUCUUUACGCAUGGUAGGCCAGAAAUAGCCGAUGCUGAGAGCCUUCUGAGCAAGCGACCUGCCUCCAGCGUGAUUUCCACAUUCGCCGUCGUGUAUUUUGCAGAGAACCUCGAGCGUUUGCGGGUACUUGAUGCAAGUGAGAUGAGGCCCGUAGUAUGAUCUGCGGAUAAGCGUGUCGCCUUUCAUGUAAUAUCUUGCAGCCUUCUGCUUGAUUUUUCUGGCCUCGGACUUGUCUUGGGGCAAGUUUUCAUUCACUAGGUAGUCGAUGAUGGGUUCUUGCCAGCUAGGAUCCUCGUCGAUUUGCAUCAGGUCUGGUUGUUCUGCCUCUUCUAUGCUAGGCUGAUCAAGGUGCUCGACCGGGAUGGAGCGUCUGAAUUGGGUAUCCAGUGCUGAUCCUAAGCUUGCCAGUGCAUCUGCGUGUGCGUUCUCUGCUCGGGGCACCUGCUGGAUGGUGAAGGUGGAAAAUGCCUUCAACAGCUCUUGGACUUUGUCAAGGUACAAGAUCAUCCUUGGGUGCUUCGCCAUGUAUUCUCCUGAGGCUUGACUUGUGAUCAGCUGGGAAUCUGAGUAGAUGGCCAGCUUCUUGAUUGAUAGCUCCUUUGCCAGGCGCAAGCCAGCGAGCAAUGCCUCGUACUCUGCCUCGUUAUUUGAAGCUGGGAAGCCAAGUGUGAUAGCUUUCUCUAACAGGGUUCCAUCUGGAGUGACGAUGACGACACCUGCUCCAGCUCCUUUCUGGUUCGACGCUCCAUCUACGCGUAGCUGCCACAUGUCUCUGGGUUGGUCAGGUUCCGCGGAGGUCUUGUCUGCUCUCGAACUUUCCUUCUUUUUGCUGACCAGCUUCUCUUCUUCGGCUGAUGGUGUGUACUCUGCAACAAAGUCUGCUAAGGCCUGGGCUUUUAUAGCAGUCUUUGGCCGGUAGAGGAGGUCGUAUUGGCUUAGUUCUAUCGCCCACUUCAUAAGCCGCUGAGAAGCAUCAGGGCUGUGGAGGAUUGAUCUUAAAGGAAAGUCAGUCAUAACGAUGACUCGGUGAGCUUGGUAAUAAGGCCGCAGCUUUCGCGCGGAAACGACAAGGGCCAAAAUGAGCUUCUCCAAUUUUGGGUAGCGAGUCUCUGCAUCGAGGAGAGCUUUUGACGUAUAGAAUAUCGGAUGUUGGGCCCCAAGUUCUUCUCGGAUGAGAGCUGAGCUGAUGGCUGAGUCGGACACUGCCAGGUACACGAACAAGUCUUCACCAGGAACGGGCUUCGAGAGCAGGGGAGGUGAAGUAAGGUAGGUCUUUAGACUCUGGAAAGCUACUUCGCACUCCUCGUCCCACUUGUCUUUUUGCCCCUUCUUCAAAGCUUUGAAGAAUGGUCUGCACUUGUCGGUAGACUUUGAGAGGAAUCGGUUGAGAGCUGCUGCUCUGCCCGUCAGACUUUGUAUUUCUUUCACCGUGGAAGGUGACUUCAUCUCGAGGAUGCCUUUAAUUUGGCAUGGGUGUGCCUCGAUACCUCGUUGUGUGAUACACCGAACGUGCAUUUACUUGGAUUCAGCUUCAUGCGGUAUUGGCGGAGCAGGCUGAAUGCCUCGGUGAGGUUUUUGAGGUGGUCUCCACGCUUGGGGGCUUUGACCAGCAUAUCAUCCACGUAGACUUCCAUGGUUCUGCCGAUCUGCUCCUUGAAAAUCUUAUUCACGAGCCUUUGGUAUGUUGCUCCAGCGUUCUUCAACCCGAAGGGCAUGACCUUGUAGCAGUAGGUUCCUCUCUCAAUGAUGAAAGAGGUCUUCGCCUUGUCAUCGUCGUACAUCAUAAUUUGAUUAUAGCCUGAGUAGGCAUCCAUGAAGCUGAGCAGCUGGUUGCCGGAAGUUGAAUCCACGAGCUGGUCGAUCCUCGGCAAUGGGAAGUUGUCUUUAGGGCAUGCUUUGUUGAGGUCGGUAUAAUCGACGCACACUCUCCAUUUUCCCUUUUCUUGUUUUGCCACCAAAACGACGUUGGCCAGCCAUUCUGAGUAUGAGACUUCUUCAAUAAAUCCGGCUGCUAGAAGCUUGUCGAUCUCGGCUUCAAUGAUCGCGACUCGCUCGGGAGCGAAGUUACGUCUCUUCUGCACCACGGGCUUGCUGGCAGGGUUGACAUGGAGGCGGUGGCAGAUGAUGUUUGGGUCGAUGUCGGGCAUGUCAGAUGGUGACCACGCGAACAUGUCUUUGUUGUUUUGGAGGAAGGUGGUAAGCUCCACCUUCUCGUCUGGGCUUAGGCGCGAGCCGAUCCGCGCUUUCUUAUCUGGCUGGUUAGGAUCGAGGGGUACUAACUCGACGUCUUCCUCAGGCUUCCAACCCUCUUCAAGGGAGCCUUCCGGGCGGAUUCCCUCCUCUCGAUCCUUCUUGUUUGGAUUCUAGCACGAGCCGAUCUGUGCUUCUUUGUCUGGCUGGCCAAGAUCAGGGGGUACUAACUCAACGUCAUCCUCAGACUUCCAACCCUUUUCAGGGGAGUCUUCCGGGCGGAUUCCCUCGCCUUGAUCCUGGCUCAUUAAUUGCUAUUGUGAGGUAACAGCUCCCUUCUCGUUCGAGCUUGCUUGUCUGCUGGGAGCACUUCGUGCCUCGUUGGCAGCUUGCAUUACUGGUGUGAACUGCAUCUGCUUGCUCUUCUUGAGUCCGUGAGCUGUGCAUCUUCUUGCCAUGGCUUGGUCACUAUUGAUCUGCCCGAUUCCGCCUCCAGGGAUGGGGUAGCGAAUCUUCUGGUGUAGAGCAGAUGUGAUAGCCUCGAUCUUGCUGAUCCACGGUCGGCCCAGAAUUCCGUUGUACGGGGAGAUCUCGUCGAUGACCAUGAAGGUUUGUGUGCAGACUACUGGGGGCGAGUGGACGUCAAGGUCGAUCUGUCCAACAGUGAUUGAUGUGGCCCCAUUGAAGCCAGUGAGCGACCUUGCAAGUUUGCUAAUCUUGGGCUCCAAUCCCAUCUGUUGGAUGACAGAUAGUUGCAGGAUGUUGGCUGCGCUGCCCUCAUCCACAUGAACUCGCUCGAUCACAGCUUGUUCAAUCCGAAUGCACAUGACUAGGGCGUCAUUAUGCGGCAGGUCAAGCCCGAUCAAGUCUUUCUUCUGGAAACCAAUGAUGGGUGUAUCCACGAUAACUGGUACUCCUGUUGUGACUUGGGAGACAUAAGUCGCCUGCGCGAUCUUCCUCUUGCGCUCCUUGGUGGUCAACCCGGACUCCUGAGAGUCAGCUAGAAUGGUGUUGAUUCGAAUGACCUUUUGGGGAGGUUCCUUGGCAGCCGCAUCACGAUCCUCGAUCUGUUGGAUGGCCUUCUUUGCGACGAAUUCUGUGCAAUGACCUUCUCUGACCAGCUCCUCCAGAUGCCUUUUCCAAGCAUUGCAAUUGUUGGUGUAAUGACCGUGCUCCCCGUGGAAUGCGCAGUAUUUACUGGUGUCCCUCUUAGAGGGGUCUCCUUUCAUGGGUGGCGGUCUCCUCACCCACGGCUUGUCCUUCACUUGAGCCAGGAUCUGAUGAAUUGGGAUAGCGAACUCAGUAAAGGUCCCAAUUUCUGAGCUUCCCUCUCGGGGCCGCGAUCUGCGCUUAUCUCGGGCUUUUUGCUCGAACUGAUUGCUCUUUUGGCUUGCCUGCUUCGUCGGGUGUUCAACUUGCUUGCUAGCUUUCUUUGCGGCGAUUCGAUCAUCGUCCCAAAGUGCGUAGCGUUCUGCCGUCGCGAACACUUCUGCCAAGGUUUGACUUGGUGUUAUGGCCAGUUCCCGGUAUAGCUCGUGCUCGGUUGGCAAGCCCUUCUUGAAGGCUGAGGAUGCAACUUGGUCAUUGCAUCCUAUGAUGUUAGCCUUUUCAGCCUUAAACCGUCUCAGGUAGUCUCGUAGAGACUCGUCUGGCUUCUUGCGCAGGUUGAACAGAUGGUCCGCAUGCUUUCUGACCGUCUUGUAGGAGGUGUACUCCUUUGUGAAGAUGAAGGCCAACUCCUUGAAGUUUCCUAUCGACGCGGACGGUAGAGUGUGGAACCAGUCUUGAGCUGCUCCUCGCAGGGUCAUCGCGAACACUUUGCACAUCAGGGCAUCAUCUGCCUUGUACAGGAUCAUGGCGCUCUUGAAGUGCCUCAAAUGGCUCUCAGGGUCAAAGUCCCCCUUGAAUGGAGUGAUGGAUGGCGUUGUGAACCGCUUCGGUGGAGGAGCUCGUUCCACUUUGUCGGUAAAGGGCGAGCAGUCAACUCGAUCAAUUUCCUUAUGCAGGGCCUCCUCCGCGCUUCCUUUAAGUUGGAGAACUUGGAGUCGGUCAUUUACUAGCUUCUCGACGUCCUCUGCUCGCAGGACUGGAGUCUCAGGCCGGCGUCUUCGGUGCCUCGAGCGCGACCGGCUAACCUCUUCCUCGGUUCCCAAAGGUCGAUCCCCUUGGGUGUUCUGCCCGUGGGGCAGAUUAGAAGAUUGAGCUUGUGAGGAUUCCUCUACAUCUUGUCGCCACGUGUUGGUCCUCGAGCAGGUUGGUGGGCGUCGAUCAUCACCUUCUACCCGCAAGGAGGGUCGCUCAGGUCGACGUCUUUGGUGUCUCGAGCGUGACUGGCUAACUCCUUCCUCGAUUCCCAAGGGUCGAUCCCCUUGGGUGCCCUGCCCGUGGGGCAGAUUAGGAGAUUGGGCUUGGAAUGAUCCCUCUACAGCUUGCCGUCGCGUGUUGGCCCUCGAGCGGGUUGGUGGGCGUCGGUCGUUGCGUUCGUCACGCGACUGCUCACGAACUCGAGCUCCUUGUGGGCCCAAGCGGGCGUGGACAUUGGAUUGUGGGCCUAAGCGGGCGUGGACAUUAUUCUGUGGGCCUAGCCUCUCGAGCACAUUGGUCCUUGGUUCUAGCCCGAACGGCUCAGAGUACGGCUCGCGGCUGUCUGCGUCUCAUCUACUCGAUCUCGAUCUCGAUCUCUCCUCUGCCGGUUUGCCCUUGUCUGACCAGCUUGGGACCUCUCGAACUGCUCGCCGACAUGCUGGUGUGCCCUCAUCUCCUCGUCACGGGGUCCAAGGUUAAGGCCUUGAUUCAAGUUGAUCUGCCUGAGCAGCUGGCCAAUCAGGUUGUUCUGAUCAUCGACCUUCUGUGUGAGUUAAUCGACCCGUGAGUUAAGGUCCACCUGACUGCGCGGGUCAAGUAGAGUGAUGUGCAUCGGGCCCACGGCAAAUGGGCUAGGGCUCCAUUAGACGCGUACACAGGUGCAUAUGUCGAGUGUGAUAGCAGAGGAGGGAGAGAAUGGAUCUGCUCCAGGACUGGGAAGACGUCGGAGUAGCCAUGGGGCUGAGCAGCAAAUCCGGUAGUUGAGUGGUGUGGCUGCUGCUGUGCUACGACGGCAGGACAGCGGGGCAGAGCAGCUCCUGUAAUCGGCGCUGGCAACUGCAAGGCUGUGGAGGUCCCGAGGUCAUGGUCCGGCUGUUCUGCAAUUCCAGCAGCUGAAUGCGGCUGCAAAGCACUGGAGGACGACUGCAAGGCGUUGGCAGCCACGAUUCCGUGCGGUUGCAUUGAGGUUUCCACCACGAAACCAUGAGAUGGGCCCAUCGUGGUGGCGUUACUCUUCGUACGUCUUGUAUCAACCAUAGUUGUUUGAAAAAAUGUGUGAAAGAUGGAUUUAGAGCACGCUUUGAAUAUACCUCGUGCUCUCAAUGAAAGCACCAAUUUGUUUGUGCAAAUAAUCUCACGGGAGAAUAUUCGCCCAAGAUUCCUUCGUCUUCUCCGCCUCUCUUUCUCCCUGCAAAACAGAUCGGAGUAAAAGGACCACACCCGGGGGGUGUUGGCCAAAGGCCCUCCGAUGCCUAAGUUAGGUAAGGGAAUUCAAGGAAAACCGGGUGGCCGGAGCCUUGUGUGAGAGAGAGAAAGAGAGGAGGUGCCUAGGGUUUUUGAGAAAUAAUUUAUGCAGAGUUUCAGUAGGAAUUUAGACGUACCUCAUCCUUGUGUGUAACCAGGUAUUUAUAGUGGCCUUUGGAGAGGUAGGUGGGGUUGGUGUAGUUGGUGUGGUUGGUGGGGUUGGUGCAUUUAGGGAUUAUGGAUGAACCGAAUCCCUAAUUAAAUUGGGGAUCAAGUAACCCCCAAUUUGAUUAGGUAAUUCCCAAUUAGGUUAGGUAACUCCUAAUUAGGUCAAAUAAUUCCCAAAUUGAUUGGCCUAAUUAAUUGACCUAGGGUUUUGGUUUAAUUAGGUUCCCACAAGUGUGAAAUUGUGACCACGAGAUUCGGUAUAAGCUGUAACCCAAAAAGGUACGUAAGUACGUACAGAAAACCAAACCAAAUACACACGUUCAAACAGGAGUAAGGGGAUACAAAAUAAAUAAAUUAACAGGAAAGACAGAGUUUAACCUGGUCAGUGGACUCUACUUUAAUGGUUAUGGCAGUGGAGAAGAUAUCACCCGCUUUCUUGCCAGGAGAAACUGCAUCAACAGAGACUCCAAAUGCCUGCAGUGCUUGAAAUGGGACCACUGCCUCGUAAUCUUCCAUGCAGUCCCCGCACAGUAACACACCCUCCUCUGCUCCUCGCCUUUCGGAUUUCCCAUUUCUUUUUUUAUUUUCCUUCUUUAGUUUCUUUCUUGCUUUUUCUUUCUUCUAUCUUCUUUCUUCUUUAUCACAGAGGGAGGUGGUCUGAUAAAGGAAGGAAGGCCUGCUUUAAAUAUAAUACUCACACAAGCGUUUUUGGAGGUUUGUGGAGUCAGCUAGACACGUCGCAGUUAGUAAUCGUGGCAUCUCUCUCUAUUCCUCUUUUCUUUUCAGUUCGGAUAACUAUUGUAUUAGUUUCGAGCCAUAACCAUAUCCAAGUUUGAUAUUAUUUGUUGUCUUCUUCACCGACCAAGUGAGUCUAAAUAAUUCAAGGAAGAUUCAAACUUGUAAUGUUUAUCUCUAACAGGUAUGGAUAAUAAAUGUAAUGUUUAUCUCUGACAGGUAUGGAUAGUGUUGAAUAGCCUUCGCGUUGAUUUUACCUCGACUGCCAUGUUGAUUUUCACCAGCGCAGCAAAGCUGCUUGCUUUGUGUUAUGAGGUCUGGUUUUGUCAACAAACUAUAUUAAUUGACCCAAAAGAAAAUGCAAUAUAAUGUGGAUCCUCAUUUCGCAGUGACAGGAUAUGGUUGUGAAAUACAGGCUAACUUUGGACAACCUGAUAUUCAAAAGAAAAUUCAAUAUCUUGUCGAUCCUCAUUUUGCAGUUACAGGAUGGUUGUGAAAGUAUAAGCUAACUCUGGACAACACGAUAUUCAUUCAGGUAAAACUUCGAGGUGUACAGUGAGGGAGAUAGAAACCCUUGAGCUGAAAUCCUUGGCGCCGACGACUAAUAAAUCAUAGUGUCCUUCUUGUUGAUGUGUAACCCUUGAGUUGAAAUCCUUGGCGCCAAAGUUGUUUUUUAUUUGCAUUUUAUUUCUUUUUUAUAUGUUUAAACUCUGUUUGUAAUAUGAGCCAUUGGAUCAUAGUCCAAGUGGUCUCUUAUCUAGCCUAGGAUAUAAUCUGUCAGAUUGUGACAAGUGUAAUCAUCUCAUAGGCUGAUAGGAUCAAUUGUUAGGAUUAAAUCCCUGUGUAAAUUAGGUAGAGAAGAAUCUCUCUUCUCUCUCCUCUAACGGAUAUAUUGGUAUAGUGGAAAUGGAAGCAUAACAGCUCCUUUAGCAAUAUUGCAGCUCAAUAAUCUCUCCUAUCUUUCCAAAAUCUAAAAUCUCCAGAAAACUAGAACACUAAAACUAUGAACUCUAAUAUGGUAUCAGAGCUAGGUUGGAUUGCUUAAACUGGGCGUGAAUCUGUGAACAGAGAAUCGGACUCGAUUCGAGCUAUUUUUUGUUGUUGAGCUUAUUUGAAGAUCGAAGCUGUGAUUUCUUGAAUCCAAUGUCUAAUAUGGCAGGAUCGGGAACAGCUGAGCUUCACACACCAGUUUUCAAUGGAGAAAACUAUUAGUGUUUUGGAGCAUUAGGAUGAAAACCAUUCUGAAAUCUCGUGGAUUGUGGGAUCUGGUCUAGAAUGGGAUAGAUAAUUCAGAUCUGAAGAAGGAGAACGAGGAGGCUACGGUUACUGAGAAGUCCACUAUGGCUCAGAUUUUGAUGAAGGAUGCUCGCGCACUUGGAUUGAUUCAAAGUGCUGUCUCAGAUAAGCUAUCCCCAGAAUUGUGAACGAAGAGACCUCAAAGGGUGCCUGGGAUAUUCUGAAGCUGGAGUUCAGAGGCGAUAAACAAGUAAGAAAUGUCAACUUGCAAGGGUUGCGUAGAGAAUUUGAAUAUACUCAUAUGAAGGAUAGUGAAUCUCUAUCUGUAUAUCUUGUUAGAUUGUUUGAUAUGAAUAAUCAAAUGAAGAGUUAUGGUGAGGAAUUACCUAGAGAGAGAGUUGUGCAGAAAUUGUUGUUUAGUCUGCCGAAAUCAUAUGACUCUAUUUGCUCUGUGAUUGAACACUCUAAGGAUCUUGAAACUCUGGAAGUUCAAGAGGUGGUUGCCCCUUUGAAGAGCUUUGAGCUCAUAUUUGAUCGCCAUACUGAGAAUUCUAUAGAAAGGGCAUUUACUAGUCUGAAUAUUGAGGAAAAGAAUUCUAAGAGUGGAAAUUUUCCUGGAGAUCAAAAAUCUCAGAAAAACUGGAAGUCUAAUGAUGAAAACAAAACAGCUUGUAAACACUGUAAUAAGCUGCAUUAUGGCAAGUGUUGGUUUGAAGGGAAACCUAAAUGCCAUGGGUGUGGGAAAUUUGGGCAUAUGAUCAGAGAUUGCAGUGGGAAUAAAAAUGUACAUAAGGUGAAUUAUGCAAAUCAAGUUGAGGAAACUGGUACUUUGUACUAUGUGUGCAAUGCUGCAACAGAUGUGAAAGUGAAUUAUUCAUGGUACAUUGACAGUGGUUGUAGUAACCACAUGACAGGAGAUGAGGGACUUUUAGUCAAUAUUCAAAGGAACUUGACCUCUAAGGUGAAGAUGGGAACUGGAGAAGUAGUUCCAGUUGCAGGAAAAAGGACUCUUGUGAUAAAAACCAAGUUGGGUAAGAAGCACAUUCAAGAAGUAAUGCUUGUACCUGGUCUUGAAGAAAAUAUGCUUAGUGUUGGGAAAAUGAUUGAGGAUGGAUACUAUCUUGUGUUUGGAGGGAAUAUGGUGAAUAUUUAUGAUGAUUAGUCACGGAGAAAUCUAAUUGUGAAGGUUCAAAUGACCGAUAACUGAUGUUUUCCACUUACAAUGAUGCCUGCAAGUGAUUUGGCCUUAAAGGCAAGUGUUACACACUGCUUGCAGACAAGGCAUAAAAGAUUGGGGCACUUAAAAGAAAGAAGCAUAAAAUUGCUUGAGAAUCAAUGCAUCGUUCAUGGCUUACCUCAUUUGGAGCAGAUUUUAGUAGUAUGUGAAGGCUGCAUGCUAGGAAAGCAACACAGAGAUUCUUUCCUUUUGGAGUCCACUUGGAGAGCUACAAGUCCUUUGGAAUUGGUUCACACAGAUACCUGUGGACCAAUGAAGACUGAAUCCAUUUCUGAAAAUAGGUAUUUCUUGCUAUUUACAGAUGAUUGCACUAGAAUGUCAUGGGUGUAUUUCAUCAUAAACAAGUCAAGUGCAUUUGACUGUUUUAGAAAGUUCAAGGCUAUGACUGAGCUACAAAGUGGAUAUAAGAUAAAAGGCUUGAAGAGUGACAAGGGUGAAGAGUUUUUAUCCAGUGAAUUUUACAGGUUUUGUGAUGAAUUUGGAAUUCAAAGGCAGCUUAUUAUAGCAUACUCUCCUCAGCAAAAUGGAGUAGUUGAAAGAAAGAACAUGACAGUAGUGGACAUGGCAAAAUCUAUGCUGCAUGAGAAGGGUAUUUCUUAUGAAUUUUGGGUGGAAGCUGUAAAUACUACAGUCUAUCUACUGAAUAGAUGUCCCACCAAGUCUCUCAAGAAGGUAACACCAUUUGAAGCUUAUACUGGCAGAAAACCAGGAAUUGCACACUUAAAGAUUUUUGGAUCUCCUUGUCAUGUGCUCAUCCCUUCAGCAUUAAGGCAUAAACUUGAAGAAAAUAGCCACAAGUGUAUUUGUGUGGGUUAUGGACUCUGUGAAAAGGGGUACAUGCUAUUUGAUCCAAGCAUUAGAAAGGUUAUUCUGUCCAGAGAUGUGCAGUUUGAUGAGAAUGGCUCAUGGAAGAGGGAGAAUGCAAGUGCAUGAGAAAUGACAGUCCCUGUGCCUACUGAGAAUCAAAACUGUAAUCCAAGUCAAAGCUUGGGUACACCAAUGCAAAUGGAUGAAGGAAUCACACUACAGAAUGAACCAAGUCAAAGCUUGGAUACACCAACAUAAAUGGAUGAAGGUAUUACUCUGCAAGAUGAAGGAAUAAGUGAAAGUUCUCAAGCUAUUGAUCACACACCAAAGAAAUGGAGAAGUGUUAACGAAAUCAUGGCUCAAUGCAAUAUCUGCAUUGUGGAACCUGAAAGUUUUGAAGAAGCUAAUCUUGAUAAGUCAUGGAGAAAUGCAAUGAAGGCUGAGCUGGAAAUGAUUGAGAAAAAUAAUACAUGGAAACUAGAGACAAACCAUUUGGCAAGCCAAUUAUUGGUGUCAAGUGGGUCUUCAAAACUAAGCUAAAUCUGGAUGGAUCUGUGCAGAAAAACAAGGCCAGACUUAUGGCAAAAGGCUACUCUCAGAAGCCUGGAAUAGACUAUAAUGAGACGUUUGCUCUAGUAACAAGAUUGGAUAUUAUUAGAACGUUGAUAGCACUUGCUGCACAGAAGGAAUGGAAUCUAUAUCAACUGGAUGUAAAAUCUGCCUUUCUGAAUGAAGUGUUAAAGGAAGAGGUUUAUGUGGAGCAGCCACAGGGUUUUGUGAAGGAAAAUGAAGAAAUCAGAGUGUAUAAGUUGAACAAGGCCUUCUAUGGACUAAAGCAAGUCCCAAGAGCCUGGUAUGAUGAGAUAGACUCUUACUUCAACAAGGCAGGAUUCAAGAAAAGUCCUAGUGAAGCAACACUCUAUGUCAAAACUAGUGAAGAUUCAGGUAUUCUUAUUGUUUCACUCUAUGUGGAUGAUAUUGUCUAUACUAGAAGUUGCCCAAAGUUACUUGAAGAGUUCAAAAAUGAUAUGAUGCAACAUUAUGAAAUGACUGAUCUUGGACUACUCUACCAUUUUCUUAGCAUGGGAGUAGUACAAACAGAUAAACAUAUCUUUCUUCAUCAGAAGAAAUAUGCAUUGAAGGUGAUUGAAAAGUUUGGAUUGAAGGACUGCAAGUCUGUGGUAACUCCAUUAGUUGCAAAUGAAAGCCUGUGCAAGGAAGAUGGCAGUGAGGCAGCAAAUGAGAGUGAAUAUAGACAGAUUGUAGGUAGCCUGCUUUAUUUGACAGCUACAAGACUAGACAUAAUGUUUGCCUCUAGCUUGCUUGCUAGAUUCAUGCAUAAUCCAACUAGAAAACACAUGGGAACAGCCAAGAGGGUAUUAAGAUACAUUUAGGGCACACUUGAUUUUGGAAUUGAAUUUAUAAAAGGGAAGACAACUACCUUGAUAGGGUAUUGUGACAGUGACUGGGCAAGAAGUGAAGAUGAUAGAAGAAUUACUUCAGGAUAUGCAUUCACACUAGGAUAUGGUAUGUUCUCAUGGGCAUCAAUUAAACAAAACACAGUAGCUUUCUCCACUGCAGAGGCAGAAUAUGUUAGUGCUGCUGAAGAAACAUCACAAGCUAAAUGGCUAAGGUUCGUACUUGAAGAUUUUGAAGAGGAGCAAGUGGAAGGUACACCAAUUCUGUGUCAUAACACCUCUACCAUAGCAAUGGCAAAGAAUCCAGUUUUCCACCAGAAAACCAGACAUAUUAGCCUAAAGUUUCAUUUCAUUCGAGAAGCUAUUCAAGCAAAGGAGAUUGAACUAAUCUACUGGAAAACAGAAGAUCAUAUUGCAGACAUCCUAACCAAGGCUUUGUCCAAGGAUCGUUUUGUGUAUCUCAGAGAUCUACUUGGUGUGAAAUCAGUCAAAGGGUUAUAGAAGGGAGUGUUGAUGUGUAACCCUUGAGCUGAAAUCCUUGGCGCCAAAGUUGUUUUUUGUUUGCAUUUGAUUUCUUUUUUAUAUGUUUAAACUUUGUUUGUAAUAUGAGCCAUUGGAUCAUAGGCCAAGUGGUCUCUUAUCUAGCCUAGGAUAUAAUCUGUCAAAUUGUGACAAGUGUAAUCAUCUCAUAGGAUGAUAGGAUCAAUGGUUAGGAUUAAAUCCCUGUGUAAAUCAGUUAGAGAAGAAUCUCUCUUCUCUCUCCUCUAACGGAUAUAUUGGUAUAGUGGAAAUGGAAGCAUAACAGCUCCUUUAGCAAUAUUGCAGCUCAAUAAUCUCUCCUUUCUUUCCAAAAUCUAAAAUCUCCAGAAAACUAGAACACUAAAACUAUGAACUGUAAUACUUCUAAAGCAUUAGUAUAAUACAAGCUUCGUCCACAACCAAACUUGCAUGGAACAUGGCAUAUACAUAUCAAAACCAGAAUGUCACUUGUUCCCUCAUAUAUAGAAACGUCACCUUAACAUAACACUUACAUAUAGUACAUGCAAGCAGCUGACCCAGUAAACAGCAAAUGAUACUCGAAUAUCAAGCAAUAUCAUCAACUGAGAAAUGAACUCUGGGUGGCCCGGCCACGCUCUCCAGUCCAAAUUUCCAUCUGUGAAACAAUGAUCUAUUGGACCAGGUUCCAGCCGUGUUGCUCCUGACAAAACCGCAUUAAGCUUCACCACUGAAUACGCAGUAUAUUUCUUUCCCUAAAAUUUAGCUAGUUAACAACAAUUAGGACAUGAUUUAAAAAAGUCCAUAAUGUGAAAAUAAGUAAAUCAACCCUCAAUCAGAAGAAUCAGCAAAAGGCAAACAGAUUACAAUUUCAAAGUGGUUUCUUUUUUACCUCGUCAUUAAAUACUCACUCAGUAAAUCAACCCUGUUACAAAAUUGAUGAUACUCCCAACUCUUCCUAACACCUUCCGAAAAACUGAAACUGCCUAGCUCAGCCAAGCCUUUUGGUUUUCCUUAGUAGGUAAUUUCUUGUUUUACCCCAUUCUUAAACCAUUCCAUCUAGCAUAGAUUUUUACUGCUUCAUAUAUUCCUUCAGAGAAUUCUGCAUUACAGUACACACCUUCCGACUUUUAUAUUACCGCACAAAUGUUCAUGCACCAACUGGCAAGCUUGCUCAUCAACACCCACAACAAAACAUACAUUUAAAUUUACGAUCAACUACAUAGAUAGUGAGUUAUAGAACAAAUGAAUCCACAGGUUAUCUGUAUUGUCUUUUUGGUUAAACAUGUUUAACUUCCCACACAAAAUUAAUUUUACUCUAGCAUUUUAGUUUAUGUUAAAAAGCGUAAGAAGUUAAAAUGUUAUGGAAUCUACAUUAUAUAUGUAUAUCUACCACAGAAAUGCUAUAAUGUGGGGUUGUGUGUGAGGGGUUCAAUACCACUAUCCAAUAAUAUAAAGGAUAUUUUGAACUUAAACUUUUUAAUGAUUGGAUGGUUGGAUGGUUGGAGACCAAGUAUAAAUAUCCUAGUUCUUUGUGAAUGUACAAAUCAUCCAAUUUCAAACAAAUUAACUUUAUAUUAUUGUUUCAACUCAUUUAGUUUCAAAGAUUGAAAUUCUGGCAGAUGGAUGCAAUUGGUUUCCUGGCUUCCACAAUUUGCUUCACUAAUGCAAUGACUUUCUCAUCCAAUACCAAAUGUUCUGGGGCUCCAGUUGUACGGCAUACAACAGUGAGGUUAAUUCUCAGUCUCGCAGCUAUGCACAAGUGGUCUUUGAGGCAAUUGAAUGUUAAGAACGCAUUCUUACAUGGGGAGCUUGAAGAAGAAGUUUUUAUGAGGCAACCUCAAGGUUUUGAAGACCCCAAGCAUCCUGAGUUUGUGUGUAAGCUGAAUAAGUCUCUGUAUGGACUUAAGCAAGCUCCACGGGCAUGGAAUGCUAAAUUUACAGGAUAUUUACCAGCUAUAGGGUUCAAAUAAUCUCGUUCUGAUCCCAACUUAUUUGUCAAGCAUGACGGCACUGAUAUUAUAAUUUUAUUAUUAUAUGUUGAUGGUAUCAUCUUGACAGGCUCCAAUGCAAAUUUAGUGCAGACAGUGAUUGAUGAUUUAGGAGCAGUGUUUGAGAUGAAGGACAUGGGUCGCCUUACCUAUUUCCUUGGUCUUCAAGUGUCUUACAAUUCUACAGGUGAUAUUUUUGUCCAUCAGCACAAGUAUGCUAAAGAUCUACUGCAAAAGGGCUGGUCUGAGUAAUUGUAAGGCUUCUCCUACUCCUUGCAAGCCACAUAAUCAAGUCUUAAUGUCUGAAGGAGAACCACUGCAUGAUCCUACAUUUUAUAGAAGUAUUGUUGGUGCCUUACAAUACUUAACUUUCAUAAGACCUGACUUAUCCUAUGCUGUCAAUACUGUGUGUCAGUGUAUGACUGCUCCCACUGAGAUACAUUUCAACCUGGUCAAAAGAAUUUUGAGAUACAUUCAAGGUACCAUGAAUUAUGGAAUUCACUUUAUUCAUGGUCCUUGGAAAUUACAAGCUUAUAGUGAUGUUAACUGGGCGGGGGAUUUAAAUGCUAGGAGGUCAACUACAGGUUUUGUGGUAUUGCUUGGACAUAAUCCUAUCUCAUGGCAGUCUAAGAAGCAAGGGUCUGCAUCCAGAAAUUCUACAGAGGCCGAGUAUAGGGCUUUGGCUAGUACAGCUGCAGAUUUGGGUUGGAUUCGAAAGGUUUUGCUAGACUUGAAAGUGUGCUUGCCUCUACCUCCUACCAUCUUUUGUGAUAAUCUAUCUGCUUUGGCACUUAGUAGUAAUCCUGUGUUUCAUUCACGAAUUAAACACUUGGAUACAGAUUUUCACUUUGUUCGUGAAAGGGUUCAAAGGAAUGAUCUGAUUGUUUAGUAUGUUCCCACUCAAGAGCAAAUCGCAGAUGUAUUUACUAAAGGACUGCAUAGUCCUAUUUUCUUGAGUCACUGUACUAGUAUGCGACUUGGAAAUCCAUAGCAGGAUCCAGAGUUGGGUUUGAGGGGGAAUGAUAACAAUAUUAGUUAGUUUGUUAAGCUGUCACGUGUGCUCACGUGUUGUUAGUUAGUAGUAACUAUAAUUAGUUAAGAGUGUUAAGUCUUGGUUAUUGAGAUAUAACACUAAUGAAACUGCCGUUGUAAUUCAUUAUAUACAGAGCAUAUCAUUUCUUCUUCCUUCUUAGUCUUCUCAAUUCUUAAGCUUCCUUUUCUAAACUGUUAUCAGAUGGAACCCUAUCACACCAGAAUUGUGGCAAAUCUGGUAUAGCCGAUUCAGGUUAUUUUCACUAUAUAUCUUUCAGAAGUAUCUGUAACGGGGCAAAUCUCCAUCAAUCCUCUUCUUUUCAGUUUAUCUUUAUGCCCAUUCAUGCAUGUAUAUAUUAUACGAAGAAGUUUUUGACAUAUGGCAUGUAUUGUGUGUCAAAUGUAUACCGAUUCAUGAAGACAGGUUCAAGAUCACAUACACCAUAUUCACCUUCAUUUCUUUUUGUUUAUUCUGGGUUUCUCCAAUUUGAAUCACAUUAAAAAACAAAUACUGAACAGUGAUAUAUUCAAUAUUGAUCGGCAUCACAAUUUCAUAUUUCUCAUUGCACUACGAAGGAAAAUAAAACUUACCCCACAGAGAAACAGGAUCCUCCUAUCUGAACCAGUUAUGUUACCACCUAGUGCCUUCACAAAAAGCCUAAUGAACUCAGGAUUCAUAUGUAGCCCCAGUAAUUAUAUUACCAUCAACAACAGACGCCAACAUGGUCUCGGGUUCCACCCAAUAAGCACCUGCAGGCUGCAGCAACAAGUACAGGUCUGACAGGUGGGAAGGCCGUUAUAGUAUAGCCGCGCGGCUAUACUCCAUAAGCAGAAUAUUUUAAAAGUACAGCCGCACCGCUAUACUCCAAAAAUUAUAAUAUCGUAAAAGUACAGCCGAUCGGCUAUACGCGAUAAAUAAAAUAUUUCAAAUGGCUAUACUAAAGGAACUUAAACGUNNNNNNNNNNNNNNNNNNNNNNNNNNNNNNNNNNNNNNNNNNNNNNNNNNNNNNNNNNNNNNNNNNNNNNNNNNNNNNNNNNNNNNNNNNNNNNNNNNNNNNNNNNNNNNNNNNNNNNNNNNNNNNNNNNNNNNNNNNNNNNNNNNNNNNNNNNNNNNNNNNNNNNNNNNNNNUAUUUUCACUUAGAGACGAAGGCACUAAUGCAAUUUUGUUUAUUGAAUAUGGUGUACGCAGUGACGUUGGAGCCAAGAAUUUGUUCACGCUGUCUUUUCCCCAGAACUCAAAGCUCAAUACAGGUCGGUUCUCUAGCUCAUAAUGAAUGAGCAAAACUCCUAACAUGUGUUCUUGUUUGAGCUUACUUUAGUCUCGCUGUCCACACAACCUAGAAACUAUGACCUACGGAUUGCUAUUUGUCAAUCUAAUAGAGUGGCUCUAAUCAACAGUAAAACUUAAUUCAUUUUGUCUAUAAUUAAGGCUACCAACCACUGGCUGAUGCAAAAACCUAAACUUGUAAACUUGACAAACUUAUUUCCAGUCCCAACAUACUCCAAAUUUUAGAGGAGGCAACAUAAUCCCAUAUGUGAGAAUUGUAAGCACUUCAAUCUUUGAGACAAAUUUCUUGUUUUGGGUUUACAAAUUCAAGUGAAGUAAGCAUUCAAUCUUCAAUCCAAUUGAGUGUGCUUGAUUACAGAGCAUGGAAAAGACCAAUUGACAGUGCUCAAGUGAUGUAAUGAGGCUAAAGAAUAAAUUUUUAUCAUAUAAUCAUUAAAUAUGUUCACUAAAAGAUGUGUCAUCGUUAUAUGUAAAAAUUUUAGAAAUAUAUAAACUAGCUAGGAUUUACGUGAAUUCGAAUUUGAAUACAUGAAAUAUUAUUACCUACUACAUCAUUUGAUGAACAGAUUUGAUGUUCCUAACAAUUCUAUGCGUACUAGUAAAGUACUUUGUCUUUAAUUUGGAAGUACCCGAAAGCAUAAUGUUUUUCAUAUAUUAUCUGGCAGGAGGCAAUUCAAGAAAAAAAGCCAUCAUUAUUGGAGUCGUAGUUGGAGGUGUAGGUCUUUUAUUCUCAUUGUUGGAGUUUUUCUCUAUUUUAAACUUUCAAGAAAGCCCGAGGCUGCAACAACCACAGAAUUCGAAGUUGCACUUCCUCUUGCAUAUAUACUAUUACAGUCAUGAUUUCUUGGACUACAAGUACAAGGGUUCAAGAGAUUUGUGAUCACUCACCGUUUGAUGUAAAUUCAACGGUUCACUCACUGUUGCACUUCUUUUAAGAAAUUUUUUUGAACCAUUGGAUUAAUAUCUAACGGUGGGUGACCACAAUCUCUUGGACUCCUGUAGUCCAAGAGAUCGGAUUGUAUACUAUAAGUCCUGAUCUCUUAGACUACAAGAGUACAAGAGAUUUGUGGUCACUCACCGUUGGAUAUAAAUUCAACGGUUCACUCAUUAUUGCACUCCUUUUAAGAAACUUUUUUGAACCAUUGGAUUAAUAUCCAACGAUAGGUGACCACAAUCUCUUGGACUCCUGUAGUCCAAGAGAUUUGUGGUCACUCACCGUUGGAUGUAAAUUCAACGGUUCACUCACUCUUGCACUCAUUUUAAGAAACAUUUUUGAACCAUUGGAUUAAUAUCCAACAGUGGGUGACCACAAUCUCUUGGACUCCUGCAGUCCAAGAGAUCGGGACUGUAUACUAUCAAUCCUGAUCUCUUGGACUACAAGGGUCCAAGAGAUUUGUGGUCACUCACCGUUGGAUGUAAUUCAAUUAGCUCAUGCUCUAACCAUGUAUAUAUAUAAACAUAACAAAUUUAAAAAAAUUUGGUAUUAGACAUAAUUAUCUUUACUAAUUAGUAUUCGAGAUAAACAAUAUUUAUGUUUUAGUUUUAAUACAUAGGAAUUGAAUUUUGUUUUGGAUUUGGACAAAGAGGAGGCCCAGAUUCAUUAGCCCACCUUAUAUUAAUCACUAAUUUUAAUUUAAAAACCUGACUCAAAUUCGUUGGUUUACCUUUUUUUUAAGACUGCUGCUAAACGAACCCUAACAUUAACUGAGUACACCCUAUGAUCUAAGUACACUCUGAUAUUUUAAUUUAAAUGUAAAAUUAACUAAGCACACCCUAUAGAACUACCAAAAAUAUCUCUGGUACACCAUAAUAUUUGUAGCAUUAUUUUAUAGUUGAUUUUUAGCUUGAUUUUUUUAAUAGUGUUUAUAAAUCUUUGACUUUUCAUAUGGAUUUAUGCUUCUACUAAAAUUGUUGACACUUUUUUUGCAAUUUCAAGUUCUUGCAAUCACCACCUCUUUCGUUAAUAAUGAUUUUUUUAUGCAUGUUUCAGUUAUAUACUACUAUGCUACUAUGAAAUUUAUUCGUUCUCAACGAAGUUAAAAACAAGCUAAACAAAUAGAGNNNNNNNNNNNNNNNNNNNNNNNNNNNNNNNNNNNNNNNNNNNNNNNNNNNNNNNNNNNNNNNNNNNNNNNNNNNNNNNNNNNNNNNNNNNNNNNNNNNNNNNNNNNNNNNNNNNNNNNNNNNNNNNNNNNNNNNNNNNNNNNNNNNNNNNNNNNNNNNNNNNNNNNNNNNNNNNNNNNNNNNNNNNNNNNNNNNNNNNNNNNNNNNNNNNNNUGUAUGAAGCAUCCGUUCCAAAAUUUCAAAAGUAACCCAACUUGCAAAUCUGCAUAAAAACAUAAGAGAAAAACAAUAAGAAAGGUGCAUGAGUGGCAAACGAAAGUCACUGCAAACUUCAUCAAAUUGGCCCUAGUAGUACUAAUUAAGAUAUUUUUAAUCAUACACGCUCACAAGCCAGAAAAACUAAGUCCUAAAAGAGGGAUGAAGAUGCUGCCACCACAAUUUUCAUUCAUGUUGUUAGUGAACUAGGCAAAAGUAAUAUGCAUAAAUUCUAUUUUUACAGUAUAUAAGUCAAUUCACCAUAAUAUUUUUUUGACAACUUAUUGGAUUGUCAGGAAUUCAAUGAUCAAUCAGGCCUUCACAUAAUCUCCACCGCUGCGCUUCCUUUUGGACCGUGAGAAGAAGCAGAUUUGAGCCCAAGUCUUCUUCUGCUUAGCAGGUUGUGCUUUAACUUCUCUUUUCACGACAAGCUCAAUCAUGUAUUGAACAACAGCCUAAGAUUAUAUUUGCUCCAAACCAUUCUGACUCGCGGAUCACAAAGAUGAGAACCAAAUAAUCUCUUGAGUAGGGUUGAAUACGAUUAGUAGGGUGUACUUAUUAAAAUUAUAUUUGUUUCACAAUUUCAUAUAUCAUUUUUGGUCAUUUUAUAUUAGAGUAAAUCAGUAAUUCAAUAUAUGCUUUUGUAGUAGGGUGUACUCAGUUAAUUUUAGGGUUCGUUUAGCAGCACUCUUUUUUAAUCAUAUCAGAUCUGCUAUCAUCAAUCCAAGAUCAAGAGACCGAUCUGCGAUGGAAUUCUCAACCAUCUUCCUCCUCUACCCAACCCCCCCACAAAUGACACUGUUCGGACCAUCCUCAACACCCCAACACACGUCGCCCUCAAGUCCGAAGAACUUAUAAGAAUGGAGCAGGAAUUGAAAGACUACGAAAUCGAAAUGCGGAAAGCCAAAGAGGAUCUCAACCGUCGGAUUCACGAUGAUCAGGUCGCGAGGGAGAUCAUGAAGAUUCCAUAGGACGAGUGGCAAGAGUCUGGCCAACUCUUCGCCAAACCCUUCGGUGAAGGCUCCUCCUCAUCGUCGUUGACGAAGAGGGUCAAGAGUGAAAGAGUGUUCUAUCAGAUUGGUCAAAAAAUAAUACUUCAUUUAUCUUAAUAUAUAACAAAUAGGAAGGUUAUAUAUACAAAGCCUAGGAAACUAUUCUAGGAAAGUAAUUAUGUUCCUAUAAUCUUGCAUAAUCAAAUAGUUGACUUAGACUAAUUAGGAAUGUACAGCUCAUUGACACUCCCCCUCAAGUUCGAGCAUAUAUGUCGUCAAUGCCCAACUUGCUAAGUGAGCUGUGAAAUACCCUGCCUGUGACUGCUUUGGUAAGGACAUCUGCAAGUGAUCUUCGGAUUUAACAAAUGAUACCUUAAUGAUCUUGCCUCGAGCUUCUCCUUGAUGAAAUGUCUGUCAACUUCAACAUGCUUGGUUCUAUCAUGUUGCACUGGAUUAUGUGCAAUGUCUAUUGCAGCUUUGUUGUCACAAUUCAGUUGCAUGGCAUGUUUGGGUUUGAACCCCAAUUCCUCCAACAAAUUCCUUAUCCAGAGUAGCUCACAUACUCCGUGCGCCAUACCUCGAUAUUCUGCUUCAGCACUUGAUCUUGACACUACUUUCUGUUUUUUACUUCGCCAAGAUACUAGAUUGCCUCCUACAAAGGUAAAGUAUCCAGAUGUAGAUCGCCUGUCAGUAACAGAGCCCGCCCAGUCUGCAUCAGUGUGACCCUCAACAUCUAGAUGACCAUGUCGUGCGAACAUCAAUCCUCUUCCAGGAGAUGACUUCAAGUAUCUCAAAAUUCAGUUUACCGCAUCCAUGUGGGCUUCACUUGGUGCAUGCAUGAACUGACUCACCACACUUACAGCAUAUGCUAUAUCAGAUCUAGUGUGUCCUAGAUAGAUUAACUUACCCACAAGGCGUUGAUAUCUUUCUUUGUUGGUGGGUACUUGAUCAGGAUAUUCACCAAGCUGAUGAUUCAACUCCAUUGGCGUAUCUGCUGGUUUGCUGGCUAACAUUCCAGUGUCAGUCAAAAUGUCAAGGAUAUAUUUCCGUUGUGAUAGAAAUAUUCCUUGUUCUGAACGAGCCACUUCGAUGCCUAGGAAAUACUUCAGAGCACCAAGAUCUUUCAUUUCAAACUCACUUGCCAAGUGGUGCUGCAAUGCUGCCUUUUCCACUAGGUCAUUCCCGGUAACUACCAUGUCAUCAACAUAUACAAUAAGGGCAGUGACUUUACCUUUCUUAUGUUUCAAGAAAAGAGUAUGAUCUGAGUUACUUUGCUUGUAUCCAAAAUCCUUCAUUGAUUUGCUGAACUUUUCAAACCAUGCUCUGGGUGACUGCUUCAAGCUAUAAAGAGACUUUCUCAGUUUACACACCAUGUUGCUAGUAUUGGACCCCAUCUUACAUCCUGGAGGGGAAUCCAUAUAGACUUUUUCUUCUAGGUCGCCGUGCAAGAAGACAUUUUUGACAUCAAACUGGUGUAAUGGCCAGUUUAGGUUUGCUGCCAGAGAAAAAAGUACUUGAAUUGUGUUUAUCUUGGCUACAGGGGCAAAUGUCUCCCUAUAGUCAAUCCCAUAAGUCUGGAGUAUAACCUUUCGCCACCAAUCUUGCUUUGUAUCGUUCAAUGGUGCCAUCUGCCUUGAACUUUACUGUAUAUAUCCAUCUACAACCCCACUGUUCUCUUCCCUUUGGGAAAGGAUAGUCAUCUUUCAAGUGGAAUUCUUCUGGAAGGCCUCCAUUUCAUCAUUCAUUGCUUGAGUCCACUUGGGGAUCUUUAGAGCUUCCUACCCAUUUACUUGGAAUAGAUACAGUGGAUAAUUGACAUACAAAUGAUGCACAUGACGGAGACAACCUAUGUAGGGACACAUGAUUAGCAAUAGGGUAUUUAACUUUUGUUUUUGGGUCCGGGUCAUACUGUUGUCUAGGAAUCCCUCUAGUGGUACGAAUAGGUAACUGAUAACCUGUGUUUCCUGUAUGACUCGACUCAUGUAAAGUACUUAAGUUGGAGUUUAAAUGCUCAGUUACCUGCGGGGAAUCUUCAGGACCUGAUUGGAUGAUUGGUGAUGGUACUGUAGUUGGAGGGAAAUUAUCUGAACCAUCAUCUGGAGUUUCUAGUAACUCUUGAUCUUGUUGCACUACUGUAGCUGGUUGCUCGGAAACUGACUGCUCUAAAAUAGUUUGUUGAAUUUGGAUGCUCUGAGUAUCUUCUGCAAAGAUAGAGCUCUCCCCCUGCAGAGGAUGCUCAGAAACUCCCCCUGAGUAAUAGAACUCACUCUCGUGGAAAGUCGCAUCUGCGGUAACAUGCAUGGUCUGAGUGGGAUGAUGGAAACACUUAUAGCCCUUCUGAGUGCCAGCAUAACCCACAAAGACACAACGCAGUGCACACGGAUCAAGCUUGCCACGCUGAUGUGGAUACACCUGAACAUAAGCAACACAACCAAAGAGACGUGGUUCGAGAUUUGGUGUGGAUGGCAUGGUGAGGAGAGUGGUCAAUGUCUGAAAUGGAGUUUGAUACUGAAGAGUGCUGGAUGGUGUUUUAUUAAUGAGGUAAGCAGCAAAACAAAGAACCUCCCCCCAAAAAUGAUGAGGNNNNNNNNNNNNNNNNNNNNNNNNNNNNNNNNNNNNNNNNNNNNNNNNNNNNNNNNNNNNNNNNNNNNNNNNNNNNNNNNNNNNNNNNNNNNNNNNNNNNNNNNNNNNNNNNNNNNNNNNNUUAAAAAAUUAUGUAGGUCAUGGUUGACUUACUCUCCUCCAUUGUCAGAUCGAAGCGUGGUGAUUUCUGUCAAACUGAGUAGCAACAUAUUGAUAAAAUAACUUGAAUUUGGCAGUGACUUCACUUUUCUGCUUUAAGGAAAAAAUCCAGGUCAUCCGGGUGCAAUCAUCAAUAAACGUCACAAACCACUUAAAACCGCUAAUAGUAGGAACUCGUGAUGGUCCCCAAACAUCAGAAUGGACAAUCAUGAAAGGCAAAGAACUUUUAUUCAAUCUUAAUGGGUAAGAAAUACGAUGGCUUUUGGCCAAAAUGCAAGUUUCACAACGAAAGUCUGAUUCAGCAAACUGGGAAAACAAAUCUGGAAAUAAAAGUUUCAGAUAACCAAAAGAAGCAUGCCCUAAUCAUCUAUGCCAUAGCCAAAUUUUCUUCAUCCUGAUAGACUCAUCUCCUCUCACAUGAUGUGUCUGACUCAAUCUUGUACUGCUGUCUUCUGUCAAGUCCAGAUAAUACAACUUUCCCCUCUUAGUACCACAUCCAAUCACGGUCCUGGUGAGAAGAUCCUGAAAUAGACAAUACAAUGGCCAAAAACACACAGUACAAUUAAGGGAAUCAAUGAUUUGAGGAACAGAUAACAAGUCAUAGUCGAGUGAAGGGACAACUAAGACAUGAUCAAGACUUAAUGAAGAUGUAAGAGAUAAAGACCCUUCUCUCAUAACUUGGGAGGUGGUUCCAUUAGAACUGGUAAUAUGUGUUUGGCUUGAUGGUUUGGUAGAGUGCAACCCAGUAAAACUAGAUGUCAUGUGAUCAGUAGCGCCAGUGUCAAUAAUUCAUGAUCUAUUACAAGUAAGUGAAGAUGUGCAAGAGGUACCUGAGGUGGCCAAGGCCUUGGAGCCAGAUGUACCUGAUGGAGGUUCUGAUGCAGUCUCCUUGGAUGACUGAGCGGAUGCAAAUGAGGCUCUGGUAGAAUCCUUUUUUCGCCCUUUGUGGACCCAUCCUUCUGGAUAACCAAUGAUCUCAUAACAGCCCUUAAUUGUGUGGUUAUCUAAACCACAUUUGGUACACUUCAUUGGAGGCCGGUUACAAGUAGGGUCGACACUAUAGUUGUUCGGCCGAGAUUGUUUGGACCUCGCAGUAGCCAAGGCUGUGGCUUCGGAGGUUACACCAACUUCAGACAUGGUUCCCUGUCGGUUACUUUCUCUUUUAAUAUGUGCAUAUGCGGCCUCCAGUUCGGGUUUUGGCUCCAUCCGCAAAAUCUCUCCUCGGAUUUGAUCGAAAUUAUUGUCCAAACCUGCAAGAAAUAUAUAAACUCGGAGACGAUCAACCUCUUUGCGUCUAGUCUCAAUGUCUUUCGGAUGCUCCAUGGUGCUUGGACUUAAUUGAUCAAGCUCCUGAAAAAUCUCAGUGAGCUCACUAUAAUAUUUGGCAACUGAUGCGCCAGCUUGCUUCAUUAUUAAUGACCGUCUGUGAAGGUCAUAAAUCUUGUCUUCAUCAGCACCAUCUGAAUAGGUUUGCUUGAUUGCGGCCCAGACUUGCUUUGCUGUGUCAUAACGAAUAAAUCGUUUAAUCUGAUUAGGUUGCAUGGCGUCGAACAACCAACUCUUGACUUGGCAAUCCGAUGCACGCCAUUUAUUAAAUGUGGGAUCUGUGUCUGCAGGUUGGGCAAUAUCACCGGUCAAGUGGCCAUGUUUUUCUCACCCAGCUAUCUUCAUCUCUAUGAUUUGAUGCCAUAGAGAAUAAUUAUUCUCAUCCGGUUUGAUUCCUGCGGAGAAGUUGGAGGUGUCACUCUGCAAAGUGACGAUUUAUGUGGUAGUUUUGGAGCCUCCCGACACCAAGGAUUGAUUGGUGUUUACUGACCCGUCAUCGUUGGCCAUGAUAUUGGCUGACAACCAAUGAAAAAAGGACAAAAAAGAAAUAUCAAGUUGAGGAAAAGCAAGUGAACGGUGGACAAAGGCAAUAAGACAAACUGUUUUGCAAUAAGAAAUAUUGGGUUGAAAGGGAAAAAAAGAACAAGGGGAACGGUUUGAAUGGGUCUGUGAGUGGAAAGUGAUUUGCAAUAUUGCAAAACGUGAUUUGACUAGAGGAAAGGUUUGAAUGGGUUUGUAAGAUGGAAUAUGGGUGGUAUUGGUGCUGGGUUUGUGAGAUGGAAUAUUGCUUUUGGUGCUGGUGCUGGUGCUGCGUACUGGAUGGAAUAUUGCAAAACAGUGAUUUGAGAUGGAAUAUGGGCUGGUGCUGGGUCUGUAUGACGGCUGUUGCUGCGGAAGCGAUUAGGGUUAGGGCAAGAGACAGUCAAGAUUGACUGCUCUGAUACCAUAUCAGAUUGGUCAAAAAAUAAUACUUCAUUUAUCUUAAUAUAUAACAAAUAGGAAGGUUAUAUAUACAGAGCCUAGGAAACUAUUUUAGGAAAGUAAUUAUGUUCAUAUAAUCUUGCAUAAUCAAAUAGUUGACUUAGACUAAUUAGGAAUGUACAGCUCAUUGACAUGUUCAGGCUCUACUUCAAGGGUUUGGUGAGCGAGGAAAUGGUUGGAAAUGAGAGAGUGGUGCUGGCUGGGGUUGGGGUUGCUCUAUGCGACUCCAGGGAUAAUUUGGUGUUCGAGGUUUGGAAACCCCUGAUUGGGAAUGGGAUGAGCAAGAAUGGUGCCCUGUUGAAAGCCUUGAUUGAAGGACUUAAUGCUGCUCUUGCUCUGGACUUGAAGCGCAUCACCUUUUUCUGUGAGAAUUUUCCCAUUUUUUUAGUUUGUGAGUUGCUAUCUCUUCUCUGUCUCGUUUCAGUCUAUUGAUGAAAAUUAAUUAGGCUAAUUGUGGGUUUUGCAUUUUAAUAUAACGACAUAUAUGGUUAUGGACGCUGUGGUUUACACUGACCAUGAAAGAGACUCUUGUGAAAGAGGUCUAAAGGAAUGGAACUUAUUAUUAUAUUAGUGUAUACGAUGUUGUAGGUUUUGUUAAUUAAUAUUUUUUUUCUUGGAACAAUAAUGAACUUUCAAUUUUCAGAUAUACUUCAUGAAAUUUGAUAGGGCAAAUCGUAUAUCAUCCAUUGUGGACAAAGAGAUGCAUUCACUUUGAGAAAUUUUACUUGUGUCUUCUCAACAUUUGCUAAAUUAGUUUGCUAUCUUGUAUUUAAAUUGACCAUUAGAGAAAGUCUUGUGAACAAGGUCUAAAAUAAUGGAGUUUAUUAUGACAUUUAUGUGUGCAAUGUUGUAGUACUUGUGUUGAAACCAAGAAUAUUGGAUGUACUAGUCACUGUGCUACGGUCUAUUUACACCCAUGAAUAGAGCUUGUUGAAUUUCUGACAUUAUAUUUUAUGUAUGAAGGUUAAUGGUAAAUGGCAAGCAAAGAACUACCCAAGAGCAAGGGAACUCAAAAUUGGACUUUCGAAAACUGCAUUGCAGUUUCGGAAAUUGCAUUGCAGUUUUCAUUUAAUUACAAUUGAAUUUUUGCUCUUUCCUUGGUCUUCAACCUCACCAAUUUGAAGAGUAAAGGCUACCCAAAUGAGGAAUUGGGGAAAGAGAAAAGUAGAACUACCCAAGAGCAAGAUAACUCAAAAUUGGACUUUUGGAAACUGCAUUGUGGAUUCAGAAACAACAUUGCAGUUUUAGAAACAGCAUUACAGUUUUCGUUUAAUUACAAUUUGAUUUUUGUUCUUUCAUUGGCCUUCAACUUCACCUAUUUGAAGAGUAAAAGCUACCCAAAUGAGGAAUUGAGUGGACAAGAGAAGAUUAAAACUACCCAAGAGCAAGGGAACUCAAAAUUGGACUUUUGGAAACUGCAUUGCAGAUUUGAAAACUGCAUUGCAAUUUCGGAAACUGCAUUGCAGUUUUCAUUUAAUUACAAUUUGAUUUUUAUUCUUUUCUUGGCCUUCAACCUCAUCAAUUUGAAGAGUAGAGGCUACCCAAAUGAGGAAUUGAGUGGGCAAGAGAAGAUAGAACUACCCAAGNNNNNNNNNNNNNNNNNNNNNNNNNNNNNNNNNNNNNNNNNNNNNNNNNNNNNNNNNNNNNNNNNNNNNNNNNNNNNNNNNNNNNNNNNNNNNNNNNNNNNNNNNNNNNNNNNNNNNNNNNNNNNNNNNNNNNNNNNNNNNNNNNNNNNNNNNNNNNNNNNNNNNUAUUUUUAUUGCAGUUUCUGUUUUUAUUUUCAGUUUUGUGGGAUAUGUGUUGAAAUGAUUUUUUUUUUUUUUAAACUGUUGAUUGUUGGUAUAAAUAUUGUAUAAUUGAAUAAAUAUUACAAAAUCAAGUUUGGUGUAGUGGUUUGUGAGUGAGCCUUCCUCCUUUGAGGGUCAAGGUUCAAGUCCCUUCAAUGACACAAAAUAUUUUUUUUUUAAAGGUGAAUAAAGGGCAAUGGAGUUGGUCCCCUACAGACGGUGGCAGGUGGUGGCCGGCGACGGUGGCUUGCAGCGGGAGUCCGGUGGUGGUGGCCGGCGAAGGGUGGCUGGAGGCGGGACUCCGGUGGUGGGAGUCCGGUGGUGGGAGCCCGGUGGUGGGAGCCCGGCGGUGGUGGCCAACGAAGGGUUGCCGGAGGCGGUAGUCUGACGGUGGCCGAAGGCGGGUGACGGCGGUGGUGGCCGGCGAUGGGUGGCUGGCGGUGGUGGCCGGCGAUGGGUGGCUGGCGGUGGUGGCUAUAUAUGGACAUGUGGCAUAGUAUGCUUGCCUUAGAAGGAGUGGCAUUGUGUGCAAUUUUGAUAUUUUUUAAUGAUAUGUUUGUAAAAUUGAGUACUAUAUUUGGUCUUUGGUCUUAUGCUAAUUAGAUGAAAUUGUAUUCUUAUCUUUCAAAUUAGUAAAUUAUAUUAUGUUUUGAAAACUAAAGCUCCCCCUAAAAAUAAGUAAAUUUAAACAAUUGAAGACACGUACGAGCAAUUUUUUUUAAGGGAGCUUUAGGUGAUAUAUUGCGAGUUGCAAGGCCAAGGACCAUUGAAUUACAAAAAUAAAGAUUUGACGGCGGCAACAAAAAACUUCAGUGAAGAAAAAAAACUUGGAGGAGGAGGAUUCGAGGGCAUCUACAGGGUAAAUUAUGUGCUAAAGAGCUCUAAAAUAAUUUAUGUCAGUUCAGUUUAGCACGAUCGAAUAUGGUGUACUCUUUUUUUACAUAAAUAAAGUUUUAAAAAACUGGGAAAAUUGCAUUGUCAAGCUUUUGAUUAUCCAUGCAUAAUGUUCAUUUACAAUUACAUGGUUGGUCAGGGUACUCUAAACAAUGGAAAAGUACGUAGUUGCAGUUAAAAAACUAGCAAUUCUCCAAUCUGACAGGGCAAAGGCGAAUUUCGUAAACGAGGUGAAGCUGAUAUGUAACGUUCAUCACCGGAAUCUCAUUCUUCUUGGAUGUUGUAGCAAAGGACCGUAAUUGCUUCUCAUAUAUGAAUACAUGGCAAACAACAGCCUCUACAGAUUCAUAUUUGGUAAUAAUUUUCGGCUUUUCAGCUCAGCUACCUCUAAAUGCAUGCCUCUCAACUGGAAACAACUAAAUGACAUAAUCCUGGGUACAGCGGGGUCUGGCCUAUUUACAUGAGAAGUUUCAUGAGAUGUAAAAACCAGCAAUGUUGUUUUGGAUGAUAAUUUCCAGCCACCAGAUCUGCCGGAACAUUGUAAGUUAAAGUACUUUCCCACAGGCAUAACCCCUGAUUGAGAUCUAUAUGAUCAUUACUCUUCUACAAUAUUUAUACCGAUAUUGUGUUUUGCCCUACUUAUCUUUCUAUCCGCACACAAAAAGUGUUAUGAAUCUACUACAUACAUCUUGUGUAGCUUGUCACAUUCCAGGAUCGACUCUGCCGUAUCACGAUAUUGUUCGUUUUGAGCCCCCUUCUCUGCCCUCACGGUUUUAUUUCUGAAAACUCACGAGCAACUUUUCAGUGGGUCUCCUAUCCUGGGAUUGCUCUAACCCCCAACUCGCUUAACUUCGAAAUUCCCAUGACUCCGAAGCCAGUGAACUCCCAAAAAACCUCGUACUAGAUAAAAACGAGUAUGUAUAUAUAAGACACAUUAUCCUCUCUCCGUUGAUCGAUAUGGAAUGUUACAUAGCCGAAGAGGAGUACAUCACCAUCAUGGUGAUGNNNNNNNNNNNNNNNNNNNNNNNNNNNNNNNNNNNNNNNNNNNNNNNNNNNNNNNNNNNNNNNNNNNNNNNNNNNNNNNNNNNNNNNNNNNNNNNNNNNNUCAGCACAAGUAUGCUAAAGAUCUACUGCAAAAGGGCUGGUCUGAGUAAUUGUAAGGCUUCUCCUACUCCUUGCAAGCCACAUAAUCAAGUCUUAAUGUCUGAAGGAGAACCACUGCAUGAUCCUACAUUUUAUAGAAGUAUUGUUGGUGCCUUACAAUACUUAACUUUCAUAAGACCUGACUUAUCCUAUGCUGUCAAUACUGUGUGUCAGUGUAUGACUGCUCCCACUGAGAUACAUUUCAACCUGGUCAAAAGAAUUUUGAGAUACAUUCAAGGUACCAUGAAUUAUGGAAUUCACUUUAUUCAUGGUCCUUGGAAAUUACAAGCUUAUAGUGAUGUUAACUGGGCGGGGGAUUUAAAUGCUAGGAGGUCAACUACAGGUUUUGUGGUAUUGCUUGGACAUAAUCCUAUCUCAUGGCAGUCUAAGAAGCAAGGGUCUGCAUCCAGAAAUUCUACAGAGGCCGAGUAUAGGGCUUUGGCUAGUACAGCUGCAGAUUUGGGUUGGAUUCGAAAGGUUUUGCUAGACUUGAAAGUGUGCUUGCCUCUACCUCCUACCAUCUUUUGUGAUAAUCUAUCUGCUUUGGCACUUAGUAGUAAUCCUGUGUUUCAUUCACGAAUUAAACACUUGGAUACAGAUUUUCACUUUGUUCGUGAAAGGGUUCAAAGGAAUGAUCUGAUUGUUUAGUAUGUUCCCACUCAAGAGCAAAUCGCAGAUGUAUUUACUAAAGGACUGCAUAGUCCUAUUUUCUUGAGUCACUGUACUAGUAUGCGACUUGGAAAUCCAUAGCAGGAUCCAGAGUUGGGUUUGAGGGGGAAUGAUAACAAUAUUAGUUAGUUUGUUAAGCUGUCACGUGUGCUCACGUGUUGUUAGUUAGUAGUAACUAUAAUUAGUUAAGAGUGUUAAGUCUUGGUUAUUGAGAUAUAACACUAAUGAAACUGCCGUUGUAAUUCAUUAUAUACAGAGCAUAUCAUUUCUUCUUCCUUCUUAGUCUUCUCAAUUCUUAAGCUUCCUUUUCUAAACUGUUAUCAGAUGGAACCCUAUCACACCAGAAUUGUGGCAAAUCUGGUAUAGCCGAUUCAGGUUAUUUUCACUAUAUAUCUUUCAGAAGUAUCUGUAACGGGGCAAAUCUCCAUCAAUCCUCUUCUUUUCAGUUUAUCUUUAUGCCCAUUCAUGCAUGUAUAUAUUAUACGAAGAAGUUUUUGACAUAUGGCAUGUAUUGUGUGUCAAAUGUAUACCGAUUCACGAAGACAGGUUCAAGAUCACAUACACCAUAUUCACCUUCAUUUCUUUUUGUUUAUUCUGGGUUUCUGCAAUUUGAAUCACAUUAAAAAACAAAUACUGAACAGUGAUAUAUUCAAUAUUGAUCGGCAUCACAAUUUCAUAUUUCAUAUUGCACUACGAAGGAAAAUAAAACUUACCCCACAGAGAAACAGGAUCCCCUUAUCUGAACCAGUUAUGUUACCUCCUAGUGCCUUCACAAAAAGCCUAAUGAACUCAGGAUUCAUAUGUAGCCCCAGUAAUUAUAUUACCAUCAACAACAGACGCCAACAUGGUCUCGGGUUCCACCCAAUAAGCACCUGCAGGCUGCAGCAACAAGUACAGGUCUGACAGCUGGGAAGGCCGUUAUAGUAUAGCCGCGCGGCUAUACUCUAUAACACUUUAAAGGUAUAGCCGCACUAUACUCCAUAGAAUAUCGCAAACAUAUAGCUGCGCGGCUAUACGCCAUAAGCUGAAUAUUUUAAAAGUACAGCCGCACCGCUAUACUCCAAAAAUUAUAAUAUCAUAAAAGUAUAGCCGAUCGGCUAUACGCGAUAAAUAAAAUAUUUCAAAUUGGCUAUACUCGAAAAAUAGAAAACCAAAAAACAUAUUAAAAUAAAGGGGACCAGAAAGACAUAUAUAUAGCAUUUGAAGAUUUGUAAAUUAAACACAGAUCACGAUUCAGUAAACCUAGGUAGCCCAUUAUCAGAUUAUUUUCACUUAGAGACGAAGGCACUAAUGCAAUUUUGUUUAUUUUGGGUUUACAAAUUCAAGUGAAGUAAACAUUCAAUCUUCAAUAUAAUUGAGUGUGCUUGAUUACAGAGCAUGGAAAAUACCAAUUGACGGUGCUCAAGUGAUGUAAUGAGGCUAAAGAAUAAAUUUUUAUCAUAUAAUCAUUAAAUAUGUUCACUAUGUCAUCGUUAUAUGUAAAUUUUUCAGAAAUAUAUAAACUAGCUAGGAUGUACGUGAAUUCGAAUUUGGAUACAUGAAAUAUUAUUACCUACUACAUCAUUUGACGAACAUAUUUGAUGUUCCUAACAAUUCUAUGUGUACUAGUAAAGUACUUUGUCUUUAAUUUGGAAGUAUCCGAAAGCAUAAUUAAUGUUUUUCAUAUAUUAUCUCGCAGGAGGCAAUUCAAGAAAGAAAGCCAUCAUUAUUGGAGUCGUAGUUGGAGGUGUAGGUCUUUUUAUCCUCAUUGUUGGAGUUUUUCUCUAUUUUAAACUUUCAAGAAAGCCCGAGGCUGCCACAACCACAAAAUUCGAAGUUGCACUUCCUCUUGCAUAUAUACUAUUAUUCAAUUAGCUCCUGCUCUAACUAUGUAUAUAAGAAUGUGAAGGCAAAGAGUCCCACAUUUGAAAGUUGUGAAACCUAGCAAGGGCUUAUAAGAAGUUGGGCUACUCCCCCCAUUGCCAAUUGGUUUUGGGCUUAUCAGAGCGGGUUGCCCACGUGUGAAAGCCCAAUCACGACACGUGCUCCACGUCACCCAAAAUGUGUUGUUUACGUGUUAGGCUUGAAAAUUCUCCACACGUGCAGGGACGUGUGAGAAUGUGAAAGUAAAGAGUCUCACAUUGGAAACUUGUGAAACCUUACAAAGACUUAUAAGGAGUUGGGCUACUCCCCCCAUUGCCAAUUGGUUUUUGGGUAAAUUAUAUGCUAAAGUGCUCUAAAAUAAUUUAUUAGUAUGCAUCAUACAUAGAGAUACAAAAACUAGCAAUAUUAUUUUGGAUGAUAGUUUCCAGCCCAAAAUCAAUUUUGGGCUGGCAAGGCUUCUACCAAAUGAUUAGACUCAUCUUAUUAGAACCAGAUCUGCUGGAACAUUGUAAGUUAAAUUACUUUCUCACAGGCAUAACCCUUGAUGGAGAUCUAUAUGAUCAUUACUCUUCUACAAUAUUUAUACCGGUAUUGUGUUUUGCCCUACUUACCGUUCUAUCCGCACACAAAAAGUGUUAUGAAUCUAUUACAUACAUCUUGUGUAGCCGAAGAGGACUAGUAUAUCUCCACCAUCAUGGUGAUGCUCUCUAGUGUUUCUCUCUAUGGUGAAGUGUCUCUCACUUCUGUUUUAGCCUAUCUGGGCAAUGGUGCUCACGGCACCUCCUACUAAGCCUUCUUUAAAUAACCAAAGAAUUUGGUCCAGCAGCUGCAUGCAUGAAAAAACCGUGCAAGUUGUCCUGAGCACCUUCAAAGUCCUCCACCACAAGACACAGAACAUUAAUGCACCGAAAAAGCACAACCACCAGCAUUCGCAAAGAAGCCAGCCGCUCCUCUUUCUCAUGUCCUUGGUGCAGCACAGUGGGGCACACCUGCACACACAUCUCCUGCUGUCAACCGAAGUCCCUCUUUAUGCAUAGCCCAAGUUGGCUUCUCAAAGAACCCAAGCCAAAAAGUAAUAGCAAUAAUACAAAGCCUACUCUCUCUCUCUCUCUCUCUCACGGGUACACAGACCAACAAUGUGGCCAAUAAACGAAGGAAAAUGCUGGCAACCUUAUCUCCAACCUUAUUUUUGGACAUUUUCCCUUUUCCUCAUGACAUAUGUCACAUCCCAUACACUUGAAAACAAUGACAUUAAUACAUUAAACAAACUACCUUUUGUUUUCGAAGUUUACCCUUAUUAAAUGUAUUGUCUUUCAAUUUAUCCAAAAAUUUUUACAACUCUCUUACUACAUUUAAAAAAUUAAAAAAAUUAAAAAAAUUCAGUUUAAAAAAAAAAAAACAUGUUGUUAUAAAACUAGAGGGAGAAAAUGUAGAGAGAAGUGAUAUGCUAAAGACAAAGUUUCACCAUGUUUAUUCUACCUUAAUCUUUGGUAGAACCACCUAUUUAUAGGCUUACAAGAUAGGAGAUUGAAUACCAUCAUUUACAAUAUACCUAUAGGUUACAAGCAUUAAUUACAAAUACUUAGUGCAUAGGUUACAUAAAAUCCAACGGUGGAAUAUUAAGAGGUAUGGUGGUCAUCCACCAACUCAUGCAUUUACAACACUCCCCCUUGGAUGUCCACCAUACAAUGACAUUGUUUCCUCAUUAAAAACCUUGCUUGGAAAACCCUGUGGGACAAAACCAAAGCGAAGGGAAAAAGAGUGAAACUUUCUUCUGAAUCAUUGAUAUGGUGUUGGAUGAGCUUAUAUUGCCUCGUUAAAACCUUGCUAGGAAAAACCCAGUGGGACAAAAACCUAGUCGAAGGGAAAAAGAGUACAACGCGCAUAUGCCUUGAAUGUAGUAGAAUUGGGAUGCUCCCCCUCAUUGAUAUCUCCCCCUGAUUAAUAUCUCUCCUUCUCUGAUUUGAGCAAUACAAGCAACAUUGUCUUCAUACAUGAUCGUCUAUCACACUAUUCAACCUGCUUUUCACUUUUCAAAUGAUUGAAAUCUUUAGGAGUAUCAACAACUAAUUUAGUAGUUAGAAUAUGUUACAACAAUAUCAAAUUUGAAUUCAAAAUACUCAAACUCUUAGUGUUAACUCUUAAUUAAGAAUAUUGUGGUACUUUAUAUCCUUCAAGAGGUUGCUUCAUCUGAUAUAUCUCAAAUAUUUCAUGAGCUUUGAGGAUUUCCAUGUACCAUAUAGUCUUAAUAAAUAUGCAUUUAACACAUACUAUAAGUUUUGCGUUAAAGUAACAACCGCACUUAUAGAAAUGUGGAUGCAUUUACGAUGAGAUUGGAGACUAAAACCACAUGUACCUCUCCCAGGAAACCUUAUGUCAUAUUAGUGAUCUUAUUUCACUUCACAAACACCAAUUCGUAACCUUCAUACUGAACAUUUGUAAUUUGGUGUUUGAGUUAUAGGUUCAAUAUCCAACUCUUCUUAUUUAGUGAUAAAUGGAAUUGCCUAUUUCCAUUUUUGGCCAAUCACUUAACUUGUCGACAUUCAUGAAACGUGAUUUAAUAUAAUCAUAGCCCUUGAUGAUUGUAGUAGUUACUAAUAAACCAAAUGUAUCAUCAAUUUGUGAUCCCACAAUUCUCAUGUGCAUGCGCAUGCAUAAUUUAUAAGCAUCUCAUUACUUUAGGGUACCAAUGCCUCUUCAAGGGCUUAUGUUGUCACUUAUGGGACAAACAUCUCUUUUACAAUAAAUUAUUUAGAAUAUGUGGAUCAUAACCUCCUAUAGAGCGUUAUUUUUUAUAGAGCUUGAAUUUUUCAAAUAAUCUCCAUUUCUAGGGAGUUAAGUUUUUAGAACCUAUAUUUUUGUCAUGCUUCAGGCAUGCAUUAUAUAUAUAGUCACCAUGUUAAUGGAUUGUGAUACGAGAAUAUCAAUCCAUGUUAGCAUAUGUACAACUUAUAUAUGCAUUUUCUUGAUGAGACAAAAGUGGAUUGAUUCAACACUAUUUCACGAUGUUCUUCAGGAACUGUCAUUUCUCCCCCUAACGGCGGGAAAAUUAUCUCAAAAUUUAGGAAAAUAAACUCACCAUCAUUAUCAAUUCAAAUUGACUGGAUUGGAUAAUGUGGGAGUUGUGCUCGUCAGCGUCUUGACAAGAGAUAAAUAUGUAACCACUUUAGUAGGCAUAUUCAACAAAACUGGUGAAGUGAUCCAUAAUUAAAUGUUGUAUAGGCUCACAAAUAUCCCAUUGAAUUAUGGCUCAAAGUCAAUUUUUGACUGAGAUGAUCUUAUGACAACUUUUAUUUGUGAGCGUUCUUUGUAAUGAUAUUGUUGGACAAGACAAUAAUUUGAGUCUUUAAACGAUGUCCUUACAAAUUUAUAAAAAUCUUAUGCAUCAUUGUGGGACAUGGAUUGCCAAGAUAGUCAUGUCACAACAUAAAAGUUAUUCGGUCAAUGAACUUCUAGUUCAUGACAUCAUAAUCUUCAACUAUAAUAGUUGUGUAAUAUUGGGGGCCUCAAGAACUUUUGGUUCAUAACAUCAUAAACUUCCUACCCACAAAAGAAAGUAGGAAGUUUCUCCAAUAGACGCCUCUGGCUAUCAAUAUUGGGGCGGUAAUACAAAACAUUACCAUUGUAAAACGAAAUUAAUUAAUAACCUAACAUAAAUAAAAUAAAAUAUAAUAAAAUAAGUAAAGUGGUAUAAACAAGGAAUAAAAUAAAUCAAUUAAAGAUUAUGAAAUUCCAAGAUAAUCCAGUAUUAAUGUGGAUUCAAUAUGUAGAUAAAACUACAAGUUUAAGAAUUGGAUUUCCAACCAAUUCAGGUUCAUAUAGGCACAAAUAAGUAAUGAACUUUAGGUUCAUAUCAAUCUAUAUUCGAAACUUCGGGUUCGAAUAUGUAGAUCUAAAUAAAUUGAAUUAAUAGUUGUGCUUUGAACUUCAUACUCAAAUCGAUGUAUAUGCACUCGAAACUUCUGGUUCGAGUUCUUGACACAUGUAGGCCUCAUGGAAUUCUGAUUUUGAUUAAUACAAAAUCGAGGAGUUUCAUGUCCUUAUGUGCUCUUUAAAUUCGCGGAACUUCACGCCCUCAAUUAUUUGGAAUCAAAGAACUUCAGGUUCUGAUUCAAUCAAAAGGACUCUAUAUCCUAAUCUAGUUAUAUGAUGAGGAUCACGGAACUUCGGGCCCCUGAUCUUUUGUAUAAUUCAAACUCAUCAUAAUAAUUAAGAUCAUACUUAAAAUUAAAUAAACAAACAAAUAAAAACAAAAACAUGGCAUUAUAUUCAUGUGUAAUAAGAAUAAGAAUUUUUUUUCUUAAACAAGCAUGAUGAAGUCUGAUGGUGAGUACAAAGAAACUCUAUACCAUGUGAUGACUCUAGCUCAUAUAAGAAGAAAGAAAAUUCAGAGAAAGAAAACAUACCAAGAGCAAUGUCGUGCUGAUAACAUGUUAUAAAACUAGAGGGAGAAAAUGUAGAGAGAAGUGAUAUGCUAAAGACAAAGUUUCACCAUGUUUAUUCUACCUUAAUCUUUGGUAGAACCACCUAUUUAUAGGCUUACAAGAUAGGAGAUUGAAUACCAUCAUUUACAAUAUACCUAUAGGUUACAAGCAUUAAUUACAAAUACUUAGUGCAUAGGUUACAUAAAAUCCAACGGUGGAAUAUUAAGAGGUAUGGUGGUCAUCCACCAACUCAUGUAUUUACAACACAUGUCUAUUUUUUUAGAUUGGAAAACGUUUUUUUUAACACAAGAAUGACCUCAAAAAAAAAAAAAAAUCAACGAAAGAAAGAUUGUUUUUUUUAUACGGACAAAAGACAUCCUUCUAAAGAAGUCUGUAGUCAAAGGAAGUUCAUUGAUUGGAUUUUCAAACCAUUAAUUCGGUAAGUUUGAUUAUUGAUUUUUUUUUUCAAGACCAUUAAUUAGUUAAGUCUUAUUUGUUGGAGUCUUUCAGAAAAGAAAAAAACAAACAAACGUUUUUUCUUAUUUAAUUUUUUAAGUCUUAUUUGAAUGUCUCCUUAUUCCCUUUGGAGUCUUAAAAAAAAGACUUUUUCUCAAUUAAUUUUUGAACAAGGCGAUAAGAAAAUUGUAAAAAAUUUAGAUAAGAAAUUUAAAGAAAUAUUAAAAUCAAUACGUUUAAUAAGGGCUGAUUUGAAAAACAAAUGUUAGCUUGUUUGAUGCAUUAAUUGCAUUGUUUUGAGUUUUUAAAAAGUGACACAUAUCAUGAGAAAGAGAGAGAAUGUCCAAAAGAGAAGGUUAGAGAAAAAGUAGCUAUCAAAGCUUUUUCACAAAGUUAGACACACACGCCCACCAAGUUGGAUUCCAAUUGCUUUAGGUGUAGAUCACUCUAGUGCUGGAACCCACUCCAUGUGUGUCUCCAGCCUUUUAACAAAGAUGGCACGUGCCGUCAUUUCCCCAUUUGAAAACCCACGGUAUGACAAAUGAAGAAAGCUAGCAAACAAACAAGGAUAAAGUAGCCUUUACACAAUUAACAAUACAAUUUGGGCCAAUUUUCAACAGUGAAGGCAUCUUAUUGCAUUCUCCGGAGCCUUUCUUUUUCGAAAUAAGGAUAGAUUUUAAUUUAAACGCUAGAUCUGAAAGCAGAUUCAAUGAUUUCCAUAAAAAUCAUAAUCAACAUUACGUAGUUACAAACAUACAAGAUCCAUCCACAAUUGGUACAUAUAGAGCAGAAUCCGAGCAUCAUUGUUCCCUCACAGAUACACACAACACCUUCACAUAUGCUCUUAUUCUUUUAUUGAAUUACACGGAGUUUCUGGCUAUGCUUCUUUUUCUUUUAUUCUCUUAUUCGUUUAUGGAAUUCCAUAUAUUCCUUGGAAGCAGCAGACCCGGUAAAGGGUGCCUAGAAUGAUACUCGAAUAUCAAGCAAUCUCAUCAACUGAGAAAUAAGCUCUGGUUGGCCAUGCCACGCUGCUGCGGUAACCAGAUUUCCAUCAGUGACACAACGAUCUAUUGGAUCCGCUUCCACAAACGUCCCUCCUGACGAAACCACACGAGCCUUAAUCCCUGGGUAUCCAGUACAUUUCUUCCCCUGAAAUAUAGCCAAUUGAACCAAUUAUAUGACAUGCUAAAAAGUGCCUAAUCAGUUAAUAAGUACAUUAACCACUAAUCAAAAGAAACAGAAAAAAUAUCAUCUCCUUUGCGAUUUUAAAGAGUACUCACCUCCCUCUUCCCCAUAGUUAUUUACAAUUGAGAGGUUAAUAGGUCACAACAGAUCAGCUCAACAGAACCAAAAUACAAAGCACUACCACUAACUAUGUUUUUUUCUUUAAGAACCAUACCUGCAGAACACCAGCAGCAACUAAAAUUUCCAGGCCAUGGCAGAUGGAUGCAACUGGUUUCCCGGCUUCCAUAAAUUGUUUCACUAGUACAAUAACAUCCUCCUUUAGUGCCAAAAACUCUGGAGCUUUACCUCCAGGGAGUACAAGAGCGUCAUAACUUGAGGCAUCUAUGGAUUCAAAGUCAGCUGUUAAAACAAAAUUAUGUCCCCGGAUCUCACUGUAGGUUUGGCCCCCUUCAAGAUCACGGAUAGCAGUUGGGCAGGUAUCACCGGCUUUCUUCUUGGGGCAAACCACAUCAACAUGGCAUCCUAGAACUUUGAGGGUCUGAUAAGGCACAGUUACCUCAUAAUCUUCCGCGUAGUUCUACAAAUAUUGGGGAGGGGAGCAAUUAAAUGAUGAUGAUUAGUAACUAACAGUUUAAUCAUUGGCUAUAUUUUGUCCCAUAUUUGUCAUUGCAAUAUAAAAGAAACAGAAAAGAAAGCUUACUCCAAUGAUGAUGAGGACCCUUCUCUCUGAAGCACAUAUUUUGCCUCCCAGUGCCUGAGAAAAAGCCUAAUGAACUCAGGAUUGCCAUAAUAUGUGACCCCAGUAAUUAAAUUAUCAUCAGCAACACACACUGACAAUGUAUCGGGUUCUACCCAGUGAGCACCAGCAGCAACCAAUCCAGGUUUCAUAGUUGAAACCGCGGUGCAUUUGCGACCUUUAACAGCGCCUGCAGGUGCUAAGACCAACAGCCCAUGGCAAAUAGCAGCAAUUGGCUUUCUGCAGUCAGAAAAUUUUCUCGCCAAUUCUACAACGGAUGCCUUCAUAGCAAGAUGUUCAGGAGAUCGUCCUCCUGGUAUAACUAGACCAUCAUAUUUGUCAAUUUCGAUGUCAUCAAAUGUUGCAUUCAGUGUGAAAUUGUGACCACGAGAUUCUUUAUUAGCCUGUAACCAAAAAGGUACACGAAAGAAAACCAAACACAACACACACAUUAAAACAAGAGUAAUGGUUAGGUGAAUUCAAGCUUCUUUGUCUUGCUUGUCUCUCAAACUCAAACUCAAACUCAAACUCAAACUCAUCAGAGGUUGUUUUCCAACAACUGUGUUCAAUAUUAAACAUAUAAAAUAUAUUCCUCUUGUUUACAAAUAAAAAAGAACAGGAAAGACAGGAAAGACAGAAUUUGACCUGGUCAGUGGACUCUACUUGAAUGGUUAUGGCAGUGGCGCAGAUAUCACCAGCUUUCUUGACAGGAGAAACUGCAUCAACAGAGACUCCAAAUGCCUGCAGUGCUUGAAAUGGGACCAUUGCCUCGUAAUCUUCCAUGUAGUCCCCGCACAGUAACAACACCCUCCUCUGCACCUCGCCUUUCGGAUUCCCCAUUUCUUUUCUUAUUUCCUUCUUUAGUUUCUUUCUUCUUUUUCAGAGAGAGAGAGUUUUCAGAGAGAUUUUUCAGAGAGAGAGAGAGAGGGAGAGAGUCUGAAUACAAGAAGGUAGGUUAUAGCUUGAGCUGCUCUGCUUUGCUUACUUAAAUACUCACAAAAGCGUUUUUGGAGGUUUGUGGAGUCAGCUCGAUACGGUCGCACGCAAUUUGAGCAACACAUCGCAGUCAGUUAUCGUGGCAUCUCUCUAUUCGCCGCUUCUUUUCAGUUCGGAUAACUAUUCUAUUAGUUUCGAGCCUAUCACCGUCUCCAUGUUUGAUACGUUUUUUUGUUGUCUUCUUUACCGACCAAGUGAGUCUAAAUUAUUGAAACUUAAGUUUGUUCUCUUCACGGACCAAGGGGGUCUAAAUUAUUGGAGGAAGAUUGAAACUUGAGUUUGUUCUCUUCACGGACCAAGUGAGUCUAAAUUAUUGGAGGAAGAUUGAAACUCGAGUGCAAAGAGACGGAUUUAUUCUCUUGUUGUGAAUACAAGUAAUGGUCUAAAUUAUUAGAGAAGUAUUCUAACUUGAGUGCAAAGAGCACAAACUUAAGUGCAAAAGAGUGGACUCACUGUCUUAUUACGAGUGCAAAUGAUAGUCUAAAUUAUUAGAGAAAUAUUCAAAUUAUAGUGCAAAGAAGCAUACUCACUGUCUUAUUGUGAAUAUUCGAAUAUUCGAGCUCAAUGCUUCCUUUUCGAUUGAAAAAAAAAAGAAAAAAAGAAGCUCAAUGCUUCCAAGCUAAUGUCCCUAUACUAUAGAAAAGCUCUUUAGAGUCGUCAUCCUCUUCUUCUUGCCUUCAUUGUAGCAUGUGUGUGGGCCCAAUAGUAAAGCUCAAUGCUUCCAAGCUAAUGUCCCUAUACUAUAGAUUAUAGAAAAGCUCUUUGGAGUCCUCAUCUUCCUCUUGCCUUCAUUGUAGCACGUGUGUGGCCCAAUAGAAAAGCUAAUGUCCCUAUAUUAUAUGGACUAUGCGGACAGUGAUGGAUUCAAGAUUAUGUGGCCAAGGGGGCUUAGUGUAAAGUUCCGAAAUUUUUCUACAAAGAAAAUAAUGCUAAAAAAAUAUAAAGAUAGUACUAUAAUCCGUCAUUUGAGUUCUUAGUCCAGGGUCUUCCUGAAAAUUAGCUAAUAUCUCAUCUACUUCAAUUGGUCUUGCAUUUGAACUACCUGGGUUAGGCGAAGAAGGACUAUCCGUAGAUAAUUUUCUUUUAAAGAUUCGUUCCAUAAAUCUACAAAUCAAUUAAUUCAAUCAAUCAUUAAUUUUUAUCCAAAUUAUCAUAUGAAUAUGAAAAUUUCAAUAAUCCACUCUCAAUAUUCAAUAUAUCUAAACCCAUAUUAAUCAAUAUUCAAUAUACCAAUACUUACGAAUGAAAGUUCCAGCGACAUCAGGGAAUUUUUCCCUUAUGUAAUUGUCCAAUCAAUAUUCAAAAUAAUCAAUCAAUUCACAUUAUCAAGCAUAAACUCACUCAAUCUACAUUAUCCAUCAAUAUGAUUCAUAUACAUAAAUUUCAUUACAUAAAAAAUAUCAAUAUCAACAAUAUAUAUUAUCACUAUAAGGGUUGGGAGAUUGGGAAUGAAGGGUGGGUUGGAAGAUUGGGACAGGUUAGGGUUUGAAAGGGUGGGAAGAGCUGUGAAAUUGUGAAAGGACCCGCCCCGAAUUUUCUCAAAACCCGAGACGAACCCUUUGGAAUUCCUGACAUCACUCCGAUGCCAGACCCACUUACUAAAAACCGAGACUCCCUGCCGAAAUUUCGGCAGAGUCUCCCCUAUAAAUUGGACAUUUUCCAAAAUUUAUACCUGCAUGAAAAUGCAUUUAAUAUUCCCAACUGGCAGCAUGCACAAUAUAAUUUCAUGCAAAUUCUCAUAAAUGGCCUUCGGCCUUCAAUUAAUUCUCAAACAACUACCAAGCAAUUCAAAUACAAAUUAUGACUAAUAUUUAGUCUGCGGCUGCACCUAAUAACCUUAGGCUGCCUACGUACCCUCCUUGAGAGAUCAAGCCACACGUAGUUCUUCCUUAAAAACCCAAUUCCACACUUGGGCGAUGCCUUAUUUCAUUUCUCUGUAUUUCACAUAUUCUCCCCAUACGCCGGUACAACCAACGCCACGUAUGAGGCCUGUCAACACGCCGGAUAACCUACGCCACGUGCGACCAUGCCAUACUAUCAUAAUAUCUCCCUAUUCGCCGGUACAACCAACGCCACGUAUGGGGCCUGUCCCAAAGCCGGAUAACCUACGCCACGCGGGACCUCAAUAUCAUAUCACAAAUCUCCCCAUACGCCAGUACAACCAACGCCACGUAUGGGGUCUGUCGACACGCCAGAUAACCUACGCCACGUGAGACCUGAACAUCAUAUUACAUAGCUCCCCAUACGCCGGUACAAUCAACACCACGUAUGGGGUCUGUCCCAACGCCGGAUAACCUACGCCACGCAUGGGGUCUGUCCCAACGCCGGAUAACUUCCACUUGGUGGUACAUGUAGUGAAUCCAACGUCCGAGGAGGUACCUACAGCAGUGCGUAUAGCACUCCAAACUGACAUUCUUGACUCUGUUGUACCCUUGUACAACCACAUAUAAUUAUAUUUAUAUAAAUUAAUUCUUAUAUUGUGUAACCCUCCACAAUAGUCUAGCUCCCGAUAAACCCACCCCCCCCCCCCCCCCGGAAGGGGGAGAUUACUCCGGGAGAUUCACGGUCAACCAAGGGUCAAACUACUCUAACCCUGGUCAAACGGACUUGCAGAACCCAUGACCUCCAAUUUCCGAUCCGAAAGUCUCUAUGGGUUCUACCAGGUAUAGGACACUUGUCCUGCGAGUUUGGUUCAGAUCAGACGAUCGGAUUUCUCACGAUCGCAUGAUCUGACAGUUAAUAUAAAAUAUAAACUUUAAAUUAUUAUUCGGAACAUCUGGGGCUCCGAUUCACGAUCCGUGAAUUCCUACACGAUCCUAGAAAUACCUAGAUUAACAUAUAUUAAAUUUGGGACCAUCAGACGGUCCCAACCUAUCGAACCCAGAUAACGCAUAAUAUGCGAUUAUCCGUUCGAUAGUCAAACGACGUCCGAAUUGAGAUCCGCGAAUCCUACGCACUCGUGACAACCUAAGGAUCUCAUCAGAACACAGUGCUAUUUUUCUACAGUGCCCACGCGCCAGCAGCGCGUGGGUGCCCAAAGCGAUAAUGCUUCGCCGGAAAAUCUCAAAACCACGGCUCCAAACUCCUACCCUAGGUAUAACACCCUAUUUGGAGCCACUUUUGUUCUUGGACCUACCCCAAAAAGUGGCCGGAAAUGGCCGAUCACGGCAGCCGAAGUUUCGGCCGAUUUUCAAUUCGAAAAUUGAGUUGGCUACGCUAAGAAUUGAUCUAAUCCUAUCCAACCAUCAGCUAGAGCAGCUCGAGAGGUUCAAAAUCCAUACAUGGGUCGACGGAAUUGGUGGCCGGAGGAGGGAGAUCGGCGGCCGUGAAAAUCGGGCGACAUCCGGGCGAAAAUCGCCAUUUUCUGGCGGCUGGAGCAGCGGCCGAUGUCGGGGGUGGGCUGGGUCGUGACGCCGAGGCCGAGCCGGUUCUUUUGGUACCGGCCCCGUCCGCAGCCGCGGCCGGUGGCUGGAGUUACGAGGAGAGAGAGAGAGAGAGAGAGAGAGAGAGAGAGAGAGCCGACGGGAGAGAGAGAGAGAGAUCGCGGGAGAGAGAGAGAGAGAGAGAUCGUGGGAGAGAGAGAGAGAGAGAGAGAGAGAGAGAAACCAGAUUUUAUAAAAAAUCCCAUUUCGAAAUAUUUACGAUUAUGCCACUGGGCUUCUUUUGACCAUAUCUCUCUCGUUACAACUCCGAUUCGAGCCCACUACGUGUCUAUGAACUCGUCUCAGUACGACCUAUCCAAAAAUACAAGUCACGGUCCAAAACUCUCUGCAGUAGUGUGUAUAGCACUCCAAACUGACAUUCUAGACUCUGUUGUACCCUUGUACAACCACAUAUAAUUAUAUUUAUAUAAAUUAAUUCUAAUAUUGUGUAACCCUCCACAAUAGUCUAGCUCCCAAUAAUCCCCCCCCCCCCCCCACAAGGGUGAGAUUACUCCGGGAGAUUCACGGUCAACCAAGGGUCAAACUACUCUAACCCUAGUCAAACGGACUUGCAGAACCCACGACCUCCAAUUUCCGAUCCGAAAGUCUCUAUGGGUUCUACCAGGUAUAGGACACUUGUCCUGCGAGUUUGGUUCAGAUCAGACGGUCGGAUUUCUCACGAUCGCAUGAUCUGACGGUUAAUAUAAAAUAUAAACUUUAAAUUAUUAUUCGGAACAUCCGGGGCUCCGAUUCACGAUCCGUGAAUUCCUACACGAUCCUAGAAAUACCUAGAUUAACAUAUAUUAAAUUUGGGACCAUCCGACAGUCCCAACCUAUCCAACCCGGAUAACGCAUAAUAUGCGAUUAUCCGUUCGAUAGUCAAACGACGUCCGAAUUGAGAUCCACGAAAUCCUACGCACUCGUGACAACCUAAGGAUCUCAUCGGAACACAGUGCUAUUUUUCUACAGUGCCCACGCGCCGCCGCACACGCCGGCAGCGUGUGGGUGCCCAAAGCGAUAACGCGUCGCCGGAAAAUCUCAAAACCACGGUUUCAAACUCCUACCCUAGGUAUAACACCCUAUUUGGAGCCACUUUUGUUCUUGGACCUACCCCAAAACGUGGCCGGAAAUGGCCGAUCACGGCGGCCGAAGUUUCGGCCGAUUUUCAAUUCGAAAAUUGAGUUGGCUACGCUAAGAAUCGAUCUAAUCCUACCCAACCAUCAGCUAGAGCAGCUCGAGAGGUUCAAAAUCCAUACCUGGGUCGACGGAAUUGGUGGCCGGAGGAGGGAGAUCGGCGACCGUGAAGAUCGGGUGACAUCCGGGCGAAAAUCGCCAUUUUCCAACGGCUGGAGAAAAACCAGAUUUUAUAAAAAAAUCUCAUUUUGAAAUAUUUACGAUUAUGCCACUGGGCUUCUUUUGACCGUAUCUCUCUCAUUACAACUCCGAUUCGAGCCUACUACGUGUCUAUGAACUCGUCUCAGUACGACCUAUCCAAAAAUACAAGUCACGGUCCCAGACUCUCUCCGGUUAAAAAUAUGACUAAAAUACCCUUAAAUAAUUAAAUAAUUAAAUAAUUAAAUAAUUAAAUAAUUAAAUAAGGGUAAAAUUUGGGGUCGGGGUGUUACAAAUUGGGAAUGAAGGGUUUGGAGGCGCUGUGCAUUCGGGUAAGUGAUUCGGUGUUCUUUUUUUUUAUGUUUUUUGUUUUUUUAAACUUGGCCCAAAACGACGUCGUUUUGAAGCCAGGUCAAUUAAAAAAAAUUUGACUGAGCCUUGGACCAAACGACGUAGUUUGGCAAGGCUCGUUUUAGAAAAAAGGGAUGCGCAGCUUGAGCGGGCAAGGCACAGCGCAGCUGCGCAAUAGAAGAAAAAAUGGCAUGGGACUUUUGUCGAGCAGUUGGUGUGCGUACCAGGGGUCAUCCAGCAGCUGUCCAAGGGGGCUUUCAUGGAUUCCCUUGCCAAUUUUCCUGCCUUCCAAGGGGUCAUCGGACCCCUCUUGUCCCAAUGUGCGUCCGCCAAUGCAUGCGGAUAAAUAAAUGUAAUGUUUAUCUCUAACAGAUCAUGCUUUUUGAGCUGUGAUAGUUUUGGAAUAGUGUUCGCGUGCAUUUUACCUCGACUGCCAUGUUGAUUUUCACCAGAGCAGCAAAGCUGCUUGCUUUGUGUUAUGAGGUCUGGUUUUGUCAACAAACUAUAUUGCUUGACCCAGAAGAAAAUGCAAUAUCAUGUGGAUCCUCAUUUCGCAGUUGCAGGAGGAUGGUUGUGAAAAUACAAGAGCUAAUUCUGGAUAACAUGAUAUUUGUGGGAGCGAUUUCUUCCCACAAGAAUAUUCAAUUGAAAGAUUCCUCUUUCAUCUUCGCCACCCCUUUCUCCUUGCAAAAUAGAUCGAAACAAGAGGACCACACCCGUGAGGUGUUGGCCAAAUGCCCUCAGAUGCCUAAGUUAGUUCAAUUGAUUCGUAGAGAAAACAAUAGCUAAAUAGGGUACAAAGAUAUAUAUAUAUAUAUAUAUAUAUAUGUAAGGUGUAAACCGGGUGGCCGAAGCCAUGAGUGGUGGUCGGAGCCUUGUGUAAAAGGGAGAGAGAGUAUGGCGGCUAGGGUUUGUGAGGGAUAAUUUCUGCAGAGUUUCAGUAGGAAUUUAGACGUAGCUCAACCCUUGUGCGUAGCCAUCUAUUUACAGGGGCCUCGGAGGCUAGGGUUUCAGAGGAAUAAUUCCGCAGAUGGAAAGGAAUUAUUCUUCCCUGAUUUGGCGAGAUUGGCUUAAUUAGGGAUUUGAAUGUAGGAAUCAAAUCAAUCCCAAUUAAAUUAGAUAACUCCCAAUUAGGUAAAAUAAUCCCCAAAUGGAAGGAAAUAUUUCACCUAGGGCUUUGCUAGAAUUGGGCUCCCACAAUAUUCAUUCAGGUAAAACUUCGAGGUGUACGGUGAGAGAGAUAGAGACCAAAGGGACUGACGACUAAUAAAUCGUAGUGUCCUUAGCAUAAGUAGUAUAACACAAGCUUCAUCCACAACCAACUUGCAUAGAACAUGGCAUAUACAUAUCAAAACCAGUGUCACUUGUUCCCUCAUAUAUACAAACGUCACCUUAACAUAACACAACAUACAUGCCUUAUUCUUUCACGAAUUACAUAAAGUACAUGCAAGCAGCUGACCCGGUAAACAACAACUAGAAUGAUACUCGAAUAUCAAGCAAUGUCAUCAAUUGAGAAAUGAACUCUGGGUGGCCCGGCCAUGCUGCUCCAGUAACCAAAUUUCCAUCCGUGAAGCAACGAUCUAUUGGAUCAGGUUCCAGGCAUGCUGCUCCCAGCAAAACCACAUUAAGGUUCACCGCUGGAUACGCAGUACAUUUCUUUCUCUAUAAUUUAGCCGGUUAACAACAAUUAGGACACGAUUAAAAAAAGUUCAUAAUGUGAAAAUAAGUAAAUCAACCCUCAAUCAGAAGAAUCAACAAAAGACAAACAUAUUACAACUUCAAGGUGGUUUCUUUUUUACCUCGUCAUUAAAUACUCACUCUGAUAAAACUUUAUAUAAACAGAAAAUAGGCAGUGUCCCUCUUACAAAAUUGAUGACACUCCUAACUCUUCCUAACAACUUCUGAAAAACUGAAACUGCCUAGCUCCGCCAAGCCUUUUGGUUUUCCUUACUAGGUAAUUUCUUCUUUUACCCCAUUCCCGUGAACUUGUCCUCCUUGGCUCAUUGAAUGUUCGUUAUGUCUCCACCCAUACUCAGCCAAACAUUUGAUGUACUUUAAAUCUUUAGUAUUCAAUAAUACUGCAUAACUGUUGAUAUUUACAUAAAUGGUUCAUAAAAUUGAAGUGGAGAAGAAACUAUCUUAAGAGUUGAGAAUGAGUUUGGGUGGCUUGAGUGAAAAAACUUUAUCCAUCAACACAAGGAGAUGGUGAAGGCAUCUUAUUAUGGUGGGAUCAUUUGCAUCCUCCGGAGCCUUUUUUUUUCAAAAUACUGCCAGAUUUUAAUCAUUAAACUAAGAAUGUAAACGCUAGAUCCGAAAGCAGAUUCAAGGAUUUCCAUAAAAAGCAUAAUCAACAUUACGUAGUUAAAAACAUACAAGAUCCAUCCACAAUUGUUACAUAUACAGCAGAAUCAGAGCAUCAUUGUUCCCUCACAGAUGCACACAUCACCUUAACAUAUGCUUUUAUUCUUUUAUUGAAUUACACGGAGUUUCUGACUAUGUUUCUUUUUCUUUUUUUACUCUUAUUCGUUUAUGGAAUAACAUAUAUUACUUGGAAGCAGCUGAACUGGUUAAGUUUGCCUAAAAUGAUACUCGAAUAUCAAGCAAUGUCAUCAACUGAGAAAUAAGCUCUGGUUGGCCAUGCCACGCUGCUGCGGUAACCAGAUUUCCAUCAGUGACACAACGAUCUAUUGGAUUCGCUUCCGCAAACGUCCCCCCUGACACAACCACAUGAGCCUUAAUCCCUGGGUAUCCAGUAAAUUUCUUCCCCUGAAAUAUAGCCAAUUAAACCAAUUAUGUCAUGCUAAAAAGUGCCUAAUCAAGAAAUAAGUACAUUAACCACUUAUCAAAAGAAACAGAAAAAAUAUUAUCUCGUUUGCGAUUUUAAAGAGUACUCACCUCCUUCUUCCCAAUAGUUAUUUACAAUUGAGAGGUUAAUAGGUCACAACAGAUCAGCUCAACAGAACCGAAAUACAAAGCACUAGAUGUAACCUUUUUUACUUCCUUUUCAAGUUCAAUCGAUAAAGUAUUUCAAUCUGUUUUACUUUAUCUUUAAUAAGUAGCAUUAAAACUGGAAGCAUUAUAUUAAUGUUUUAGUGACAAACGUUUAACCACUAAAAUGCAGGUAGGAUAUAUGUUUUUUCUUUAAGACCAUACCUGCAGAACACCAGCAGCAACUAAAAUUUCCAGGCCAUGGCAGAUGGAUGCAAUUGGUUUCCUGGCUUCCAUAAAUUGUUUCGCUAGUACAAUAACAUCCUCAUUUAGUGCCAAAACCUCUGGAUCUUUUCCUCCAGGGAGUACAAGAGCGUCGUAACUUGAGGCAUCUACGGAUUCAAAGUCAGCUGUUAAAACAAAAUUUUGUCCCUGCGUUUCACUGCAGGUUUGGGCCCCUUCAAGAUCACGGAUAGCAGUUGGGCAGGGAUCACCGGCUUUCUUCUUGGGGCAAACCACAUCAACAUGGCAUCCUAGAACUUUAAGGGUCUGAUAAGGCACAGUUACCUCAUAAUCUUCCACGUAGUCCUACAAAUAUUACAAAUAUUGGGGAGGGGAGCAAUUAAAUGAUAAUGAUUAGUAUCUAACAGUUUGAUCAUUGGCUAGAAGCCUAAAACCAUGAACUUGUCGUGGCGAAACUGGUAAAGCCGACUCGGGCUUUCUCCCCUUUCUCUUUUAAUAAUAUUAAGGUUGGUUGUCACUUGAACUUGAGCAUACUAUUUUGUCCUAUAUAUGUCAUUGCAAUAUUAAAGAAAAAGAAAAGAAACCUUACUCCACAGAUGAUGAGGACCCUUCUCCCAGAACCAGAUAUGUUGCCUCCUAGUGCCUUGAGAAAAAGCCCAAUGAACUCAGGAUUGCCAUAAUACGUGACCCCAGUAACUAUAUUAUCAUCAACAACGCCCACUGACAAUGUAUCGGGUUCUACCCAGUGAGCACCAGCAGCAACCAAUCCAGGUUUUACAGUUGGAAACGCUGUGCACUUGCGACCUUUAACAGACUGCCCAUGACAAAUAGCAGCAAUUGGCUUUCUGGAGUCAGA